UAGCUUUUUAUUAUCAAGAGUGUCCCUCACCGUGACCCUAACAAGCUCAGCAUUCUCGUCAUAAAACAAAAACCCCGUAUCCAACCAAUCCUUAUCGUUAAUAUCUUUAUUUUUAGUCCCUAUACUUUUCCAAAUAUUCCACAUUCGAUCUAUAUUCGAAUGGUGCGAAAAAAAUAUUGGAUCCCUUCCAGCGGAGUAAAAAUUCCCCAUGUCUUCAAAUUAGGUUGCGUGUUAUCUCCGGUCCAUAAAUGAACCGGACCAUGUGGGGUCGUUUCGAUUGAACCGCCCCCUGGAUCUGGUUCAGUGCCAGCCCUGUAGGGCGAACCAAAGAACAACAGCGGUUUCUUGGAGUUGGAAACCAUCUGCCUAUACAUAAUUUUGAGGUUGGCUUCGAUUUGAGCAUCGUUGGACAUUGUUUCAUCCGUGCCGUUGAAGUCAAGAUCGAUGAGAGUCGGCGGCUGAUGGCUGGCAGCGCGAAGCUCGUCGUAAAGCGGAGAGUCCGGGUUAGCGAACAAGGCAGGGAGUUGCAUGCCAGCUGGCGCGUCCCAGUUCCAAAACGGCAACGCGAACGUCGGAUCGUCUAUGAGUUUGGCCAAGAUUCUUUCGUGGAAGUAUAGGUAGUAACGAUGGAAGGGGAAGAAAAGCCAGCAUUGAUGGAUUUGGAGCUCGAGGUUGGGGAAGCCGACUUGGUCGUACGCGCCGUCGCAAUAGGCACAGUGGAGAUCGGCUUGCUGGGUGAAGCUACGCGGAUCGUCGUCCGGGAGGGCUUUCAUGAGCUCGAUGGCUUUUGAAUAUUUUUCGAUGUAGGCUUUAUCCACGGUGUGAGCUGCCGGCCUGACGCGGAGUUUGGUAGGGGAGGGGAAUUUGAAGUCUACGAUUUUUUGGGACGUUGGCGGGCAACAGUUGGUCGGGACUGCUCCACUUGGAAAGUCCGCAGCUCCGCAUUUGGCUAGGUCAGGCGGCGACACUGGCUUUGCAACAGCGAAGGGGUCGCUGCCAAGACCAGCCACUCCACCGUAUAGGCUUCCGAGACCUAUAAGUACAUUUCUUCUGUCUAGGUUUACUGGAGAAGGGUUUUCAUGGUCGUGAUCGUUGGAGCUAGUGGAAGGGUUUUUGUUUUGGUCACUACUAUUAUUUGUGGCUUUGCAUGAGACAGCUUGUAAAUUGGAAUGCCUAGGGUUUCCAAAUGAGGAUAUUCGGUGAUACUUUUGGGAGAAAGGGGAGAGGAAAGUUGUGGGGAUGAUACUUGUGGCGGAGGUGACGAGUGGAGCUGACAUAGAAGCCAUGGUUACUUUUGACUCUGAAUAAUACGUUGUAUUGGCUUUGCUUUUAUAAUGUGUUCUAGGUUGUACUUUUCUUUGCACAGGUGGCAGGCCGUACACACGUGGUCGGUCCUUAAGGGUUUGACGAGGAAUACUACGUAGUCAUUUAGUACAGGACAACCAUACACUAUAGCAAGUGGCAUGUAUUUAGAGAUCGAGAGAGAAUUGGGUAAGGUUCACGAGGGAUUUGUAGUUUCAGAAGGUGAAUUGGUUUUGGUCUUCUUGUGUACCAAUAAUAUUUACUUAGUCAUUUAGUGCAGGACAACCAUGCACUAUAGCAAGUGGCAUGUAUUUAGAGAUCGAGAGAGAAUUGGGUAAGGUUCACGAGGGAUUGUAGUUUCAGAAGGUGAAUUGGUUUUGGUCUUCUUGUGUACCAAUAAUAUUUACUUAGUCAUUUAGUGCAGGACAACCAUGCACUAUAGCAAGUGGCAUGUAUUUAGAGAUCGAGAGAGAAUUGGGUAAGGUUCACGAGGGAUUGUAGUUUCAGAAGGUGAAUUGGUUUUGGUCUUCUUGUGUACGGCUGUGGGUCUGCUGUCCCGGACUCUCUGUCUCAUUUGUGUCUUAUUUUUUAUUUUUUCACACGUGUCUUUUACUUAACGUCAAAUCAUGAUAGCAAUGUUAUGCAAUUGGGAGCUAAACGACCGAUGCUUUUAUUUUUUAGUUUGCUUUUUUUCCAGAUCUGAUCAAAUCAUGAUAGCAAUGUUAUGCAAUUUUCAAGAGGGAAAGAUGCACCUGGGAGAGAAACGGUACGGUGACUUCUAAAUCACCGUCCAACAGAACAAUUCUCAGUAGAGACUACUAGAGAGAGAUGCACCUCACCAAUGAAAAAUUUAACUGCAAAAAUUCUGGGUAUUGGGUAAGGAAAUUCGGUGAUACUUUUGGGAGAAAGGGAAGAGAGAAGUUGUGGGGAUGAUACUUCUCGUGGAGGUGACGAGUGGAGCUGACAUAGAAGCCAUGGUUACUUGACUCUGAAUACUACGUUGUAUUGGGUUUGCAUAUAUAUAUAAUUAGGAUUGAAGGAUGUAGAGCUUAUUUUGUUAUGUAUUUUAACGAUUUAAGUGCUUAUCUUUUAGGUUUUCUCUUAAACAUCAUGUCUAUAAAAAAUCACCAAAAUUCAAACCAUAUGACCAUUAGAUCCAUAGUCAUUUUAGUGUUUAUUUGUAAAAUGUAUUCAUUCAUUUUCUUCACUACAAAUGAGUGAAUUAAUGAUUUUAGAAUUUGUCUAAUUUUUUACAUUGAUUAUUUAUGAAUGUUGAAUUGAAAUUUAGACGAUUCAAAAAUAGUUGAUAUGCAUUACAAAAUGAACUCCACAAAAUAAGUGUCAAAAUAUGUAUAAAAAAUGGACAGCGUGAAUGGCUUGGAAAUUGGAAUAGGUUUGAAAAUUGUGCUUUUUGUAGCAAAUUUUAGCAAAGUUUGCUUGGACUUUCACAACCGUAUAAAUUAAAGGGAAACUUGAUAUAACUCCAAUUUUUUGAGCCAAUAGUAGGAAUAGUCCAGUUUAUUAAAAUAAGUUCAAUUCUUUAAAUUUAAUUAUUUAGUUAUCAAUAAUUAUCUCUUAAAAGAAAAAACUUAUUGUAAAAAUCAAAUUUCUUCCUAAUUAUCUCUUUGAUUAUUUCUUUUUAUUUAUUUAUUUGUUAUUUCUUGUUCUUCCUCCUGCUUUAACCCAUUUAUAGAUUUUUUUUUUAAUUUUAUAAUCAACCUAUGUCACAGGUUAAUUGUAUUUAUCUACCUAUAUGACAUAUUCUUUUUCAUAGUCAACAUUUCACAGAUUAAUGUGUCUUGCUUGUAGAUAUAUUAUGUUUUUUUCUACCUUUUAGUUAGGUUUCAUAUCUCACUUAUAGGUAUAAUAUACAUUCAUAUAUUUGCUACUUGAGUUAGGGUAGAAUGUUUUGCAGAUAGAUUUAUGUUAGUAUAUUAAUUUUUUUUUGUUUAUAAGAUAUUAAUUAGAUAUUUUGGAGUUGAAAAAUGCAUAAUAUUAAAAGCUUUUAAUUGAUUUUUAAUAUUUUUAGAAAAUAUAAAAGGAGUAUAAAAGAAAUCAAAACAUAUAAUUAGAUAACGGGAGUCACUCCUAAAAACACUCUAUGUUUUUUGACCUGGAUCUUAAAGCCCCUAAAUUAAACUGUUCGCUUUGUUGGGAAAAAGAAGUGGCCCUAGUUUCCCUUUGAUUUUUCAAGCACGGUGGGAGACUGGUCAUAGUUUCUAGAUUGAUGCUCUAAUUCUAAUGUUAUACAACGCGUACGCUAUAAUAUUUUUAUCAAAAUAUUAGUUUUAGUGUUAUCAAAACAAUAUGUUAUUCUUACCAUGUUUUUGUAUCACAAUUAUAUACCACCUUAGAUGGUAUCUGAUGUGGACAGCCACAUCAUUUAAAUUAAUAAGCAUUUAAUUUCAAAAUGUUAAUCAAUAAUUAAUAAAAAGAUUGUUAAUUAAAUGAUGAUUGUGGUAUACAAGGAGUCUCCUUCUUCCUUCCUCUUUCCAUUCUGCUUUUUCUUCUUACCUCUUUUUUUUUUUUAAUGCCAGUUUUGUAUUGAUUUCUGUUGAUUUCCAUGAUUAUGGUCAAUCUUUAUAGAAUUUACUAGUAUGCCACAAUCACCAUUGAUUUCUAUCUCCAGACUCAUGCCCCGUAGCCCUAAUCCUCAUUCCCCUUCAAGUAUUUCUGUCUCCAAUCUUCUUUGGUACUCCAUGAUUGUUCAUCUCGUGAUAUUUUUUUUUUUGAUUAUUUCAUUAAGUAACGCUUAUUAGCUUUCAUGCGAAUUAGGAGUCAAAAUCAAAUUUGUCUAUCGGAUUAGGGUUCAUACCCAAUUAAGUUACUAACGCCAGAGGGAUUUUGAAGUAUGCAAUUUUCCUUAUUUAAGUGUUUUAAUUAAUAAGAAAAUUGAAAUUAAACAAUUUAGCUUGUCCAACUCAUCUGCCACCUAAGAUGGUAAAUAAAUGUGGUAUAAAAUUGUGGUAAGAAUAUCAUUACUCUUAUCGAAAUUACAAAAAAAAAAAAAAAAGCUGAUUCAAUAUUUAGUUAUUAAAAAAAAAAUGAUCAAGUAACUAUCCAAUACCCAUGUAUUGGGUGCUUUGUUUGAAAAUUUUCAAAAUGAUAUUGGGCUCGUUUGGAUAUGUUUUUAAAAUGACUGAAAGCAUUUUUAGAGAAAAUAUUUUUUUGAUUCCAAAAGCACUUAAAGUGCUUUCUGCAAGAAGCACCCGUUAUGUGCUUCUUCCUGGAAGCACUUUAAGUGUUUUUCCAGCAUUUACUUGCUUUUUUACUAAGGACUGGUUCCAAAAACAUUUUCACAAAAAGUGUUUUCAGUCAUUUUAAAAGCACAUUCAAACGAGCUCAUUGUUUUUCCUAUUUUAAUCGAGUGCGUCGUCCUCUGUUGAGAAUGAAUCUCAUAUUAUGGGAGGAGGGAUCUUGCAUGAAUGGGAGGAGGGACCUUGCAUGAGCUUAUAAGUAAGUUGGGUUACUCUCCAUAUUGCCAAAAGAAAUUUUAUUUGGACCCAGUUUUCCUCUCUCUAAACCCAACUUUAAUAUUUUGUUACCUAUAAACUCUCUAGUUUACCCUCAUAAAUUAUAAACAUAAAUAAACUAGAAAAAGAAAAACUCAUCAAACCCAUUUCCCAACUGUUCUGGCGUCUCUUCCCUGUAUUUGUUGGGUCUGUCUCCCUCCCGACUGUUUUUUUUUUUCUGAUAUCUCUGUGUGUUCCCCCACCUCUCCCACACCCACCAAUUCUUUGUGGUGGCUAUUCCACCAAACGUCCAGUGAAUCUUUCCAUUUUUCUUCUAUUGCGCGUGAUAGGGCCUUGCUAUUAAUAGGCAAAACUAAGCGGCAUCGUCGACUCCGUAAGCGACUUGUUGCAUAAGUCCAAAAUGGAGUCAAAUGGAUUUUGUAUUGGGUCGGGUUGUUGAAGGCGAUGGCUGAUUUAGCAAUCCCGCCUAACUAUUUCUAUAUGUAGGAGAAGGAAGAGGGAGGGAGGUCUGAAGUGGUGGUUGAGUGGUGGCGAUGUAUGUGGGUUCUCUCUCGGUUGAAUGGGUGUAGAAAGAUAUUUAAUUUUCAAUAUCUUAUUUUAUUUUGUAUAAGGGAUAAUAUAGGAAUUACAUAAAAAGUUUUUUUUAUAGCUAGGUGUAGAAAUAGUAUUGUUGGGUCUAAAUAAAAUUACCCUAUUGCCAAUUAGUUUUAUGGUGAAAUCUUAACUUUGUUCAUGCUUUCAUAGUAGGUUGUUCCACGUGUGAAGUCAAACAUCCACACGCGCUGCACGUCACCCCGUUGUGUUGUUCACGUGUUAAGCUUGAAAAUUCAUCACACAUGAGGGAGCGUGUUGAGAAUAAAUUCCACAGUUUAUAAGUAAGUUGUACUACUCCGUAUAUUACCAAUUAAUUUUGUGGAAUUCCGUCAAAGCUGAAUUUGACGGAAAAAAAUAACUUCAUGUUUGUUCUUAACUAUAAAGUCAGUGAUACACUAAUUCUGGUUUGUUUGUUUUUUCCUUCCUUCUUAAGGAAAUUCCCAAUCCAACCAAAAAAAUGAAAUUCCCAAGAGAAUAGUAGCACGAACAAUCGUAGCUUUCUUCUUCGAUAAGCCUUGGGGAAACAGAAAAGGGAAAACCGGACUUUAACCCUAAUUUCUCCCAAUGCCGCAGCACUCUCUAUUUUCUCUCUCGCUCUAUAUCGCGGUCCCUCUCUCUCGCCGUCCUCUAUUGCUCAAACUCAAUGUCUCCAACUUCCUCUGUAUGGUUCCCGAGGAAGAUGGUAAAACAGUAAGGGCAAGAAAUUGUGACAAGGUUAGAUUUGGGUAUUAAUCUGGUGGGGCUACAAUUCUCCAAUCCACACCCCUUUCAUCUGUGCUAGUGUUUGAACCCAAUAUUAGAUAACCGGUCCAUGCAAUCGAUGCCGUUGAAUGAGAAAAAUUCUAGGCCGUGGGAUCAAAUAUAAUGAUGUGGAUUAAAUAAGGAAAAUUUAAAGAGUAAUGAUAUUCAUACCAUGUUUUUGUACCACAUUUUCAUACCACCUUAGGUGGCAUUUGAUGUGGAUAGCCACAUCAUUUGAAUUAAUCAGAUUUUAAAAUUUAGUUGAUUAUUUAAUAAACUAAUAAUUAAGAAAAACUAAUUAAUUAAAUGAUGAUUGUGAUAUACGAGGAGUCUUUCUCGUUCAUUUCUUUGGGUUUUGCAAAUUUUUCAAAUGAUGUGGCUGUCUACAUCGGAUGCCACCUAAGGUGGUAUAGAAAUAUGGUAUAAAAAUAUGGUAUGAAUAUCAUUACUCAAAUUUAAAUGUUUAUCUUGGUUAAAUUACCAUGAUAAUAUUGUGGAAUUAUCUUUUGCAUAACGGAAGAGCGAGAAAAGUCCAAGGGUGUAGGGAAGUUGUGUGGUUGACUACCGCUAUUUUGAUGGUAUAAUCUGUAGAGUAAUAUUACAUUUAACAUCUAUUUGUAUCAUAUUUCUAAUAAAGAUAAGGACCAUCAAUGCAUAAAUAAUUAAACAAAUAUAUAAUAAGAGUAUCAUUUUUGUAACUAGAAUAGGAGAAGAAAGACUUCAAGAUGGGAUCAGCCAAAUAAUUAGCGUUAAGAUAAAAAUAUUGAAAGGAAAACUAAUGAAAAUGGCUUGAAAACUUUGAGUUUUAACGAUAAGGACAAGAUAAAGGGUAAAGUGAAUAGUACCAGGAUUGACUUUUUAAUGUAAAAAUAUAGUUUUUCGUUAAAGUGAACAUUACCGGGAACUUUUCGUUAAAGUUUCCAAUGAGAUAAUAUUGCAACAGCUGGCAUGAGACAAUGAUGGUAUAAAGAUGGCUACUACGGCCAAACUACUACAUAGGAUUCCAUACAUGCGGUCAUUAUUUCGACAAAUCAAUGGCUGCCGCAAUCAUGUGCUCAUUAUUCCGACAAAUCAGUAGCUACUUGCAUUGGAUUAGGAUUGCAUGCGUGUGGUCAUUGAAUGAGGAUUGCGUGCACGUGAUCUUUAUUCAAACAAAUCACUAUUGACCAUAUAUUGCAAUUGGUUAAUGGUAGGCAAAUUGAAUUUUUACAUCAAAUAAUGUGAUUGCUGAUAAUUGAAUUAUUAUUUAAAUGUUGAUUAAUAUGCUUAUUUUUUAUUUGUGAUAUAUCAUUUAAUUUGUACAUUUAGUUUACCUAACAUUACCAACUGUAAUUUGUAUAAAUGGACUGGUACCUAACAUAACCAGUUGUAAUUUGUAUAAAUGGGACUGUAAUUUGUAUAAAUGGACUGGUGCCUAACAUUACCAGUUGUAAUUUGUAUAAAUUUACUGGUCCCAAGAGCACAUGCUACUGCUCAAGAAGCAAAGUUCUUAUUUGCCCAAAAAAAAUCAUGGUUUUUUAAUUGAUGCUCUCAUUUUAAUUUACUAGCCCCUUACUUGGCCUUUUUUAUUUAUCAUUUUAUACAUAUUAAUAUUUUUUUGUAAAAUAUAUUAGUUUGAGUUUUAUUAAAAUUAAAAAUAAAUAAAAAAACUUAGUUUUAGUUUUAUCAAAUUAAAAAAAAAUGACUUAAUAUUUAGUUAUUGAAAUUGUAAAAAAGUGAUCAAGUAUUGGGUGCUUUGUUUGAAAUUUUUCAAAAUGAUAUUGUUUUUACCAUUGAAACCCUGUUAUAUACAGUGAUGGCUAAUUUGUCAAGUUCUACGAAGUUGGGAUACCCAGCGUUUUAGCAUAUAACAUAGCUUAGUAUUACAAGCAUAAUUAAUUAAAAUAAAGGCAAAAUAAGAGGAUAGCUUAGUAUUACAAGCAUAAUUAAUUAAAAUAAAGGCAAAUUGUAACAGCCCGUCCCUAAAAAUGACGAUUUUAUAAUCUUAACACGUGAGUUUAUGAAGAUGCCCUUCGAGGCAAAGUGUUGACUACCGCGUCGUGUCAUGUGAGACUCAUCUUCUUGGCGUAUUCUCGUUUUACUCGUCGCUACGGAUGCGUGGGCGCAAACGACACGUGAUUUGGAGCUAUAACAAAAGAGUUAUUAACAUUUAAAGUUAAGGACAUUUUAGUAAAUUAAUUAAUUUCAGAUUUUGUUGAGGGGAAAAUCUGGAGUGCCAUGUGGGUGGCCCAGAUUAAAGGAAAUGAGGAAUGGAUGGUGGAGGUGUAAAGGAAAGAAGAUAAAAGAAAAAUGAGAGGAAAUGUGUGACUAAUAGGGAGAUGAGAGAGUUAGGAUGGCCCAAUUAGAAACAAACGAAAGGAGGAAAAAGGAGAGAAGAGGGGAGCAGGGGAUCCCUUCAACCCGGUUCCACUUUCCGACCCGACCCGAUCCUUUUCAUCUUUUCCGGUGGUUUUUCGUCAGUUUUUCCGGCGAACCACGUUAUCUAACCCCGUUGAAAAUGUUCCACGACCUUCCCUCUACCAUUACAACCCAAAAUUGUAGAAAUUUAGCCAUGAAAGUAUGAAAACCGCACCGGUGGGUGCGGGAAACCUUUGUCGUCGAUUCUCCCAUUAUUGAAACGAUUUUCACCAAUUAUCACCACCUACAGCAUCCUCUUGAGGUCUGGAAUAAAGCCCAAACAAGUUUUGGGGCGUUGGAGUUCGUUUAAGGUCGAAUUGAGCACACCCAAAUUCAAGGGUUCCGUACCGUUCAUGGUGAUUUGAGGUGUUUCUCGGCCAAAUUGGCCUUAGUCACAAGUAUGAAAGUUGCUCCACUCGUUGAGAUCUUCAUUUAUGUGAAAUUUGAGAAUUUUUUGAAAUAUUUGGAUUUUCCAGCGAGUCGGGGUGGCGGACCGCCACCGGCAGCAGCGCAUGGCCAGUGGUCCACCAAUGUCAUUUUACGUUAAAUUGAUAUCUUGAUUUUAGAUUUGAUGUCUAUAUGUUAUGACUUGAUUAUGUGAACCUAGUUUGAUUAAGGUGCGUUAAUUGGUAAAAAUAUGAAACGACGAUCCGACCGUGGGAUCGUCACCAAACUUUAAUAUGUUAUAGUACAUAAUAUUUGAGAAUCAUAGGGACUGACAGAUAGGAAAUCCGAGAUACAGAUCUUCCCGAAAUGGAAUUGUAAGUUUGAAGAAUAAACGUUAACCGCCACUUUGUUUUGACUAUUGGUGGAGAUCCAACCGUUGGAUCAUAAUGAAAUUUUAGGAUGAUGUUUUAGAAGCAUAAUGUGGAUCUUUGGAAGUUACUGAUCGGAAAUCCGAGGAGUGAAUCUUCCGAAUUGAAUUACGUAGGGUUGUGGACCUUACCGUCGAUCGUUGACCGAUGAUCGACUUUUGGUCAAUGGGGCUUAAAUCAAUCUAAAACGUUUUUAGGGAUGUGUUUUACGUAAAUUACAUGAUCUAUUGAUAAGAAUUAUGAGAUGUGGUUUGAUAAUUGUCCUAGGUGCCGAUCGUUAGGAACGCUUCGAUGGUUAUGCUAGGAAAUUGUAGCACAGACUCCUUGUGAGUGAAUCUUUUCCUUCUUAUCAUAUAUAUAUAUAUAUAUAUAUAUAUAUAUAUAUGAUUGACAAUUCCACAAACGUUUAUAAAUUGAUUAUUGCAUAUAACUACUGUGAAUACUUUGAAGUACUUAUGCGAACUACGAAUGGCUUGAUCCGUGUUUAGGGUACGUAGGCAGUCUAACAAGACGUUAGAUGUAGUCAUACAAUAAUUGAGAUUAAACAAUUGAGAUAAAGCCUUGUUUGGGGAACUGGGCAAGGUGAAGGAAUUUGGUAAAAAGGUGAGAUUUAACCUUAUGAAUUGGUGAUUAAAUGUUGGUCAUAAAUCAAUGUGUAAAGAAUCAAGAAUUUGAAGUAAGGAAACGUAAGUAAUGAUAAUUAAUUAAACUAGUGUCUAGUUGGGCUUGUCACCUAUAAUUAUCCCCGAAAAUGAAUAAUUCGGGAGUAGGGCGUUACAGCUUCUGCAUUUUUAUGCCACAUUAUAUAUAUAUAUAUAAUUGGAAAUGCUAUAACAUGGUUGAGUAUCAGAUUUCAUCAUGGUUUAUCUAUAUGUAUAUUACCUGCACACAAUUAUUAUGAACGCGUUGAAGUGCAAAGGUGAAUGCACGACACCCAGGUAAGUUCAGGUGAGUUUAUGGUAUUAGUUGAAAUGAUGGGGUUAUGGUAUGACUACAUGUAUGUUUAGGUUGCAAUGAUAGGCAACUCCAACACUGUCGUACAGGUUGCCCAUGAAUUGUACAUGUUACAAUAGAUACAGUUAGAGCUCAUAAACCUACACCCCGGUGUUAGUACUCCCGCUCGUGGCCAGGGCACAGUCCUUCACGUGAUGUUCACCUCCCGCACCUUACGCUCACCUUGGAUCCAAGGUAGGUGCACAAUCAUGUCGUACCACUAUAGGUGGUUCCGACUCGUAGAUGACCCGCGAUUAUUUGCACAGUCUUCACGUGAUUGUAGCACUUGAGCGUAUUUAUUUACACCCAGUUCUAUUGUACAGACCACUUUAGGUGGUUCCGACUCGUAUGCAGGUAUACUUAUUAAGCUAUGGAUAAGUCGUACAGGUCACUAGAAGUGACUCCGACUUAUGAGCUAGCAUAUGUGAUGAGCUAGCAUAUGUGAUGAGAUAAGUGAUGAGUUAGUAUAUGUAAUGAGAUAUGUGAUGAGCUAGCAUAUGUGAUGAGAUAUGUGAUGAGCUAGCAUAUGUGAUGAGAUAUGUGAUGAGCUAGCAUAUGUGAUGAGUUAGCAUAUGUGAUGAGCUAGCAUAUGUGAUGAGAUAUGGGUAAGUCGUACAUGUCACUAUAGGUGACUUCGACUUGCGUGCUAGUAUGGGUUAUUAAUCACAUGAUUAUUGAUAUUACUGAUGAGAUGCUGUGUUGUGGUAUAUUUAUGAUCUUUCUGGAAACUAUGCAAGUGUUGUAACGAGGGGUUAUAAUGAGGUGUUGUAACGAGGGGUUAUAAUGUUUUAUAUGGUUUCUGUUAAAAUUUUAUUUCUAGGGUCACUCACCCUUAUUUUGUUUUCACCCUCUAGGUUUUAUUAGCUGAGCUUUCUUAUCGUCGAAGAUUCGUGGCGAUUCUUAGUAUUGGAGAUUAUUUCGAGAGUACGAUUCUUAAUUCACUUUACUGUACUUGCUUAAGCUGUAACGUCACGUGUGAAGUGGGUUCAUUUCCGCUUACCAGCGCAUUCUGGUAUUUAGGCACUCUUAGGUUUAAAUUUAUUCACAUUUUUCCACAUCAUCAAACUUUAUGGCUUUGUCACUCUUUAGGUGUCGGCCAGCACAGCUCGAUUUGGAGUCCUAGUGGACAUUCCGGGUCGGGGUGUGUCACAAAUGAAGAGGAUGGUUGAACUUGUUAAGUUUCUUAAGUGUGUCUACUUGAAGUGUGUUGCUAAUAAAUAUUUUGUUGUAGGCAUAAUUUACUGAACAAUUAUGGAGGCAGAGAGAGAGAGAGGGAAUAUGCGGCAUAGAGAGAGAAGAGAGAGAUGUGUAAUUGUGAGGUGUGUUCUAUUCCACCCCAUUGUACCUUUAUUAUAUUAGUAGGGAAAGUUAAUUCCUUACCCUUUUAGGAUUACAACUCUAAUAGGAAAAUAUCUAGUCUAAGAGAUAUGAUAGAAUCUCAUAAGGAUAUCCUAGAUAUGUUAGGAUUUACACAAUCAUAUUCCUAUUCCAAUAAGACUGCAACACAUUUGUAUUUUUUUAGAAUUUUUUUGAUAAUUUGUUGGUAUUCUCAAUUUUUGUUAACAUUGAAAAUAUAACGGUUCAGAUGAAAAACCUUUGGAAAUCCAACAGCUUGCAAGACGUUGGGCUGUGCUGAAGGAAGCUGGGCUGUCACGUGGAUGGGGCCCUCCCUCUCCCUCUUGUUGAUUCAAAGGGCGCAGGCCCGUGCAACAAUUGGCGAGGCAGCCCAUAGAGAUCCUGCGAUUCACCCAUUCGCCAUUUUUUCCACCGCUGGAGCACCAAAAUUCGGUCAAAAGGCAGGGGUAUCAAUGGCAAGGGCAAUUUGGCUUCCGCUGGAGGUGCUCUUUGUCGACUUUGUUUUUUCUCUCAUUUUAGCUUUUGCAGUAAUAUUGAAGUAAUCACUCCAAUUUUAUCCAAACUUUUGUUGUCCGUCAAUUUUUAUCAAAACUAUUGGUUAAUUUACAUAUUCAGACUAACCUUCUCAUUAUUUUUAGUAUUUUUAUCAUAAAUAAUAUCUGAAAUAGUCACAUUUUAUUCAACAACCACUCAAUUAAAAAUUAAUUAGUGUUGUUUCUAAACCAUUACAUCAAGCUUUUGUAGAUACACAUCAAUAUUGCAGCGAUCCGAGGCAUUGUUUUAGUGACGGUAGUACUUUCUACUCCUUGGAUUUGGUGAAUCGGAAAAGAGAAGAGUUACGAGUAAAAGUCCCUCGCAUUGUUUUGGGGAGAUGAAGAUGAUGAUCUUUUGUUUUUGUUUUUUAAUGAUUAAUCCACGCAGCAACAUAUAAUUAAAUUGUUGGGAUCUACUCAAGUUCCAUAUCACACACUAACAUAAAAUUUGACAAACGAAACGAAAUAUGUGUGUAGACAUCGAAAUUUCGUAAAUAAAUGUUGACCGAUAAAUCAAAGUGUCAACGCUCAUGUAUUACAUAAAUUUUACACGUAGCGUGUGACUCAACGAAAAUUGAAAUGAGUUGGAAAAGUCAUCAAAUAGGACACGUGUCAACACCUGGCAGAAACGACUUAUUUCAUCUGGGAUAUUAUAUUCAAAAUUAGCCAUUGGAAAAUUCUAUAAAUACAAGCCCAUUUCAUUCAUUUAAGGAGAGGAAUUCAUAUUACACCUUGAAGCUCUGAAGCUCUGAAACUCCGAAGCUCUCAAGCAUCCAGGUUCCCGAAGAAUCAAGAAAGUGUUCUUCGUUCUUCGUUCAUCGUUCUUCCAAGAUCAAGCCUCGACGGCCCUUGGAUCAACAAUCAUCCACCUUCAAGAUCAAGCCCCGACGGCCCUUGAAGAAAGCGUUCUUCGUUCUUCGUUCAUCGUUCUUCCAAGAUCAAGCCCCGACGGCCCUCGGAUCAACAAUCAUCCACCUUCAAGAUCAAGCCCCAAAGGCCCUUGAAGAACUUCCACCAAUUCAAGAUCAAGCCCCGACGGCCCUUGAAGAAAGCACCAUCGUUCAUCAUCCGUUCAUCCAAGAUCAAGCCCCAACGGCCCUUUAGAUCAACAACGUCGACAAAUCCACACAUCCAACCGUUCUUCAAGAUCAAGCCCAAAAGCCCUUGAAGAUCCGUUCAUCACUGUUCUUCAAGAUCAAGCCCAAAAGCCCUUGGAGAUCCGUUCAUCACUAUUCUUCAAAGAUCAAGCCCAAAAGCCCCUUUGAAGAUCCGCUCAAAUCCACCUUCAAGAUCAAGUCCACGGCCCUUGAAGAACGUUCAUCCUUAGAUCAAGCCCAACGCCCCUUUGGAUCAAUCGCACAUCCACAAAUCAACACCUUACGGAGAUCGAAUCAGAGGAUCAAAAUAGAGAGAGAUUGUAACCCAAAAUCAUCAAAUACAAAUAUUUGUUUGUGCGCGUUGUUCUUGUCUCUUUCGUUUCAGGAAUUUUCCGUGUUCACAAUGUGCUCUUGAAAUCAAAAUGAGGGCACUGCUCCAAGAACAAGAAGGGCACCUUGUCGAGGUCGCCAUCCGCCGUGAGGGAAAACCGGAAGAAGUUGGACAACAAUGAUAACAUCAAUUUGCGGCACCCAUAUCGGGACAUCACACUGUGAAAUAAAUAUUGAAAUAAAUACUCAAAACUCCUGGAAAGUCCUCGAGACAACAAACUUUCAUCUCCUUCAAACAUUUCAUUUUACUAAGUUUUAUCUUUGAAGGGAGGGAAAAAAAGAGAAGAGAGAAUCCUACUCCUUAUUCCUGAAUAUAUUCAAGAAUAGCUAUUGAAUAAAGAGAGAAUGGAGGGUGAUCGAAAGAGGAGGGAAGAGAAUUCUAGUUCCAAACAUAAAAAGGACCACAACUUUUAAAUUAUCAGCACAAUCAUCACCUAAUUGAAGAGACCAUUCACUGUGAAACAUAUUGUCAAUCAGUCUAUCUAUAUCUAUUUAUAUACCAUAUUUUUAGAGUAAGAUUCUCUCACCUCCUAUUACCAUCCCCUUCCAUCCUUUCAUCUCAUACUCUUUUUUUGUUGUCUUAUUCUCUAUAUAAAAAAAUUCAAAACAAGAUGUAUACGUGACGUAAUCGUAACCGUUUAAAUAAGAGGGGAUAGAAGAGAAGAGAGAUUAGGAGAAGGGAGAAUCCUACUCCCACAUUUUUCUUCUUCAUAAACAAAAGAGAGGUUCUAGAUUACUUGACUCUAUGCCUCAUUUUUUUCAUCAAGUAUUUGUGAUAAGUGGGUUCAUUUUCAAGUAUUUUAGUUUUUUUGUCAAAAUUGAGAAAACUGAAAAUCAAACAUUAAUAUGAAAAAUUAAAAAAUCAACAUAUAAUUAUUUAGAAAUCGCAAUAGAAAAGAAAAAAAAUGGAGGUUUGUGAUGAAAAAUCUUUUAUACUAAGUAAUUUAGUAUCCUUAUGCAUGAAGAUAAAUCAAUUUGUUCGUUACGGUCAUACUCUUUUUUGAAUUUUUGAACACAUUCUCCAUAGGGCCUUCUUAUAUGUUCCUUCUCCAAGCUCGGGUUAUGGAAGAAGUAAAAGAAGGAAUCGAAAAGAAAGUAUUGGUAACAACCGAUUUCAUUACGAGACAACUCUUGAUAUUCAUAUCAAUCUAUUAUGUACCUUUGCAUCUAGCAUUAGACAAUAAUUGUCAUAGCUUUACCAUAUUUUUUUGUUUCAUUUCUUCUGAAACAAUCUCACACACUUUUUUAUUAUGUGUCUACUACUAGGAAUUCAAUACGUAAUCUUAGCAUUCAAUAGUUAUUCCUAAAUAAUUUCAAUUUUCAAAUGAUCAACCAUUUCAUUUUACCAAGUUCAAUCAAUGUUAGUCAGAUUAGUCAACAUUUAUAUAUUUUGAUGCAACAACAAGAUGUUAUUUGUAACAAGUGAUUUUGUUAGUUGGUUAAUUGGUCACAAGUUAAUGUUCGGUUCAGUUUAGUUUUUCUCUCGAUUUUUUGUGAUUCGGUUUUUUCAAUUCUCUUUAGGGUCGGUUCGGUUUUGUUUUUUUAUUUAUACUUGAAUUUUAUUUUAAUUUAUUUUAAUUUAUUUUAUUUUAAAUCUGGAAACACCAAGAACAACACAAGCACAUAGUCAAUCAAACAACUAUCCUUCUCCACAAAUCAUAGUAAUAAUUACAUUCAUUGAGCUGAAAUGCAAAUAACUAACAAACUCACAAAAAUCAAAUAAAAACUACAAAUUGCUUACUCUUUUUCUUUGGGUUUCACUCGAAAAGUGUCGGUAAAAUUUAGGGUUUGCAAGAACGCAACUGAAAUCUAAAACGGAGGCCUUGUGGCCUAUGGGUUGCUAUUGAGUUCCAGUACAGAGAACCUUGCUUAAUCUCGAUCACGGUACAAAGUAUCGAGUACCUUUAGCACUGUAUUUUGGUAUGAUUGGUAGAACCAAAUUAAAAGCUAACAUCAACAACAACUACCAGAGACAAAAGCUCUUAUCAAUGCUUUGGAAACAUUUAUGUAUCUCCAAGUGUAAUGAUAUAAUUGGUUGGAAACUUGUGAUUUCGUAUCAAAUCAAUAAAAAGUUACAAUAUUGACAAUAUAUUAGCAAUUUUUAUGUUAAUUAUGAACAAGUCAAUCAUGUAGAACCAAAUUAAAAGCUAACAUCAACAACAACUACCAUAGACAAAAGCUCUAAUCAAUGCUUAGGAAACACAGUCCUGUAUCUCUAGGUGUAUUGAUAUAAUUGGUUGGAAAUUUAAAAGAAAAAUGGUGAUUUUGUAUAAAAUUGAUAAAAAGUUACAAUAUUGACAAUAUAUUUGACACACCCCGACCAAGAUCAAGGCAUGCUGGCCGUCACAUGAGAGUGACGUAACCAUGUGCACAGUGCGGAAGCAAUAAUGAUAAGAAAUAUAUGAAUAAUUAAAAACCGAAUCUACUAGAGUGCACUACUAAACAGGAAGUAUUAGGAGUAAGAUACAAAAGUAAAUACUCCUAAUCAGAGCAUAGAAAGUCUAGGUGCAAUCCAGUAGGACAAGUACUAAUUAUACAGUAUAAAAUGUCUUACAAUUAUUUAGAUAGGUCAGAACCGCCGAAGUCCUCACACCCAACAACUGCAAACUUACUUAAAACCUGAAGGGGCGCAAAAUAGAAAACGUGAGUGGGAAAAAACAAAUGUUUUACAAAACCAUUUCAUUUAUCAAUAUAUCUAACCCCUCGCUGUAAACAUGUAUAAUUUUUCCCAGAAUCAAGAUAUAAGCAUAUACAUAAAUAUAUAUAUAAAUAUAUCAAUUCAAAUCAUGCUUCACAUAAUCAUAUUCAUAUGUAUGUCAUGCCAAGAUAUAACAGAGUAAGCAACUCAGGUAAGAGUAAUUUCAUAGAAAUAUAACAUGUUAGCCGGAACCCCUGUAGUAGUCUGUACGGCUGAAUUCAUAGCUCAAAAGUCAAUCUAGCCGAAGUCACUACAAUGACCUAUACGGCAAUAUACUGCACAAGAGUCGGAACCAAAUGAAAAGAUCUGUACGACAAUAAUGGGUGUUGUUGAUGCACAAAAUCAGUGAGGACUUUGGUACAACAGAAAGUGUUAAGUUUGUGACAUUCUCUAGAUUACUCCGAUCACUAGUGUGGAUAAGUAUGUAAAUGGAUAAAGACAGGGAAGCAAACACAAGAUGUACGUGGUUCACCCAGAUUGGCUACGUCCAUGGAGUAAAUGAGUUCUUAUUAAUUGUGAAGGGUUUACACAAGUAUAUAGGUUCAAGCUCUCCUUUAGUGAGUACUAGUGAAUGAUUUAGUACAAAUGACAUUAGGAAAUAUUGUGAGAGAAUGAUCUCUAUUUAUAGAAGAGAGUUUCUAGUUUCAUUCUGACAUUGACACGUGUCAUGUUGUGAUUGGCUUCUGAUGUUGACAUGUGUUGCACUAUGAUUGGCUUUAGAUGUCAACAUGUGUCGCGUUGUGAUUGGCCUCCUGGUUUGAGGGAAACUCUUCUGGCUCCUUGACGGUAUAACGUUGAUCGAUGCUCAGUAGUUUCGGGAUUGGUCAAGUAUGGUACAAACAGGUGUAAUAUAAUCAUACUCAAUACUACUCUCACAUAAUAGCUGGGUGAUAAAUCGCUAGUCACCUAUGAGUCAGAACGAUAAUAAAGGUCUGUACGAAGACUGUGCACCUAAAUUGGAUCCAAUAUGACCAUAUGGUGCGGGAUGUGACAUUAUAUACAGGCUUGUGCCAUCACUGGCGGAGCUACACCCACGGCUACAGUAGGCUGUAGCCUAGGGAGGAUUUUAACAAACUGCUGGUAUAAUAGUUUAUAUAUGAGUUUGUUGUUGCUUAUUGUAUGUAUAAUAGCCCACAUAAAUCCUGCCAAAAUUAUUAGUUAAUGUGUUUCUUAAUUUAUAAAUAAUACUUUUAUUACCUUUUAUUAUUUUAUUAUUUUUAGGCUAAAAGUAAAAAUGGUAAAUUAAUACAUAAUUAGGUUUCUCCUAUUCCCCAUGCUUUUUACCUAUUCGUUCAAAACAAAAAAAUUAAACCCUCUACCCUAAGAAAAGAAAAACUAUGAAUCACCAUCAAAUUAUUUUCUAAUGAAAUUCAACACUAGAUAUGCUCUUCAUGUCUUCAUUUAACCUAUUUCUUGAUUCAAUUGUUCAUUCCAUAUAUCUACAGCACGACUUGAAUUGGUAUCCCCUAACCUUUUUUCUUUUGGGUACUUGUUAUCAACAAAAGUGAUAAUAUUUGUUCUCUUUCUAUUGCUUUUUUGUAUGCAUGUUUUAUUUGUGUAAAAAUUAGUUGGAAAGUAAUUAAUAAACUUGUUUGGAUUAUUAGUACUUCAUGUUCCUACUUUUAUGUAGAUUACUAUAUAAUUUUAUGUAGGCAAAAAAAAAAUUCAUAAGAUUAUAUGCUAAUGAUUUUAGUUAGCCCACCCAAGAAAAAUUUUCUGGCUCCGCUAUUAUGUGCCAUAACUCUGGCAAAAUCACAAUCACCCUAAGUGCAGUUUUAUGAGUUCAACGUUAUUCUAUCACAUAUCACAUCAUCGAUAAUUCACAUAACCAAACAUAACUCACAUGAGCUUACCUGAGCGUCCACAGUACCAUAAUUAUAUAUAAUGCAUCAUAUACGAAAUAUAAAUUCAUAUGCAUGGCAUUUAAGGUAUACUUUCAUUUAAACACAUAUUUCUGGGAAAAUAUCAAGUAUAUAAAUAUAUACUGAAAACCAAAAGCCCACUCAUUGGUAUGUCGAAGGGUCGUAGCCCCCGAGUCGCCUUUGAAUACUCUCGUCCUCGUGAUAAGUCUCACCUAUAUGCGAAUUAACUAUAAAAACGUUAUUUUAGAGCACAUACAAAAAAUUAGCUAAUAACUCUCAUACAAUGCUCAAUUUUUGUAUUUGAAUAUAUCACAGUGACCUACACAACCUCAAGAUCAUCCCUAAAUUUUUACAAUAUUUUUCUGACCCCUCACGCGCUGCCACGCACCGGCAAGGGCAACGCCUUACUCGCCCCCACGCGCGGCCACGUGACAAGCAUACUGAUGGCGUCAAUCAACAUCAUCAGGAAUAUUCUAGGGAAUAUUCUGUUAAAACCCAAUGGUAACUGUUAAAGAUGACUGACGGCAUGAGCAUAUUCUGUCAACCUUGACGGAAUAUACUCCUUUCUUCUCCGAUGAGUCGUCGGUCGCCGGCGACUUCGCCGAUUUCUUGGUAAAACUUUAAAUCGCUUAUUCUUCUUCGUUUCUUCGCCAUUUUUCAUGAAAUUGGUACCAAAAUGAAGCUAAUAACAUGUAGAAUCACUUUGUAUAAGUUUCAAGGCUUAAAAUCUACUAGUUUUUCCCUGAGAAAGCUCGAUAGUUCGGCUUACCUAGAUAUGCGUCGAUCUCAGCCCUCCGACGUCCAAUUCCUUCCAACGAAGUACCCCAAGACUCGUGAGGACCUCCUUAAGCUUCCUAUAAGCUUCAAAUUCCCUGAAACACAAGAUUUUACGUAUGCAUGAACAAUGCACAAAGUCGGAGCUAGGGUUUCCACGUGAAAUCGAAGGUUUCCUUACCUGAAAAUGGUUCCUUUGAAUUCGUAUGGUUCUCACGAACACAAUGGUGAUCUUAAAACCUUCGAUCUACAAGGUUUAAGAGGGUUUCUGGGUUGGUCCGUACGAAGAAGGGAGAGAGAGAAUGAGAAUCUGCGAGAGAGAGGGCACGGGAAGGAAAGAGAAAUAAGAUAGGUGUGUGUAUGGUCCAAAAGCCACCAAUCAAAACUAAGAAAAGUCUUAGUUGUAAUUGGGUCACCAAUCUAAAACAAUUUAACCCAAUAAUAACUUACACACAUCAUUUAACAUCCGAGGGUAAUUCCGUCAUUCUACGUCAUCGAGAAUAAUCUUCCGGGACGGGCUGUGACAAUAUCAGCAAUAUUUAUGUUAAUUAUGAAUAGGUCAAUCAUGUAUUUAAUACUUAAAUGUAUUUAAAAUAAACACCUUAUCAAUGUUUUCUGAACUGUGCUCGAUUUUUCUCCUUCGCUUUGGUUCUGUCCCAUUGGAUUUUUCAAGCAAGAUUUUAUCAAGGCAACUAUCAUUAACUGUGAACAUAAUUUAUCAUUGAGACACGAACAUCCAAGGGGGAGUGUCGUGGAAAAAAAUGUAGAUAUCUUUAUACGUUGUAUGGUAGUAAACCAUCAUAAACACCAUAAAUAUGUAGAAACGCCCUUGCGGUACCUUUGAAUGAUAACUCAUGUAUUUGUUGCCCUAUGUAAAGAUGGCUAAUGAUAAUGGAAGACUAAUUUUCUCAUCCCAAUCUCUCCUGUCUCUCUUAUUCUCUUUUCUCUAUAUUUUAUUUCCAACAAGUUGUGUUUUUUUUUUAGUAUUGUUAAGCAACCCAAUAGAUUUUAAUCGUAGUCUUUGUUUUUUUUCUUUUAUAUUUUUAAUCAAUUUCAGUUGCUUAUCAGUUCUAGCUAAUUGAGCUCUUUUACAGCAAUUUUUUUCUUUAAAUAAAAUUAUUAUUAUUAAAAAGAGUGAGAAAAUUCGAAAUUGUUACAAUAAUUUAAAAAAAAUAGGAGUUUCAAAUCAUGAAGGUAGAGGGAGUUAACAACAUUUUAGGGGGGGGUGUAGUCAAACUAGGAUUUUGAAGGAUUUUAAAAGUGAUAGAUUUGAUAGGAUUUAAGAUGAUUAAAGACUCUUACAAAAUUCAUAUGGAUUUUAAAGAAUAUGAAUGGAUUGCGGUGGAUUGUGGGGGAAGGAUUUGAAAUCCUAGGGGGUGAGGUUUGAUUCUUUUUAGUUUUGGUUAUAUAUGGUAUGCUUUCAAAUCCCAGAAAAUCCACAACUUUUUAAAAUCCUUUAAAAUCUUAAUUUUUUUAAUACACUUAGAUUUGGAUGGAUUCUAAAAUCCUUUAAAAUCUUUUAAUUGACUACACCUAGAUUUGAAUGGAUUCUAAAAUCUUUUAAUUGACUACACCUAGAUUUUAAUGGAUUCUAAAAUCCUUUAAAAUCUUUUAAUUGACUACACUAUGAUUUUAAAGUCUUUAAAAUCCUCUCAAAUCCAAGUUUGACUACACCCCCUAAAGAUUUUAAGGAAAACUAAUGAAAAUGGCUUGAAAACUUUGAGUUUUAACUAGGGGUGGGCAAACGGGUACAGGAACCGCGGGUAGGGGUGGGUAAUUCAAGUUCGGGGCAGGUAUGGGACAUGUCCAAUAUUUCUAAACACAAAACGGGGCGAGGCUGUUCGGGUAUAUGAAAUUAUCGGGGCGGGGCGGGUCUUAAAAUAGAAGGGAACGGGCCCCCAGCCUGACCCGUUUCUUUUCCUCAUCCCUAGUCUUCUCUAUCUCUCUUCCCCGACACUUUUCAUUUCACUCAAACCCGGCCCAUUUCUUUUCCUCAUCAGUCAUCCCUAGUCUUUUCAAUCUCUCUUCCCUAACUCCUUUCAUUUCACUCGUACCUCGAGACCUCCUCUUAACUCGCUCCCAGCCUCCCACCGUCCUAGCUCCGUACCUCGCCAUCAUCAUCGUCAGACCUCCAUCUCUCCUGAUUUACUCAUGUCUUCCUCGCUGCGUCCGCCGCCAUGUCUCUCUUUCUGUGACGAACUUAAAGGGACGGACGAAGUUGAACAACUCGAAACGACGCCUCUUCUGUCUGAAUUAGACCCAUAUUUGCAGCGCACGACUCUGCUCAUAGUCCUCUUCGGUUUUAAGGUAUUACGUUUUAGAGAUUUAGGAUUGAAAAUUAAAUUAGGGUUUUCUAGAUUUAGGGAUUUUGUUGGGUUCUUGAACCUUGACCUCUGUUAUGUUCCAAUUUCAAAUAUAUAUUGAAUUGAAUUUGAAUCGACUGUGUUUGAAACUUCUGUUGAAUUAAAUUGAAUUUGAGCAGGAGAAGAGGCAGAUGUGGGUUGGGCAAUGUCGAAUCUCAUUGUGGGUGGUGAGGUGGGCAUGGCGGGCGACAAUAUUGACUGGCAAUGGUACGGGCGGUGCUAUUAAGUUGCAGAAGAAUACGAAGGAGGGGGUGUGGGCAUGGGUGGAUAUCGCAAGCUCAAUUGAAUUUUUUCUGGUUUUGUUUGUGAUUAAUUGCUUGUAUAUGAUAGUUAUUGAUGGAUCUUGACAUGCCCAUUUAAUUGUUAUUGGCAAUGCUAGUUUGAUUGUAACAAAUUCAAACCGAUUGAAUUGUAUCCCAGAAAAAAAAAUCAAUAAAGGAACUGAGGACCCGGCCCGAACCAGCCCAUUUCAACCGGGCCAGGUUAGGUUCGGUUCUUAUAUUAGAAAAUGUUGUUCCCGGCCCGUUUCUCUUAAGCCCGGAUCCAGUCCGAUCACUUCGAAAUUGGCCCCAACCCGGCCCGGGCCCACCUCUAGUUUUAACGAUAAGGACAAAAUAAAGGGUAAAGUGAAUAGUACCAAGUUUGACUUUUUAGUGUAAAAAUGUAAUUUUUCGUUAAAAUAAGAUUUUAAUGGAUUCUAAAAUCCUUAAUUAAGAAAUUAGGCUUCAACCCAACUCAUCUUUGCAACGCCGGUUCCACUUCACAUCAACAGGCAAUGUUUUCUCCUCAACAAAUAGUAUUCUUUUAUGAGACAAAGACUAAUGAGGGUGAUAUAUAUAAUUAAUAAUAAUACUUGUGUUCCCUUUGUGAGUGAAUGCACUUAUUUUACCAUUCUCUAAUAAUGUAUCUUUAUUAUAUAAAUUUAUAUCAUGUGGAUAUCUUCCUAUAAAAAAGUUAUUCAAAUUGGAAAUCCUUACGUCAUCAAAAUAUAUAAAAAAAUGGACGAUCUCAUCGUAAAUAUGUUAGUUACUCACACUAUAACUUUGUAUAUUCCCUCACGUAGGAAACGCAAUAAUUAUCCUCUAAUUAAUUCUUCUUGAGAGUAGAAUUUUUAUUGUUGGUUUUUCGCAACCUUCAGACCUAAAGCUGAUAUGGACCUCUCAUUGUUUUUUGGGUUGCCGUUCUUAUUUUGCUUGGUCCUUUUACCUUUUCUAUAGUUGUUUAUCUAGUUCUUUUGAGCCUCGUACUAAUUUUUAAUGUAAUGAAAAUUAUCUUCGUGAUAAAAAAAAAAAUCAUUAGUCCUCGUAUGAACAUGCGAUGUAACACACUUUCAUGGAACAACAGAUGAUAAAGACGAUAUCCAAAUUUUCUCUGUGUUAUGUGGACUUUCCCAACCAAAUAAAUAAUAACCAAUAAACAAAUAAAUAAGAGUUUAACUUCAAACAUUGAGAAGCGAAAUUCCAACACUACGAGCCUAACUUUUGUCUUCAUCAUCAUCAUAGACUAGUCUCCUAUCCAUCAACUCCUACAUCAAUUUUUUUUUUUACUAGAUUGUAGCUCACUUUCAAAAGAGUUACGUAAAGUAUUUAAGCACCAUAAAAGAAAAUUAAACGACAACGAUUGACAUAAUAUUAGUAGUAUCAUGGUCUAAAAUAUUCAUAAUAUCUUGAUAUUUUUAUUGAAAUUUUCGUGUUUUUAGACUACCUAUAUUUUCAAUAUCAUCGAUAUUUUAAACCUUGCUAAGUCACUCAUGUAUCUUACCAUGCAAUGUAUAAAGUGUAAAAUAUUGUACUAAUUCAUUAUAUAUAAAUGAUUAUAGUGUGUUUAAACUUCUUUCAUUAAUUACUACAUAUUUUCUACACUCACAAUGUUUGCCAGCUCGCUAUAUAAUCAACUUAAAUCAAUUAUAUCUAUCAUGUAAUGCAUUUCCUUCCAAUUUUUUGUGAUAAACUAAUAGAUAAUUGACUAAAUAAACAUCCUGCAAAGUUUCAAUAAAAAUUUCCAAGUUUUUCUUACAAUUUCCGUAGUUUUUAUUCAAUUUUUAUCGAUAUCGAUAAUAUCCCGAUAUUUCCAUCGAAAUUUCCGUAUUUUUAGACUACUGAUAUUUCCGAUAUCAUCGAUAUUUUAUACCUUGGUAGUUAUACAUUUUAUCGGCCUCAUUUUUAUGCAACUUAUACAUUAAAUUAUUGUCAAAAUGUACAUAUAAAGUAGCUGAUCAACGAUGAGAUUUUAGGCAACCAUUUUCUUCUACGACGUCAAAGGUUGUAGAGGUGGCCAUGUGCACUACAUGCGUAAAUCAACUAGGGACUUGGAUCCUCUCUUAAGCCCAAGGAGAGGAUCCUCCUAACCAAAUGACUUGGAUUGUUGGAUGAAAAUCUAACGAUUACAAACAGAUGAUCUCUUUAAAGUUAUAAUAUUUAUUACCGUUGAAUUUUCAUCAAACGGUCAAAUAUCAUUGGUCAAAAGGGUCCUCUCAUUGGGCUCAGAGAGGACCCAAGUGCAUCAACCAGAACUAUUGCUAUUAUAACAAUUCAUGAAAUCAAUUAAACAAUAAUUUUCCUUCUGGCAGGCAUGUUAGUUAUUUCUUAUUUGGCCAAUUGCCUAGUGGAUUUGGUAGAUUUAACCUCUCCACCACAAACACAUUUAAAAAUUUCCAGAAAUCCGUAACGUAAAAUUUAAAAAUAAAUAUUAAUAACAGCAAGUUCUUUUCACCGACCGUGACCGAGAUCUGUCACAUAUCCAAAAUGUCACCUCCUUAUCGCAAAAACCAAAUUUGACUUGGGAUAAAUACCGUGUACAAAUUAAACGCGUUUCUCUAGCUUUUGCGUAAAGAGGCAACCCAACACUAAACUAGGAAAACGUUGGGUUGACAAAGAUACCAUGAAGAAUAAAGGGGUUAUGCAAUCCACUUUGCAAGAUAAUCAAAGUUUCCCGUUGUAGACUUGUCUUAACCCAACACUAAACUAAGAAAACGUUGCUUUCCCGUUGUAACAUGAAACAACAUUAAACAACAUUAAACAAUAUUAAAUAACAUUAAAUAACAUAAAAAUUAUACAACAUAAAAAAAACCAUUUAACAACAUAAAACUUAAAAUGCGUACUUCUUGCUUCUUGUGGCCUAAAGAUGUGCAACAAGAUCUUGAUGUAGGUACUUGUUUGUGGCACGAAAACGUAUCAUCCUAGCCGUUGGAUUUGAAUUUUUUUUGUUUUCGGCCAAAAAAUUUUAAAUUUAAAAGUUGAAGAUGGUGAGAAAUAUGAUCCUACACUGUUCAUUAAAAUAUUAAUUUCUUGAAUGACCAAAAGGCUAAAACAAGCCAUCCUUCGGUUGGAGAUGCCUAAGGAGAGACUAGAGAUAGAGAGUUUCCUAUAUAUGAUUUUCAUUAACAAGAUUGAAAUGAUUUCAGAGAGAAGAUCAAGUAUGGUUAUUUUUAUUUUGUAGAGUGUAGACAUUAUAACUAUACAUUCAUAAUAACAUGAGUAAUGUUAUAUUUAUCACAUUUGUACUCUUUCUCUGAUAAAGGUAGGGUUCAUCAACACAUGUGGGUUCUAUUUGCCCAUCAACACAUGCGGAUCUCAUUUUUAUUAGAAAAAUAGUACAAAUAUGGUACGGAAAAUAUGAUAAGAUCGCAAUUUUGUAAUAACAUAUAUACUCAACUAUUUAUAUACCGACCCAUCUCCUUUUAGUGUAGAUAAUAUCGUUUGUUAAAAAAAAUGUUGAACUUGUCAUAAUCAUUGAAUCCAUUUACCAUGAACAAACGGCAGUUUACUAAACUUGCCCUCAGAGUAUAUAUAAAAGGUGAAUCACAAUCUAUUGCAUUAAUAUAAGGAAACAAUUUAUAGGGUUUGACGGGUGACUUAAUAUGCUAUAUGGCACAAUGAAAAUUAAGUUCACACUUUAUCCCAAAUAAGGUGUUGCACCUUUAAUUUAUGGAUGCUGGUUUGACGUGUGACCGAAAUAAUCAAAUUGUAGCCAUUAAUCAUUUUACAAGUAAUAAUAUGUAGUUUUUACUGUUUACGAUUCACACAACAAUCUGCUAGGAAGUAGAAAAUGCAGUACUUGUCCCUCUCACAGAAGUCAUGAAUAAUUAUCAAAUUCAAAGAUAAAGAAAAACCACACAAUUUACAAGAGGAAAGAAAAUGAAGGGAUAAAGAAAGUAAGAAAGGAAUACCUCUAUGGGAGGACUCUUAUUUGCUUCAGAUGCCUACAAUAUUCAUCAUAUAAACACUGAUUAAGUAGUCAUCGAAAACCAAAACAAAUGUCGAACAUAGGGUGAAAAACAGAAAGAAUAACCGCAGCUCAUCAUACCAAUAGAGAUAGAACUGCCCGAUGCCCAAGUAUGACUGAAAAAUGGCAAUCCAAACAUGGCGCCUUCUAGCUCAUCAAACUGUCAAAACCUAGGUUCCACCAAAAAGAUACAAGUCACCUAGUUACUUGUAAAAUAAAAAUCUGUUUCAAAAUAGUGGAAAAUAUUAUUAACAUUGUUCAAAGUCCACAUUGUUGUACCUACCAAGAAACAAGAAGGAUUGUAUCUUAUCAUGAAAAAGAACAUAGGUACCUUUUCAAUUGUAAUUGUACAAAAAUGAGAGACCACUUCCGAACUUCUCUUGGAACUUCAAUCAAUUUCUGCCCACUUUUAAAUGCCUUGACAUACUUAAGCCUAUUUCUUUGAGCUUCAGUUUUGGCUUCUGAUGCCUUUAAAUUUCUUAAAGAUUCUUACCAAGUUUUACAAACUCACUUCUAUACAACCAUUUGUCAGUAUACAUACCAUUUUCUUUGAGCUUCAGUCUUUGCAACACCAAAACCCCCCAAAUAGACCCGGAAUUUUGCAAUGUGCAGGGAAUAUACAAAAAAAACCCUCCUAUCCAUCUAAAACGAAAUCAGAACCCAAACCACAAUCAAAAUCCGUAAAAUUAAUUUAGCCAACCCUAAAUCUAAUAAUUCUAACAAAUAUUAUAGUAUCAAUUGAGAGAGAAUUUGAGAAGAUACCUAGAGAUGAAAGGAAGAGCGUUUCCUCUGAUAGGGGUUCCGUGAAAGCAUCUGUUGACCAGAAAAGAAAAGGCAAAAAACCCCAAAUUACAUAUCAAGCAAUUAUAGAUAGAUCGAACCUUGAAAAUUGAAAUUUCAAACAAGAGAAAGGUUAUAAACUUACAACGAUCUGGGUGUUGGUUACUGGGUUUGGAUUUGGGUUUCUGAUAAGAGAGAGAAUCGUAUGAGGAACCGAUAGAGGAACUGCACCGGCAACAGAGAGCAACUGAUAUGGUGGAGAAUAGAGAUGGGCAAAAUAUCCCGGUUAUCCGCCCAUUUAAAGUUCACAGUUACGGUUAUGGUAAUUGAACGGUUAUGGGUACUACCCGUGGUUAUAACGGGUAUCUAUUGGUUAUGGGUAUUAUCCGCGGUUAUAACAGGUAUUCAUUUACCCAUUUAAUUUCAUAUAUGUAAAAUUUAUAAUAUUUUUAACAGUUAUAACGCGUUUUUGUAUUUGUUGCCAAACUUUUCGUAUACAAAAAAUUUGAAGCACAAGAAGCCAACAAGGAGAAAGAUCAAAGAGCUUACUUGAAGCUUAUGAUCUAUCCUGCGGUUAAUAGAAAGUACUGGUAUUAGUGUAGAAAAAUGUUUGUUUUUAGAAGCUUUAUUUUGUAAUCAUAUGAAUUAUAAUUAAAGACUUGCUUGGGUGUAGUAAAAAAAUAUCGUUUGUAAACUAUUAUUUCAAUUAUUAGAAUUGUAUGAUGACCUAAAUGAUUAAAAUAGAGAAAUGCAUGCUAAAAUGUAUUUAUAACAGUGUUUAAUUGUCAGAUUUUUUUUUUUUUUGUAAUUUUCAAGUUGUUAAAAAAAACAUGCAGAGAGGUGAAAAAAGGGAUUAAAAAAUGAUAAACGGGUUCAAAACGGGUAAACGGGUAAAUGAUUAUGGUUAAAUAGGUAAACGGUUAUGGGUAAAUGGGUACACGGUUAUGGGUAUGAGUAUAACCGUUUAUGCAAUUACCCAACGGGUAAACGGCUAUGUGGGUAUGAACAUAAAUGGUUAUGAGUAAAUAACCGCGGUUACCCGCCCGCUAUAACCAUUGCACAUCCCUAAUAGAGAACAUACGAGAAUAGCCGCUUGGAUGGUCAAUCCAAGAAGAGAAAAUCUUGCCACAAUCACGGUACUUGAAAAAAAAAACAAUUUUAAAGGAGGGAAACAAUCGCGCCUUUUUUUUAAUAGACUCUGUCGACGAUAUUCUUGACAAAUAGUCGGGUGAGCUUAUUUUUCACAACAUUUUAUUUAGGACUAGGUUCGGUUGGCAAAUCGUGUCAAAUUUCUUGUGCCAUUUGCCAGCCACAUAUACAUAAUUACCAAAAAUCAGUUACCGUUCGCCAACCAUCUUCUUGCGGUUGCCAAAAAUCGGUUCAACCAAAAUGAUUGGCUGGUUCGGUUGGUAAAUGGCACAACCGGUGGUUUCCACUUCUUCCUCGCUAUCUUCUAGUUGCAAGGGCUCAAUUUGAUUUUCAGAUUGGGAUGCUUGUUCGGUUGCAUUGUGUGGUUCAUUUUGGGUUAAUCCAUGUUGUGCACUAGCAAUUAAUUGGCUAGACUCCAUCAUCCUAAACAUAAGCAACACAUAUACAUUCAAAAUCAUAUAUAUGUACGUGUAUAUAUAGUAUCAGUAAUCAUCAUGUUAUCAAUUUUGUUAACAAUAUUUUCUAUAUUGAUUAUGGCAUGAAUCAUAUACAUAUACAUAUAUUUUUUAAACCCUAAAACUAAGGAGUUAUUUAUUUUCUAAGCCCUAAAAUUGAGGAGUCAAGCAUGUAAAAAAAUACUUAAAAUAUCUAAAUAGAAAAAGAAAAAAAAAAAAAAAAAUAUAUAUAUAUAUAUAUAUAUAUAUCGGUAGGUAUGGCAUACCGCCGACAUACAAAAUCAAUUACCAAAGCCAUGCCAUUAAUUGUCGGUUCGGUAAAAUGCCAACCGAUUAUGAAAAAAUGCCAAAACUAUACCAUACCAUUUUGAGCCAACCGGUAUGGUUCGGUCGGUAAAUCGGCUUAUGGCAAAAUUUCUCACCCCUAAUUUUAUUUGUCGCCUUAAACCUAUUGGUUUCUAGCCUACAAUUUGGAUAUUUUGUUGGGGAAAGAUUUUUGUACCAAUAAAAUUUUGCUUUGUCAGCUUAGGAUUUGUCGGCAAAAUGACAUUUUCUAGUCGUUAUAAUAUUAGGUAGAUCAAAUUUGUAAACUAUGUGAUGUGUCACCAAUAGGAAAAAAAUUCAGUGUGCUGAAAAUACAGUCUAGAACACCAAGUGUCAUAAUAUAUACUUGGUUGGAAAUUUUUUAUUUUCAAGUUUCCAACUAAUUGUAUUGUAACAGUUGGUGUUCCAAGCUAUUUUCUCGAUGCGUUGGAAAAUCUCUUCACCAAUUAAAAAUAAACAUAUUAAUUAACACUUAAGUAAUAAUCAAAGUAUCAACAACUACGUCAUAAAAUUUACGAAAUAUGAUCUUAAUUAAUGAUCUCCAUGGCAUUACCCUUUAUCUUAGCGUAUACGUACGCCUUCACAUGUUUAUUUGCUGAUAUGCAGCUUGAGUAAAAAUUUCUUUUUAAGAACAUAUAUGUGAAUAUAAACAUAUAUAUCUAGUGAUCCAUGUUGCGUUAUUUAAAAAUAAACAAAUUAAUUAAUUAAUAAAUGAACUGUGUGCAUGUCUGUGUAGAGUAAUCCAUAUGCAUGCUUGAAUCCUGAUCACCACGAAACCAUAAUAUAAGCUACUCAAGGCCCGGAAGCUAGGAUUGAAGAGAAAAACACCCAGUCAGAUUAAGCCAAUAUAUCAAAGUUAAUACUUCGAAAUGUAAGCUUUAAGAUAGAAAAAUCACUUACUACCUUGAGCAGUCGAGCUUCUUCAAUGGCAUGAAGCUUUUAGCAUGAGAUUGACUGCAUCACAACUAAAAUUUUCUCUUGGAAACUACAUAAGGAAUAGCAUGUAUACCUAUAACGUUGAGAAAGUACGCCAAUUUUUUCCUUCUGCACAUUCAUGUUUAAAAGUAAUCCUCAAAUGAACUUGCCCACAAUGAAAUGCAAUUUGAGGUAGUCGAGUGUGUUCCAUUUCCAUUCCAUGGGAAUUACUACUAAACUUUGAGAUGGUAAAGGAUUCAUGAAAUUUUUUACUUUUGAGAUAGCCUCUUUAACAUUUCUCGACUAUAACAAUGAGGGAAUACUUCACCUUGUAUCAAACAAGGGAGAGCGAAAAUCAACUACUAAUAGCAUCACAGAGCCAGCAGAAGAUUGAGGAGGCCAUGAAGAGGAGAGAGAAAAUACACUCUUUUUUUUUGUAAGGACAGAGAUAAUACAUUCAGUAAGGGGUACUGAUGUUUAUAUGCAAUGCUGAUUAGGUUUAAAUAGUCCUAUUUAUUCUGUACAGUGCCAAUAUUACCACCCGUUAGUACACUUUCAAGACACUGUACUCCAGUGUGUGCGCUAUGCAGUACGUAGUACUCCUCAUUUUUUGGGGAAAUUCAUUAUUGGUCUUCAUAUCUUCUUUAUUUUCCUUUUCCUCAUUGUGCCACGUGUUUAAAUCACUAAUUGUAGGUAAUCUUUCAAUUUAAUUAAAUCUUAUGUAAAAAAAGAUAUUUAAAUAUCAUUUAGUAUUACAAGAUAGUGAUAUUCCUCUUUAGUAUAAAAUUUUUAUAAUUAAAAGCGUUCAGUUUUUUAAUCUUCAUUUGAAUACUAUCUAUAAAGAAAAAUUAUUCGAAUAAGAGAUCGUUUAUGCAUUCAAAUGUACAAAAUGCAUCGACAGUGUGAGAACGAAUUAAUAUAUUUUUGAUGAAGUACAAUUAUUGAAUACAUUUGAAUGAUCAAAUGAUAUAUGAUUCAAAAUACAUAUUAAGAUAAUAAAUAUAAGUGAAUUGUUAUUAGCACUCCAAGAAUCUUAUUAUACACUCUAAAUUUUCUAUAUUUUGAAUGAAAAAUAAAUUUAUGAAGAGUGUAGAAUGAGAUUUUUUAAUGCUAAUAACACUUCUCUAAAUAUAAUUAUGAAAUUAAUAAAGUAAAGAUACAUGACCUCGUGAAUGAUGUAUGUAUUAUUCAAAAAAUUAUUAAAAACAAAUUGAAAAAGGACGCUGUUGUUGCCACCACUUAUGCAAUGAUCGUCGCUGCCAUCACCAACCCCCAACACCCCAUUACAGCUCAUAAAAGCACAUCAUAAGCAAUUUAUGAAAUAAAUUUACUGGAAUACUAAUUUCCCCCUUAGUUUAGGUCACCAAUGUUUAAAUUUAGGGGUGUGAUAUGCACAUACCUUUUUUUGCUUCUCUCACACUUUUUUUGUUGUUGUCGAAUCAGAUGAAUUGAAGAAGAUCAAUUGACAGAAAUUAACAAGGGGUGUAUGAAAAGUAAAAAUGGAUGUGUAGAUAACACAUCCCUAAAUUUAUCACAACUUUCAUUCCAAAUUUAAUUUUUAUGCGUAGUUUUGUUUGUUCAAAUUUACUUUGACAUUUCAAUUAGUAUUAAAAUCUAAUUUAAAUUUUAGCGUUCAAGCUAGAAAAAGUGUUCCAUUUAAUAUUUAAUCUCAGUUUUUCUCUUUAUUCUUUUAUUCCGAUUUGGUUGCAUCGUAUCUCCAUUUUUCUCGGUGUUGUAUGUUCAUAAGGCCUGGGAAACGUUGGCACGGAGUGAAGGGUACUCACUUUUUGGCCCAAAAUGCAUAAGGCAUGUAGAUAUGUUAAUCAAAUUUUGUAAACUAAAGGAUAUAGAAGUUGAUACUUAGAUUAUAAUUUAAGAUAAUACUAAAGAGACUAAAUUUGCAAACUAAAUGAUGUGUCACCAAUAAAAAUAAGCACGUUUAUCAACGCUUAAGUAAUAAAUCAAUCAUCAACUUUCAUGUCCUUUAGUUUCCAAAAUUUAAUAUACAAAUUUAGUCUCCCAAGCAUUACUCUAUUACUUAAGUAUUGAUUAACAGACUUAUUUCUUAUGGUGACAUAUUAUUUAAUUUACAAAUUUAGUCAACCCAACAUUACUCUUUUGAAAUUGUCUUGUCCACUGAUAUAAUUCUAUUUUUCUUGUGAUCAAAACUUCAAAUGUUAGCAAGUCGCACGUAAAGUCACUUCUGAGAGAAUGUGCUCACAUUGUAGUUGAAAGAUUAUGUGGCUAGCAACAUUACAAAUUUAAUUUGGUAUAAUUUAAAAUAUAGAUUGAGGAAAAAAUGAUCACAUUAACUAGAAACUGAAAAGGUUUCAGCACAGUUUGUUCAAGCAAGAAACUCAAUUUUGAUGCUACCGAUCUUAACAGCCUGAGCGCCGUACCUGGGCACUAAAGUCACCACCACACUCUCAUCAUCUUCAGCACCCAAAUCCUCCAACAGGUCCGUUAACCCCAACCUUAAACAACUCUUGCUCUUUUCCUUCUGCUUAUGUGGAACACUCACAAAACUCCCAGCAAACUCGCUCUUGUCGGGUCCACUCGGUGCCGCAUCCUCAUCGUCCACGUCAUUCACAUACACAUCAAACUUCACAGCCACAUCUUUGUCAAGCUCAAUCCCCUGAAUCACCAGUAUCUCCUCCUCAUCCUCUUUCUCCUUCUUGCUCCUCUUCUUCGGCUUCGGCCUUGACACCACCGUACUUAUCUUUGUCUCCAAAUUUAUUGGAAAAUCUUUACCCGCCACCACCUUCCCCGAUGACGUCGUCUCAGCGGCCUUCGCCACUCCAGCCGCCUUUGCCUUUCUCGCAAGCUUUGUCCGACGUGGCGUCGGUCUAGACUUGAGCCAUGGAAUCUCAACAUCUUCAUACGUAUACCCUAGCUUUUUAUUAUCAAGAGUGUCCCUCACCGUGACCCUAACAAGCUCAGCAUUCUCGUCAUAAAACAAAAACCCCGUAUCCAACCAAUCCUUAUCGUUAAUAUCUUUAUUUUUAGUCCCUAUACUUUUCCAAAUAUUCCACAUUCGAUCUAUAUUCGAAUGGUGCGAAAAAAAUAUUGGAUCCCUUGCAGCGGAGUAAAAAUUCCCCAUGUCUUCAAAAUUAGGUUGCGUGUUAUCUCCGGUCCAUGUAUGAACCGGACCAUGUGGGGUCGUUUCGAUUGAACCGGCCCCUGGAUCUGGUUCGGUGCCAGCCCUGUAGGGCGAACCAAAGAACAACAGCGGUUUCUUGGAGUUGGAAACCAUCUGCCUAUACAUGAUUUUGAGGUUGGCGUCGAUUUGAGCAUCCUUGGACAUUGUUUCAUCCGUGCCGUUAAAGUCAAGAUCGAUGAGAGUCGGCGGCUGAUGGCUGGCAGCGCGGAGCUCGUCGUAAAGCGGAGAGUCCGGGUUAGCGAACAAGGCAGGGAGUUGCAUGCCAGCUGGCGCGUCCCAGUUCCAAAACGGCAACGCGAACGUCGGAUCGUCUAUGAGUUUGGCCAAGAUUCUUUCGUGGAAGUAUAGGUAGUAACGAUGGAAGGGGAAGAAAAGCCAGGAUUGAUGGAUUUGGAGCUCGAGGUUGGGGAAGCCGACUUGAUCGUACGCGCCGUCGCAAUAGGCACAGUGGAUAUCGGCUUGCUGGGUGAAGCUACGCGGAUCGUCGUCCGGGAGGGCUUUCAUGAGCUCGAUGGCUUUUGAAUAUUUUUCGAUGUAGGCUUUAUCCACGGUGUGAGCUGCCGGCCUGACGCGGAGUUUGGUAGGGGAGGGGAAUUUGAAGUCUACGAUUUUUUGGGACGUUGGCGGGCAACAGUUGGUCGGGACUGCUCCACUUGGAAAGUCCGCACCUCCGCAUUUGGCUAGGUCAGGCGGCGACACUGGCUUUGCAACAGCGAAGGGGUCGCUGCCAAGACCAGCCACUCCACCGUACAGGCUUCCGAGACCUAUAAGUACAUGUCUUCUGUCUAGGUUUACUGGAGAAAGGUUUUCAUGGUCGUGAUCGUUGGAGCUAGUGGAAGGGUUUUUGUUUUGGUCACUACUAUUAUUCGUGGCUUUGCAUGAGACGGCUUGUAAAUUGGAAUGCCUAGGGUUUUCAAAUAAGGAAAUUCGGUGAUACUUUUGGGAGAAAGGGAAGAGAGAAGUUGUGGGGAUGAUACUUGUGGUGGAGGUGACGAGUGGAGCUGACAUAGAAGCCAUGGUUACUUGACUCUGAAUACUACGUUGUAUAGGCUUUGCUUUUAUAAUGUGUUCUAGGUUUUACUUUUCUUUGCACAGGUGGCAGGCCGUACACAUUGGCGGUCCUUAAGGGUUUGACGAGGAAUACUACGUAGUCAUUUAGUACAGGGCAACCAUGCACUAUAGCACGUGGCAUGUAAUAUUUACGUAGUCUCAGAAGGUGAAGCGGUUUUGGGCUUCUUGUGUACCAAUAAUAUUUACGUACUCAUUAUUCCACUGGAUGGAUUGCGUGCACGUGAUCUUUAUUCAAACAAAUCACUAUUGACCAUAUAUUGCAAUUGGUUAAUGUUAGGCAAAUUAAAUUUUUACAUCAAAUAAUGUGGUUGCUGAUUAUUGAAUUAUUAUUUAAGUUUGAUUAAUGUGCUUAUUUUUUAUCGGUAAUACAUCAUUUGAUUUGCAAAUUUGAUUUACCUAAUAUUACCAGUUAUAAUUUGUAUAAAUGGACUGGUACCUAACAUUACCAAUUGUAAUUUGUAUAAAUGGACUCGUACCUAACAUUACCGGUUGUCCCAAGAGCACACGCUACUGCUCAAGAAGCAAAGUUCUUAUUUGCCCAAAAAAAAUCAUGGUUUUUUAAUUGAUGCUCUCAUUUUAAUUUACUAGCCCCUUACUUGGCCCUUUUUAUUUAUCAUUUUAUACAUAUUAAUAUUUUGUUUGUAAAAUAUAUUAGUGUUAGUUUUAUCAAAAUUAAAAAUAAAUAAAAAACUUAGCUUUAGUAUUUAGUUAUUGAAAUUGUAAAAAAAGUGAUAAAGUAUUGGGUGCUUUGUUUGAAAAUUUUCAAAAUGAUAUUGUUUUUACCACUGAACCCCUGUUAUAUACAGUGAUGGCUAAUUUGUCAAGUUCUACGAAGUUGGGAUACCCAGCGUUUUAGCAUAUAACAUAGCUUAGUAUUUCAAGCAUAAUUAAUUAACGAAAAAUUAGUAUCCGGUCCCUAGUUUUUACUGUUCAUUGACUAAGACCUUAUUAGUUCUCAAAUUUUGAUUCAAGUCCCUAGCAUUAAUGUGAUAAUGAAUUUACAUGUUUAUUAUAUAAUUUUUUAAUAUAAAAAUUAGUAAUUAAUUUAGGGUUUAAUACUCACACCUCUAUUAAACUUCUAAUUAAUUUUCAAUUCAGACAUUUCCAAAAUAAUAAAAAAUUAAAUUAAAUUAAGUUUGUACCUAUUAGUUUUUUUUUAUAUAUAAAAAGAUUCUCAAUUUUUAAUCUUAAAUGUACAUCUUAAAUGUACCCAUUCUCAAAUAUAUCAAUUUGUUAUAUGUAAAAUGUACCCUUUUUUAAUAUAAAAUCCAUUCAAAAUUUUUAAUCCAUGUUUAAACUUAUAUGGGUACAUUCUUUUUCGUUGAUUUGAGAAUGUAUCCAUGUUUUGGUACAAUAAAUUUUUUGUUAAUUUUGGUUAAUGUACCCAUACAUAUAUGUACACACACACACACACACACACACACAAUAUAAUAGAGAGUAUAAUUUAUAUUUUAUUAUUUUUAAUCCCAUAAAUGAUGGGUUUUAUUUAAAAUCUCAUUAAUAUAAACAAUUAUAAAUUUCAAUUUUUAAUUUUUAAUUUAAAAAAUAUAGUAACUUACAUUAUUACAUUAAUGUCAGGGACCUCAAUAAAAAACUAAAAACUAACAAGGUUUCAAUCAAAGAAUAUUGAUAGCUAGGGACCACAUCCAAAGUGUCCCUUAAUUAAAGGGUAAAUUACAUAGUAACCCCUCAGGUUUGAUGUCUAUUACAACCCCAUACAACAUCUUUAAAACAUUUCACUUUCAUACCUCAAGUACUAUUUUAUUUCAAUAUAAUACAUCUGUUAGAUUUUCCAUCCAUUAAUCCGUUAAAUGCUGACAUGGAUACCACAUUUGUGCCACGUGGCUGCCAAAUGCGUGUCAUGUGGCAAAAAUAAUAAUUUUUAAAUUUAAAAAAAAAUGAAUCUUCAACCCAAAAAAAAAAAAAAAAAAAAAACCCCAAACCCAGAUCCCAUCAACCCCCCCCAAACGAUUAUCCCUUCCCCAUAUCCCCCAUCCCACCCCCCAACCCCCCCUCUGCGACCAACCUUACCAUAGCGCCCCCCAACCUCGCGACCCACCUCACUCAAGGCCCUAAUCCACACUACCUACAACCCAGAAACGAAAAAAAAAAACAAAAAACAAAAAACUCAUCUCCCUUUCCCUGCAACCCAAAUCCCAUCUUCCCUAAUGGGUAUGGAUUUAAGAAGUGGGGUGUGUAGAGGAGGGAAGAGGGUGGGUGCGGAGGAUGGGUAUGGUGGGUUGCAAGGAAGGGGGGUCGGGUAAGAUGAAGAUGGGUUUUUUUUUUCUCUCUCUCUUCUUCUUCUUCUGGGUUGCAAGUUGUAGGUUGGGGUUUUUUUUUGGGGGGGGGGGGGAGGGAGGGAGGGAAGACGACGUGGGGUUUGGUUUUUUUUUUUUAAUUUAUUUAGAAGAUUUAGGUUUUUUGAAAAAAAAAAAAAAAUUCCACGUGGCACAAAUGUGGCAGCCACGUCAGCAUUUAACAGAUUAAUAGAUGGAAAAUCUAACGGAUGUAUUAUAUUGAAAUAAAAUAGUACUUGAGGUUAGAAAGUGAAAUGUGUUGAUGCACAAAACCGAAGGUCUUUGAACAACGUAAAUCCGAUCGUGAAUAUGCAAGUAAUGUAAAUAACACAAGAUGUAUCGUGGUUCACUCCAAUGUUUGGGCUACGUCCACACUGAUUAUUGUAUUUCUCUGAGAGGUGAGGGGGAGAGCUUUGAGAAAGCUUAGAGCUUAGGGGAUGUGAGAAGGCUUAAGAAUUGGCCUCCCUUAUUUGUGAGGGUGAUGAGUCCUUUUAUAGAAUAAGGGAUCCUCACUUAUUACAUAUUUGCCCAUUCCUUUAUUACAUAAUUACAUUUAAGUCCCCUGAGUACUUGUACAAGGUCUAAAUACGGAGGCCCUAAGUAUGGUACAAACAGUAGUCCCCCAAGUCUUCAGUCAAGAGAGUCUUUUGGCUAGAGACUUGAAAUUCUGUCCAUGUGUGAGCCGAAAUAACUAGAUGUCGUCUAGAACUGAUAUUUGAUAUGCGGCAGUGCCCAUUUUGAAAUAAUGCUCAACUAGAAGUAGCACAUGCUGCGAGGCUGCUCUGCUUGUGUUGCCUUGGUUGGCUCGACUUGUGGCGUUGAAGGUGAGAGAGUCCCUUUUAUAGAAUAAGGGCUCGCUCCUCAUUACAAAGAUGAUGGGUUAGUUGGUGCUUGCGGUGAGGCGGAUGCUCAGCUGGCGGCGAUGCUCUCUAAUGAUAGUGAGGGAGUCCAUUUUAUAGAAUAAGGGAUCGCUCCUCAAUACAUAAAUAAUAGGUGCUCUCUAAUGAAAGUAAGGGAGUCCCUUUUAUAGAAUAAGGGCUCACUCUUCAAUACAUAAAUAAUGGGCUAAGUCCCCUAAGUAUUUUUUAUGAGGCCUAAUUGAGGCCCAAUAUAUGGUACAUAAUGUAGUCCCCCAAGUCUUCGGUCAAUAGAGUCUGUUGGCUGGAGACUUCAAAUUGAAUCCAUGUAUGGGCCGAAGUGGCGGUUGUUCGGAAGCGGUAUUUGUAUACCCUGCACUGAAGCUUUAUAGGUGAAGCUUUGCAAGUGAAGCUUUGAAGCUGGAGCUCAGUAAAUGAAGCUUUUGAAGCUAGAGCUUUUGUAAAUGAAACUUUUGAAGCUGGAGCUCUAUAAAGGAAGCUUUUGUAAAUGAAGCUUUUGAAGCUGAUUCACAUGAGUGAUGCUCAUGAAUGUUUAUGUUGAUUGAUAUGAGUGAUGCUUAUGGAUGUUGACAUGAGUGAUGCUCAUGGAUGUUGACGUGAUGCUCAUGAAUGUUAACAUGAGUGAUGCUCAUGAAUGUUUAUGUAUGAUUGAUAUGAGUAAUGUUCAUGAAUGUUUAUGUAUGAUUGACAUGAGUAAUGCUCAUGUAUAAUUUGAAGUACUGGGCAUACUUUUGAUUACCUGGUUGGCGAUAAUAGCGGCAGGGUGCCGAAUAAUUUUUUGUAGUACUGGGCGUACUUUUGGUCACCUGGUUGGUGAUAAUAGCAGCAGGGUGCCGAAUAAUUUUUUGUAAUACUGGUCGUCCUUUUGGUCACCUGGUUGGUGCUAUUUUGAGCUUAUGGGCCUUCGCCCUCUACACAACAUUCCAGCCUAUUUAUUUUGGGCUUUACCGUUUUUUUUAAUUACCCUAUGAUGGGGUUUAUACAGAUGUCUCCGAAAGAUAUGAAAAAUAAAUUACAUCAUUCAAAAAUAAAUCCGACCCUCUGCUCAAUGGGUCACGCCAAUAAUUCUUUUUUUUUAUGCAUGCCAUCACCACCGCAAUUAUGUCUGCUUCUUUUUAUCUUCUUUUGCUUUCUGCUUUUGCUUUUACUUUAUCUUUCUCUUUUGGCAUAUGGCAGACAACGCCAAAACGGAAUAAUGAAUUAUUAUGAGAACAUGAAUCUUAUCUUUUGCCUGGUUUUCCACUAGUGCUCGUGGUAUUCUCAGGAGAUUGGAUCUGGGGGUAGGCGACUACCCCAGCACCUUGCCCUGAUACGUAAUAGCCUGAUGUCCCACUGCCAUCUCCAUACUGGAAGGUGUACGAACAAUGGUUAUUCUGUGUGGAACAAAUAGAAUCCGAUUGAGAUUCAAGACUGCACCUUCGAUCUGAGCAAGAAAUGAAUUGUGACGUUGAUGAACUUCUAGGAGGAGAAGCAGAGGAUCUUUGACUAUGAUGAUCUUUGAAUUCCAGAUGAAACUGAAUAAAAUGCAGGUUGUGGAGCUUGAUGUGGGCCCAGAUCUGCUUGACAGCUUUGGGGCGGGAGGAUUCCUUGACACUGAGGAAGAUUCCCAGAGCUGGAGGGAUGAGAAUCGACUUCAUAAUCCCGAUGGUGGGUUUGUGCUUGGUCGAAAGAUCAUUUCUGGCAGGGGAAAACAUGUACCAUACCUAUUGCAAAUCUUGCAAAUUCUCUGCUUCUCCAUGGAAGAUGAAGAGCAUCGAAUCUCUGUUUUCUCUCUCUCUCUCUAAAACGUUUUCGUUAUAGAGUGCCCCAAUAGAAGUGGACGGGCAGUGAGCAUGCCAUUUAGUGCCUCCUCCAAGACAGUAACUGAUACGGUGGUCUUUAUUGGCACUCCAAGUUUACUAAAAAGGGCAGCAAAAAUAGUAUUUACAGCACCCAAACUUGAAAGAUCUAGCUCCAACUAGUGGCUUUCUGUUUCAACAGCCUGAAAGCCGGCAGUGUCAUACCGACGCCGUUUGUCUGGAUCAAAUAAUAUAUUAUAAGAAAACAUGACCUUCUUGAAGAUAUCAGCUGUUUUAGAGUCAUUAGCAUUUUUGUCAGGAUGGUACUUGAGAGCCAUUUUCCGGUAAGCACUUUUGAUUUCCUGGUUGGUGGAAUUCCUAUUGAGGCCGAGGACCGCAUAAGGGUUUUGUCGGAGCUGCUUCUUAGCUUCUUGCUUCUCCGAUUUUGAUCGGCUGCCCUGCAUUUUUGAAAUUGACGGUCAAUUUCUUCACAAAACCCUAGAAAUUGCCUCUCGAUUACCUCCGAAACACAUAAUUCACGACUCUUGGUUGAAAUUUUUUUUUUUCAUUUCAAAGAAGUGGCGGAGGUAAAUCAGUUGUCACAUAGCACCGGAGCAUGAGGAAAACCUAGAAAACCAAGAGGCAGAGAGACUCCAUGCACAUCUAACCUGGAACCUUGCAGGAGAGAGCAGAGAGAAAGAGACAAGAAAGAUUGAGGGAGAAGCGAUCUUGGUGCAUCGUCUGUGAUUCCUUGGUGAUUUGCUCGAUCGGGACUCUGAAUUCGUGCAAGUCAUUGCUGUUAAGCAAGAAUCGCGAGGAGUCGGAGAGCUUGGAAAUCGAGAAGGAGAGAGGGCCUUUAGUCAGGGCUUGGAGGGUGUCGGACUCCGUCGGCCAAGAUUGGUGCACGGUCACGGCGUCUGGGCCCAUGGCGGUUGUGUAAAUGGGGGAGGUUCUAGGAGUCCAAGAAAGAAGAAGAAGCAGCGACCAUAGAUCUGGGAGUCCAUGGCGCUUGAAAGAUACGGCGAACAAGUCGGACUUGCUGCUGGGCAGCUGGCGGUGAUAAUGUUGGUGCAUGGGUUUUGGAGUGGGAGUGUUUGGAAUGGGUUUUUUGUUUAGUUUCUAUGUGUUUUUUCACAGAGAGAGAGAGAGAGAAGUGAUGGUGUUUAAGGGAUGAGUUUUGGAGCUUAGUGAAUGCUUUUUCUGGAAAAGCCCAGUGAGGUUUGUGGGUUUUUGCAGAUUUUGCAGAUUCGCGGUGGAGGUGAAAGAAUGAAAGAGAACCGACACAACUUUUCGUAUUGAUUCCCACAUACGGCGCCAAAUGUUGAUGCACAAAACCGGAGGUCUUGGAACAACGCAAAUCCGACCGUGAAUCUGCAAGUAAUGUAAAUAACACAAGAUGUAUCGUGGUUCACCCCAAUGUUUAGGCUAUGUCCACACUGAUUAUUGUAUUUCUCUGAGAGGUGAGGGAGAGCUUUGAGAGAGCUUAGAGCUUAGGGGAUGUGAGAAGGCUUAGGAAUUGGCCUCCCUUAUUUGUGAGGGUGAGAAGUCCUUUUAUAGAAUAAGGGUUCCUCACUUAUUACAUAUUUGCCCAUUCCUUUAUUACAUAAUUACAUUUAAGUCCCCCGAGUAUUUGUACGAGGUCUAAAUACGGAGGCCCUAAGUAUGGUACAAACAAAAUGUUUUAAAGAUGUUGUAUGGGGUUGUAAUAGACCUCAAACUUGAGGGGUUACUAUGUAAUUUACCCUUAAUUAAAAUAAGGGCAAAUGAAGAGGAUGGUUGAACUUGUUAAGUUUCUUAAGUGUGUCUAAUUUAAGUGUGUUGUUAAUAAACAUUUAUUAUGGAGGCAAAGAGAGGGAAGGUGCGGCAUAGAAAGAGAAGAGAGAGAUAUGUAAUUGUGAGUUGUGUUUUAUUCCAUCCCAUUGUGCAUUUAUUUAUAUUAGUUGGGAAAGUUAAUUCUUUAACCUUUUAGGAUUACAACUCUAAUAGGAAAAUAUAUAAUCUAAAAGAUAUGGUAGAAUCCCAUAAGAAUAUCCUAGAUAUGUUAGGAUUUACACAAUCAUAUUCCUAUUCCAAUAGGACUGCAAAACAUUUGUAUUUUUUUAUAAUUUUUUUGAUAAUUUGUUGGCAUUUUCAAUUUUUGUUAACAUUGAAAAUAUAACGGUUCAGAUGAAAAACCUUUGGAAAUCCAACAUUGAAAAUAUAACAGUUUGACGUUGGGCUGUGGUGAAGGAGGCUGGGCUGUCACGUGGGUGGGGCCCUCCCUCUCCCACUUGGUGAUUCAAAGGGCGCAGGCCCGUGCAACAAUUGAGGCAGCCCAUAGAGAUCCUGCGUUUCACCCAUUUGCCAUUUUUUCCACCGCUGGAGCACCAAAAUUCGGUCCAAAGGCAGGGGUUCCAAUUGCAUGGGCAAUUUGGUUUCCGCUGGAGGUGCUCUUUGUCGACUUUGUUUAUUCUUUCUUUUUAGCUUUGCAGUAAUAUUGAAGUAAUCACUCCAAUUGUAUCCGAACUUUUGUUGUCCAUCAAUUUGUAUCAAAACUAUUGGUUAAUUUACAUAUUCAGACUAACCUUCUCAUUAUUUUUAGUAUUUUUAUCAUAAAUAAUAUCUAAAAUAAUCACAUUUUAUUCAACAACCACUCAAUUAAAAAUUAAUUAAUGUUGUUUCUAAACCAUUACAUCGAGCUUUUGUAAAUACACAUCAAUAUUGCAGCGAUCCGAGGCAUUGUUUUCUACGCCUUGGAUUUGGCGAAUUGGAAAAGAGAAGAGUUACGAGUAAAAGUCCCUCACAUUAAGAGGGCUCCUCCUCGGGGAGAUGAAGAUGAUGAUCUUUUGUUUUUGUUUCUUAAUGAUUAAUCCACGCAGCAACAUAUAAUUAGAUUGUUGGGAUCUACUCAAGUUCCAUAUCACGCACUAAUAUAAAGUUUGACAAACGAAACGAAAUAUGUGCUCUCGAAAGCAAAAUGAGGGCACUGCUCCAAGAACAGGAAGGGCUCCUUGUCGAGGUUGCCAUCCGCCAUGAGGGAAAACCGGAAGAAGUUAGACAACAAUGAUGACAUCGAUUUGCAACACCCAUAUUGGGACAUCAAACUGUGAAAUAAAUACUCAAAACUCCUGGAAAGUCCUCGGGACAACAAACUUUUAUCUCCUUCAAAUAUUUCAUUUUACCAAGUUUUAUGUUUGAAGGGAGGGAAAAAAAGAGAUGAGAGAAUCCUACUCCUUAUUCUUGAAUAUAUUCAGGAAUAACUAUUGAAUAAAGAGAGAAUGGAAGGGGAUCGAAAGAGGAGGGAAGAUAAUUCUAGUCCCAAACAUAAAAAGGACCACAACUUUUAAAUUAUCAGCACGAUCAUCAUCUGAUUGAAGAGACCAUUCAUUGUGAAACAUAUCGUCAAUCAAUAUGUCUAUAUCUAUUUAUAUACCACAUUUUUGGAGUAGGAUUCUCCCCCCUCCUAUUACCAUCCCCUUCCAUCCCCUUCCAUCCCCUCCUUUCAUACUUUUUUUUUUCUUAUUCUCUAUAUAAAAAAUUCAAAACAAGAUGUAGAUGUGUCGUAAUCGCAAUAGUUUAAAUAAAAGGAGAUGGAAGGAGAGAUAAAUUACGAGGGGAGAGAAUCUUACUCCCACAUUUUUCUUCUUCAUAAACAAAAGAGAGGUUCUAGAUUACUUGACUCUAUGCCUCAUUUUUUUCAUCAAGUAUUUGUGCUAAACGGGUUCAGUUUCAAGUAUUUUAGUUUUUUGUCAAAAUUGAGAAAACUGAAAAUCAAACAUUAAUAUGCAAAAUUAAAAAAUCAACACAUAAUUAUUUAGAAAUCGCAAUAGAAAAGAAAAAAUGGAGGUUUGUGAUGAAAAAUCUUUUAUACUAAGUAAUUUAGUAUCCUUAUGCAUGAAGAUAAUCAAUUCGUUCGUUAUGGUCAGACUCUUUUUGAAUUUUUGAACACAUUCUCCAUAGGGCCUUCUUAUUUGUUCCUUCUCCGAGUUGGGGUUAUGGAAGAAGUAAAAGAAGGAACCAAGAAGAAAGUAUUGGCAACAACCGAUUUCGUUACGGGACAACUCUUGAUAUUCAUAUCGAUCUAUUAUGUACCUUUGCAUCUAGCAUUAGACAAUAACUGUCAUAGCUUUACCAUAUUUUUUUGUUUCAUUUCUUCUGAAACAAUAACACACACUUUUUUAUUAUGUGUCUAAUACUAGGAAUUCAAUACAUAAUCUUAGCAUUCAAUAGUUAUUCCUGAAUAAUUUCAUUUUUCAAUUGAUCAACCAUUUCAUUUUUCCAAGUUCAAUCAAUGUUAGUCACAUUAGUCAACAUUUAUAUAUUUUGAUGCAACAACAAUAUGUUAUUUGUAACAAGUGAUUUUGCUAGUUGGUUAAUUGGUCACAAGUUAAUGUUCGGUUCAGUUCAGCUUUUCUCUCGAUUUUUUGCGAUUCGGUUUUUUCGAUUCUCUUUAGAUUCGGUUCGAUUUUGUUUUUUUAUUUAUACUUAAUUUUUUUUAAUCUGAAAACACCAAGAACAACACAAGCAUACUCAAUCAAACAACUAUCCUUCUCCACAAAUCACAGUAAUAAUUACAUUCAUUUAGCUAAAAUGCAAAUAACUAACAAACUCACAAAAAUCGAAUAAAAACUACAAAUUGCUUACUCUUUUUCUUUGGGUUUCACUCGAAAAGUGUCGGUAAAAUUUAGGGUUUGCAAGAACGCAACCGAAAUCCAAAACGGAGGCUCUGUGGCUUGUGGGCUGCUAUUGAGUUCCAGUACGGAAAACCUUGCUUACUCUCUAUCACGGUACAAAGUAUCAGUACCUUUAGCACUGUAUUUGGUAGAACCAAAUUAAAAGCUAACAUCAAUAACAACUACCAGAGACAUAAGCUCUUAUCAAUGCUUUGGAAACAGUCAUGUAUCUCCAAGUGUAAUGAUAUAAUUAGUAAGAAAUUUAAAAGAAAAAUGGUGAUUUCAUAUAAAAUCAAUAAAAAGUUACAAUAUUGACAAUAUAUCAACAAUUUUUAUGGGGUAAAUUACAUAGGACCCCCUCAGGUUUGAGGUCUAUUACAACCCCAUACAACAUCUUUAAAAUAUUUCACUUUCAUACCUCACCUACUAUUUUAUUUCAAUAUAGUACCUCCAUUACAUUUUCCAUCAAUUGAUCCAUUAAGAGCUGAAUUGGUUGCCACAUUUGACACGCCCCGAUCCCGAUAUCCUCGGGAUAUCAGGAUGGUCACGUGCUGGCCGACACCCGAGGGUGACGAAAGCCAUUUAUUGAGUGCAAUUGCUGAAAAUAAAGGAUAGAUAAAACUUAUAAAUGUAAAAGAAUAAGGAAUAUGCAUUUAAGGAACGUGUUCAGAGCAUACAACUAACUAGAACACUAAAAGAAUGAUAUAAAAUGGAAUGAAUAAAAGAAUGAGUCUUACACCAAGAGGACUCGAAGAUGCCGAUGCGGAAGUACCUUGAUUGUCGGGAUUGUACGCCUCGAUCCUAAAUCCUGAAGGGGGCGCAAAACAAACAUGAGUGGACCAAGUUGAUAUAUAUAUAAUAAAACAGUUAUCAAUAUACUAACCCCCAGGUUUAUGAAAACAAAUAUAUAAUGAUGAACAUAGGUUUUCCGAAACCUAGCAUGAUGUGCAGUAUCUCAAAUCAUAACUCAUAUAUAAUAAUCACUAGUGAAUUGUCCGAUAACCUGCAGGCCCCAUGCCGGCUCCCCGUCUCUGAGCAGACAGUCAGAGGAAAAUACACUUCAGGCCCCAUGCCGGCUCCCCGUCCCUGUGCUAAAUAGCCAGAGGAAACACACUCCAGGCCCUAUGCCAACACCAAACCGUCGCCCGGGACGGACCGGAAUCUAUUCCUACGUCCCGUAGCGGAAAUGACCACUAGGUAAGUACAAAACCAUUGAACAUACAUAUAUUGAAAAACAACUUCAUAGUAUAAAGUCAUCCAUCAUCUAUACUAUAAAGAGGUGUUCGAAACAUGUUCUAAAUAUCAUAUCGUCAUCCAUCAGAUAUUCUAUAAGAACACGGGUUAUAGGAAAAAUAGUAAUAAUUCAAGGUAGCCUCAGUAAGCAUGUUAUCUCAAAACGUUUCAUAAAACGUAAUCAUUAAAUCAUGCAUUUCAUGUAUGCAUUUCUACUAUUAAAACAUGCUUUUGAAGGGGUCCACUCACAGUACUUAGCCGCCGAAGAGCCACGCAAACUAACGUCACCAAUAUUGCCCCUAAGCACAUAAAUGGUCCAAUUAAUAAAACUAUAUAAUAGCAAUUGGAUUUGGGAAAACGGACGUUGGAAACGGAUUCAGAACGUCGAAUUACCCUAAGAAGGGUCCCGGACGAAAACCCGAAAAGUCAACUCUAAAGUCAAUGUUGACCGGAGGUCAACGGUCAAAUUAGGUCUAACGGGUUUUAGGCUUGAAAUCCGGAUUAGGGUUUAGGUUAAAUAGGAUUAGGAUUUAUUGGGUUUUGGAAUUCUAAGGUUUUUGGGUUAAAAGGGUUUAGGGUGAAAAUGGGUGGUUUGGGCUUAAUCCCAAACUCACACACAACACACACACACACUACACAAACCCUAAAACACACACACACACACGGGCUGCACUAGGGCAGCCCUCACAACACUUCACAAAGGCCCUAAGGCCUUAUUAAAGGACAGGGCUUUAAGCCCUUUAAAGGAUACUGGCCCAAGGCCCGUCAAAAUAAGGCCCGAGGCCUUUGGGUUUUAAAAAGAACAAGAACAAAUUUAAAAGAAAAGGGGCUGGGGUCUACUGGGCUAAGAUAUAACGGGCUUAAGGCCCGUGGGGUUUUCUAAAGGGCCUGAGAGGCCUGGGUUUGUCGAAGGAGAAGGCCGGAAUUUCGGCCGGAAAACCACCCAACUUUAAAUGGCCAUAACUUUGUCAAUACUCAACGAAAUCAAGCAAGACAAAAAUGAAAGUUGUAGCCCUUGAAGCGACGAAGAGAAUGGUUCCUCACACGACGUCUAACUCGCCGUGGUUUGGCCGGAAAAUGCCUCGAAAUCCGUCGGACUCGCCGGAAACUGGGUAAGAUUCAAAUGAGUAUAACUUCUUCAAUACUCAACGAAAUUAAGUGAAACAAAAAGGAAAGUUGUAUUACUCGACGAGACGAAGAGAUUGAUACCUUACACGCCGGCCAACUCGCUGUGGUUUGGCCGGAAAUGGCCUCGAAAGGGGCGGUGCUCGCCGGAGCUUACUCCGUGCCGUCGAACUCGCAGGGUAGGGUCCGGGGUUCGUUGCAAGCCUCUCUUCGAUGGUGACUCGGUCCUAGUGAGUCCAGGGGAAGAGAGAGAUGCGAAAGGUUGAGGGAGAGAGAGACGGGAGAGCUGAGAAAGAGAGAGCUACGGGAGGGAGAAACGAAGAAGAAGAAGAGAGAGAUCAGAAAACAUAAAAAAAAUAAACAAGGUGGGCCCCACGGGCUCACCAAUUAAGGCUUUAAAACAAUUUUAAAAUAUAAAAGAGGGUUGGGGUGUUUCAACAUUUGUACCACGUGGCAAAAAAAAAACCUAAAUCUUCUAUACAAAAAAACUAAAAAAACCAAAAAAAGCAAAAUCGAACACUCCACCCCGCAAAAAUCCUAGCAUCUUCCUUUUAUUCCCCACAACCCCAAAUUCCCCCCCAAAACCCCUAAAACCCAAACCCUAAUUCCUCCCCCACAUGAAGAAAAUCCCAGUCCAAUUCAAUCCCAAUUACCUCAAAUCCCACCAUAGAAACCCUAAAUUUUGGUUCCUCAAUCCCUAGAUUUCCCACGCCUCUGUUGCCUACACCUUAUCAAUCUUUAGCUUUCUCCCUCAUCCCCUCCAUGAACGACACUUUCUCUCAUCCGCUGUUCCCCAGCAACGGCACCGAUACCUACGAGGCCUGGUACGGCAACAUCCAGUACCUUCUCAACAUCUCCGCCAUCGGCUCAUUCUUAUGUGUCUUCUUUUUCACCUUGGUCAAGCUUUGAAGCGAUCGCCGCCGCAUGCCCGGCUCGUCCUCCCUCGUUGCUAAGCUCUUCGCAGUGUGGUAUGCUACCUGUCGAGAGAUUAUGCUCCCAUGUGGCGCUGAGGCCAUAAUACUCACGCACCCAUCUACACACCCACACCACCACUACCGUGGACUCUCUCUCACUCUCCCUCGUCUUUGUAGAGCUAGGUGAAGCCUAGAAACCGAGAACUAGCUCCAGCAAACCCCGUGAGUUUCGAGCCAGAUCCCUGCCGACUCCGACCAUCCCAUGACCAAUCUAAGGUACAAAACAUUUCCCCUUGACUCUAUGCUCUUUUUCGUAUGUAGAUCGUAGGGAAAAGCCCACAGAAUGAGAGAGAAUAGUGACCUGAGAGAGUCCACGGUGAUGGUGGUGUGUAGAUGAGUGCGUGCGUGGGUGUACUGUCGGGGAUAGAGUCUGAGAGAGAUAGAGAGUGAAAGAGUCUGAGAGAAGAGUGACUUGCGAGAGUGAGAGAUUCGAGAGAGACUCGGGAAAAGAUUUAUGGGUUUGGGUUUUUCUGGUUUUUUAUUUUUAUAAUAAUAGGGUUAAUAUUAUAAUAUUUUUAAUGUAUAAAAAUUUCUUUUUUGCCACGUGGCAGCCACAUCAGCACAAAUGUGGUAGUUGUAGAUGCAAAUUUCUUCCUCUUGAUCUUGGACAAUUUUGCACCUACAAAACAAUUAACACCUUAGGUUAAGGCCAAAAGCCUCACACACCCACAAUGAAUGGGGGGCUUUGGCCGAAGAACCUCUGUUGCCAAAGUUAGAAUUUAGAGAGAAAGAGUCUUUACAGAAUUUUGGGAUUUUUGCCAAAGUGUUGGAAUGGCUUUCUGGUGAGAACGGGAUCACUUUUAUAAGGAUAGGAAGUGGUCGGCCUAGCUAGGGUUUUUGGGUUUAAUUUAGGUUUAAUUCUUCAAUUUAUUUGGCUAAUUAAACCCUAAAGAAUAAAUUGGUGGUUACAAAAUUGAUUAUUUGUAUAAAUGGGGUAAUAAAAUGGAGAAAAGUGAAAAAGGUUAGGAAAAGGGAGGUAGCUAGCUUCUUAGUAGUUUUAGGUGUGAGUGGGUGUUUUAAUUGAUAAUUAAGGGAUUGAUUAGGUAAUUAAUCCCUUAAUUAAACAAUUUUUAGGGAAUAUGAAAGGAAAUUAUUAUUUAGCUAAUUGAUUAGCUAAAUAAUGGAAUACAAAAUAUAUAGAAUAAAUUAGGCUUUAGGUAUUACCUUAUAGAAAUGAUUUGAUGAAAUAGGCUUUAAAUUGUUAACUAUUUUGGGCACUUUUGACUUGGUUGAGGAUGAUUGUCUGCCGCUCGCACGUAGGAAUCUCGAUAUGCCUUAAGGGUAUUUUUGUCCUCUUUUACCCAAAAAUCCACGUGUCGCCUUGUGAUUAUUUUUGGCUCCACAAAUGCCCCCACACCUGUUGGGCUGCUCGCAGAAAAUGGCAGCAGGUGUAGAGAUCAUCUUGCUUUAGGAAACGUAGGACUACUUCCUCUUUAGAUGUAGAUUCUCUCUUUAAUAGGAAAUUAGGUUCUUCUAGGAAAGGGAAAUAAAUUUCUGUUAAAGCCUAUUUAAGUCUACCUUAAGUGGGUUAUUAAAUCAACUUUGGAGAGCGAUUUCUUAUACCCUACAAGAGAGAGGGAGCUUAGAGAAUAUUUGUUCCCCCUCUUCUAGCAAUCUUCUACAUCUUUCCCGUGCAAAGGAUCGUCUUUCGUUGAUUUCUUCGUCUUCUCCGUGCCGCACCGAUGUAAGAAAAAUUUAAUUUUUUGCUUAUCUUCUUCUUGGAUAGUACUAUUACAGGGCAACCGUUAAGGUAGUGCGGCACGUCUACUGGCAGGGGCUAGGAGUUGGCUCGGCAUCGGUCGAUGAGGCAUUAUGGCAGGGGCCACUGCUUAGGCUGUUUGGCUUGGCUAGAGCCAAUGGCAGCUUGUGCGGCUGGGGUCGCGGAUUGUGGCGUUGGGGCGCAAUGCUAGGCGAGCCACAUGGUUAAUGUCCUUUAGGCUCUUAGACCUUACUCGGGCCAGGCUAGCGACUGAAAGAAAUGAGGAGGUCGUGGGCCUCAUGGGUUGUUGGAAUGUUGGGCAUGCAGGCCUCCUGUCUGCUAGAAUGCUAGGUUGAGCUCCUCUGCUGAGUACCGUGAAUGGCGUUGGCUGCUUAGUUCUUUUUACAGAGAGAAAGGUGGGCUGCUCCCGAAAGAGGAAGUAAAGAGGAUCAAGGUGGAUGCAUUGGCUCGUCUAAUCGCUGUCGUGGAACCUCCUAUGAAUGAAGAUGGAAAUAAGAGAUCUUCCCUGCCUACUCAAGAGAUGCCGAUCGAGAAAAAUUGAAGACUUUCUCCACUGCUGCUCAUGAUGAUUUGUCUGCUGUCGAUAGGCCUGUGAUUGGCAUGACUUCUUCCAAUGGGAAGAAAAAUGAGGCUGCUAGAUCUGAUCAUGUGGUGCCUUCCAUGUUGAGAAUUGCUAGUACAAUUGUUGAUAAGAUUGCUUAGCGCAAAGGUUUUAUCAUGCCCCCAGUACCGAAGUCUGUACCAGGACUUUCGUUUGGAGCAAAGUCUGGUUCACCUUUGGAGAUACUUGCUAUUAUGAAAAGUGGUAAGGUGGACUCUGCUGCUAAAGUGGCGUCAAGGCCCACUCCCUUUGUUGCUGAGACUGAUUCGCCUGCUAGGAAGGAAGAUACUACUUGUAUGGGCAGCUGUGAGAAAUCCACUAAACUUGCUUCUGGGGAGGCUGCUGAGAUCAUUGUGCUUUUGAAACUAUAUCUGCUUGAAGACAUGGACGCUUGUGCCAAGUUUGUUGAUGGCGGUAGAAAGGUUGUUUACCUAAGUUCCUUUGCGAAACAUACGACCCAAUAUAAAAUGACUGCUCUGCUUACUAGGAUGCAUAAAUAGCAAGGUUGUCAAGGAGGUGGCGAAGAUUAUGGCAGCUAAAGCUUAUUCCUCAGUCGAGGAGAUCAAAAGGUUGAAUUAUGAGCUUGUUGCUUUGAAAGAAAUGGAAGAACUGCAACACGUUCGUGUUAGUCUGUUUGAGAAGAAUGAGCAGCUAAACGGUAAGAAUGAUGGGCUUGAGGUUUCUCUAUUUUUCCGGAAGACUUGCUUACUUUUACUUUUGAGGCUUCCAUUGGUGAAGUAGUUGGAGACGUUAGUGCCCAGGCUUAGGCAACCGGGGGUGAAGCACCGGAUGAUGCCGCUGCUAAGAACGUUACGGCUGCUGAAGGUGUGGAGACCAAGUAGUCGUGGGAUGUCCAAGCUGCUGUAGUGUAGUAUUUUAGGUAGCUUUUAUGAUUUUCUUUGUUUUUCCUUGUAGCUCUUGUUUUGCUUGAACUUCUUCGGCCUUUGCUAGUUGUAUAAACAUGUUUUCCUUCGCUUUUCUUCAUCUUCGCUUCUUUUGUUCAUGCCCUAACCUUUAGACUUGAUAGACCAAUGGCAGGCAUGCUACUUUUUUAUAAGCAGACAAGCUCGCGUAGCCUAUGCAGCCGUAAAUGUUGGUGUAGAACUUUGCAAAGUUGUUAGCCAUUAGGUUGGUAACCAGAUACCUUACUUACAGAAGUAGACAAGUCCGCAUAACCACUAGGCUAUUAACCUUGACUUUCUCCAAUUCUGUAGGUUGCGUAGCAAGUAUCACAACACUUUAGGAAUUGGUAUAGGUUGCUCCGCACUUGGCAGAGGUGAAGCCUAUCGACUACGUAGCAUGUCGGCAGUGGAUAAAACUUCCAUAUAUGCGCGCUAGCUUGUUUAACCUUUCACAAGAAUGUGCGGUUGUAUAAGUCUAGCACGGUUUUACUGCUUGAAGGGCAAGCCGUAGGCAGUCUUCCGGAAUCCGUAGGCUACCUUAAUGUACUCGGUAGCAGCUUUAGGGUUCCAGGGCAGCCGUCUAUAGAGCGUACUGCGUAAUGUGCCCCAUCCGUCUCUAGCUCCCGGUUCCCCACAGAUUAGACCAAGAGACCCAAAAUCCUUCAGUUAGUUAAGCCUUGAAAAAGACCAUUGUGGCUACUUCUAGGAAUCCCGGCUCAAGCCAUCGUACAUCUAGUUAUACUAGGGUAGCCAGGCUCAUCAGCGUCUGGAUAUUCGGAGUGUAAAGUUUAUCCUCCCGUCUUAGAGAGCUGACCCAUAUGAGUGUCGGGGAAUUGGUUUACCCUCUCACACUAGAGAGUAAUUAAUUUACCCUCUCGCACUGGAGAGCAAUUAGUUUACCCUCUCGCACUGGAGAGCAUGGUUGGUCCAUCGGGGGGCGCAAUUCCUGCGAUGAGUCCCUAAGAAGGGCGCAGUCUUCUUUUGAAGUGCAGGAAUGAUUAGUUGUUAUAAGCAUGUGAUCGAGUCAAGUUGUGAUUACUUCUAAAUUCCUCAUUGAAAAACGAGUGAAACGAACGAGAACUUAGCCGUAAGGUAGGAACUGCAUAACAACUGGAUAGUCCUCAACUUGUGUGGUGGUACCCAUCGAGCUUCUUGAGUCUUCGGGCUUUGAUGUAGUGGGAGGUUACACAUGGCACCUUUUCAGAUUGUAGGCGCUCUACUGCUUUUCGAACUUUUUUUUUGUUGUGUAAUUGCUCUUGCUGCCUACUCGGCUAAUCUUAUACAGACUUUCUCGGAUGAGAUUCAUCUUUUUGGAGCUUCUCUGCUGGCAGUGAUGAAGGCUUUUCUUAGGACUAGAUCUCUGGGCUGGAACUGCCAGAUUUUGGCCUUUUUGUUGUGGCUGGAAAAGAACCACUGCUGGUAAGUUGUAAUGCAGAUGAUAGUCUGCUCGCACUUCUCCUCUGCCAAAUUUAAGCUUGUGGCCAUCUCCUUUCGGUUGCUCGUCUUUUGGUGUUGCGAUGUGCCCAUAGACAUCCAGGGAGUUUGUCUGGCCAUUUUCUUUUCUUAUUGGUAGGGGAUUUCUUGUGGCAGUCGAGGAUCAUCUUAGUGGAUGUUUUGGCCAGCCUAUUGCCUUGAGGAUAUCUUGGCGUAGACAUGUGCUGCUUGAUGCCAUAUUUUUAGAAGAAUUUCGCCAAAUCUUUGCCCACGAAUUACGGGCCGUUGUUGGUGACGAUGGAUUAAGGUAUGCCAAAUCGGCAAAUGAUGCUCUUUCAUAUGAAGCGCUCUAUGUCCGUUUGAAUUGUGAUCGUCAUGGGCUCUGCUUCUACCUAUUUGGUGAAAUAGUUGGUUGCCACGAUCAUCAUGCAUUUGCCCUUAGUAGUCUGGCUGGUGAUUAGCUGGGAAUCAGAAUGAAUUGAAAGCUUUUUCACCACCAAGUCUUUUGUCACUCGAAGGCCUGCUAGUGGGGCUUUGUACUCUGCUUCGUUGUUAGGUGCUUUGACGCUUAGAGUGAUCGCUUACUCGAGCAUUGAACCGUCUGGGGUGGCAAGAACCACGGUUACUUAUAAGCCUUUGUAGUUGGAUGCGCCGUCGACAUGCAAAUGCCAGAAAUUUCCAUUGAGGGAGUAGGUAUGGCUAAAGUGUGCUCGGCUACCUUCGAAGCGUCGUUGGGCCGCUUUGUUACAUUGUCAAGGCUAGGUUUGAAGGCGCGGUAGAGAGUCGUGGAGCUGGGGCCAUGUUACAUGUAGCAGGAGAUGCUCAACUUCCGGUAUUAGGCCACUCUAGAGCUGAAUAAUGGAGCAAAGGUCGGCUAGGGUCGUAUGACGCGCAGCAGAAGGUAGUGCUCGACUGCUAGUACAUGUUGCUCUUACGUAGAAUCUUCUGAGGCGACGAGGACAAAACUUGCUUUUAAGUGUUCCUUCUAGUGUUCGUCUGCCCUUGGCGUGUCUUUUGGGCUGAGUUGUUGCGUUCGUCAGAAAACUUUGCAUCUGCCAGGGUUUACGUCUUUAUCAUCACGGGUUUGGAUUAGGCGGAAUAGUGCGUCAUGAUGAUGACUGCGUACAUUUGAAGGUAAAACUUAAGCUUUUGGGUUACAACAACUAUCACCAAAGUUAGCUUUUGAAUUUUUAAUAGCAUCGAGGAGAGCUUUUGAACUAUAAAAUACAUGUAGUUGGGCCCCCAACUCUUCUCGCAUGACGGUACAGCUUAUUUCUACUUUAGAUACCGUCAAACAUGCGAAUAAGUCCUCUGCUGCUUCUAGGGAGGUGAUGUUGGGUACUUCUUCAAGCCCUUGAAUGUGCAUUGGCGAGCCUCAUCCCAAAGUGCAUGCUUCUCUGCCAAAGAAAAAGAGUCUACCAGAGUUAGAUAUUCUUUCAUGAUCAAUUUUCUAAAUAGCGGUGGUCUGCUGGAAGGCCUUUUUGGAAGGCUGCUCUAGCUAUUGAGUCGCUGCAUCCGACUAUCAUUGCCUUCUCUGUUUUGAAUCUCUUCACAUAGUCACGAAGUGACUCCUUUGGGUUCUUUUUUACGUCAAACAAAUGGUCGGACUUCUUUUUGAUCGAGCAAUAAGAUGAAUAUUCUUUGGUGAAAACCAAAGAAAGUUCGUAGAAAUUCUAGAUAGAUUGUGGCGGCAGGGUGUAGAACCAAUCUUGUGCCUCGCCUUCAUAGUGGUGGCGAAUAUCUUGCACAUGAGAUCAUCGUUGUUUCGAUAAAGGAUCAUUGUGCUUCGGUAGCGCUUUAAGUGUCUCUUCGGGUCUUCAUCCCCUUUGAAAGAUAUGAAAUGUUGCAUACUGAACUCGCAUGGAGGCUCUGCCAGCUCGAUCUCAUCCGUGAAGGGUGACCUGCUUAUGUUGGUCAUGUUCCGUCGUAGUGCCUCGUCGGUGACCUUGUUGCGUUAGAAAUCAUGCAAUCGCUUGAUUAAAAGUCUCUCUACUUCUUCCUGAAUUUUCAUUUGUUAGGGUAGCAGAGCUCUCGGCUGCCCCUAGCCAUAACUUACUGGUCUAGGAUGCUCUUCCAUGUGUUUGGCUCGUAUACCGUGGAUGCAGUGUAUGUGGUGCGGUCCUAGUAGGUGAGCGAGUUCUUCGCAGGCUGCUAGUUGAACUUGAGCUGGAUUGAGUGACUACUUCUCUCCGUCCGUCGUGCUGCCUACUCCAAUGUGAGGUGAAAGAUGCUCCUUGCAGGCUUAGCCACGAAUGAACACUUUACCUGGAAGGUUGCUCAUGUUGACUAUCAGAGUAUGACCCUAACCGUGAAUGUAUAUUCACCCGUGGGCUUAGUCGAGAGUGCACGCUCCUCCGCGCGCUAAGACGAGAGUAUACGUUAUCUCGGGAGCCCAAUUGGGAGUGUACACUGCCCGAACGCUCGGCUCGUGGCUGGUCGAGUGGCUGCUUGCCGAAACGCUGCGGGAAAGGUUCGUCUGCCCUUGUCCUACUUCGGGAUACCUUGUUUGGGGCACGUUGGAUUCUGGUGCAUUGCAAAAGUUGAUUCACCAAGGUUGUCUGUUGUGCAAGGGUGCUCGUAAACGCUACGACUUGUCGAGACAAGUGUUGUUCGUCAUUUGGAUUGGAAUAGCUUGGAAGGAAUGUGCCUUCUUGGGCAGUGGAAGGGUGGUAGACUCCGGGCUCGAGAUUUGAGUUGGGAAAUGUCAAAUCUACGAAAAAAUGUGGUGAGAAUGCCCCCGGCUCGAUGGUAGGUCCGGAUGGUUGAGAUAGUCUUGGGCCGACUUGGGCUGCUUGGAAAGCCACGGGAGCAGGCUGGGCCACGAGAGUGAGCUGCUCGGCAGGAGUAGGCUGGGCUACGAGAGUGGGCUGCUCGGCAGGAGCAAACUGCUUGGAGUGUGAUGCACAUGGGUGCGAGGCUUGGGCUCGGCUUGGUAACACAUUGAGUUCGGGUUUGGCUUGGAGUGACAUGACUUGGGCCGUGGCCUUGGUGUCGUGAGCCUUGGAUGGCACGGCUCGGGCAGUGGUAGCUGUGCCAUGGACCUCGCCGCGGGUAGUGGUGACCGUGAUGGCCACCGCGGUGGUUGCCAUGGUGGAGCCCCGUAGUGAUGGUGCCGCUCCUAUGAUCACAUUUAGCCUCGUGGAUCGUCGUGGUCCCAUUUCUUGAAUAUUAGAAUUUUCACUUAUGGAAUUUUCUAAAUUUCUAGCCAUUAUAUUUUUCUUAUACGUUUUAUCAAAGAACCUUUGCAAAUAAAAAAUUCUAAUAAUAAGAACGUAUGAAAAAAUAUUCAAAUGGACUAGAAAAUAGAGAAAAACCUUUUUAUGCGAGAGUCUUCUACGAGUAUAGAUCUCAACUCUCAAUGAAAGCACCAAUUUGUGGAUGCAAAUUUCUUCCUCCUUGAUCCUAGACAAUUUUGCACCUACAAAACAAUUAACACCUUAGGUUAAGGCCAAGAGCCUCACACGCCCACGAUGAAUGGGGGGGCUUUGGCCGAAGAACCUCUGAUGCCAAAGUUAGAAUUUAGAGAGAUAGAGUGUUCAGAGAAUUUUGAGAUUUUUGCCAAAGUGUUGGAAUGGAUUUUUGGUGAGAAUGGGAUCACUUUUAUAGGGAUAGGAAGUGGCCGGCCUAGCUAGGGUUUUUGGGUUUAAUUUAGGUUUAAUUAGUCAAUUUAUUUGGCUAAUUAAACCCUAAAGAAUAAAUUGGUGGUUACAAAAUUGAUUAUUUGUAUAAAUGGGGUAAUAAAAUGGAGAAAGGUGAAAAAGGUUAGGAAAAGGGAGGUGGCCGGCUUCUUAGUGGUUUUAGGUGUGAGUGGGUGUUUUAAUUGAUAAUUAAGGGAUUCAUUAGGUAAUUAAUCAAUUUUUAGGGAAUAUGAAAGGAAAAUAUUAUUUAGCUAAUUGAUUAGCUAAAUAAUGGAAUACAAAAUAUAUAGAACAAAUUAGGUAUUAGGAAUUACCUUAUAGAAAGGAUUUGAUGAAAUAAGCUUUAAAUUGUUACCUAUUUUGGGCACUUUUGACUUGGUUGAGGAUGAUUGUCUGCCGCUCACGCGUAGGAAUCUCGAUAUGCCUCAAGGGUAUUUUUGUUCUCUUUUACCCAAAAAUCCACGUGUCGCCUUGUGAUUAUUUUGGCUCCACAACAACCACGUCAGCAUUUAACAGACCAAUGGAUGGAAAAUCUAACGGAGGUAUUAUUUUGAAAUAAAAUAACAAGUGAGGUAUGAAAGUGAAAUGUUUUAAAGAUGUUGUAUGGGGUUGUAAUAGACCUCAAACUUGAGGGUCCUAUGUAAUUUACCUAUUUUUAUGUUAAUUAUGAAUAGGUCAAUCAUGUAGAACCAAAUUAAAAGCUAACAUCAAUAACAACUACCAGAGACAAAAGCUCUAAUCAAUGCUUCGGAAACAUAGUCUUGUAUCUCUAGGUGUAAUGAUAUAAUUUGUUGGAAACUUAAAAGAAAAUUGGUGAUUUUGUAUAUAAUCGAUAAAAAGUUAUAAUAGUGACAAUAUAUCAGUAAUAUUUAUGUUAAUUAGGAAUAGGUCAAUCAUGUAUUUAAUACUUACAUGCAUUUAAAAUAAACACCUUAUCAAUGUUUUUUUAACUGUGCUCAGUUUUUCUCCUUCGCUUUGGUUUUGUUCUAUUGGAUUUUUCAACUAUCAUUAAUUGUGAACAUAACUGAUCAUUGAGACACAAACAUCCAAGGGAGAGUACCGUGGAACAAAAUGUGGAUAUCUUUAUACAUUGUAUGGUAGUAAACCAUCAUAAACACCAUAAUAAUGUAGAAACGCUCUUGGGGUACCUUUGGAUGAUAACUCAUGUAUUUGUUGCCCUACGUAAAGAUGGCUAAUGAUAAUGGAAGUCUAAUUUUCUCAUCCCAAUCUCUCCUGUCUCUCUUGUUCUCUUUUCUCUAUAGUUUAUUUCCAACAAGUUGUGUUAUUUUUUUUUUUUAGUAUUGUUAAGCAACCAAUAGAUUUUAAUUAGCAGUCUUUGUUUUUUUCUUUUAUAUUUUUAAUCAAUUUCAGUUGCUUAUCCGUUCUAGCAAAUUGAGCUCUUUUACAGCAAUUUUUUUCUUUAAAUGAAAUUAUUAUUAUUAAAAGAGUGAGAAAAUUCGAAAUUAUUACAACAAUUUAAAAAAAAGAAGUUUCGAAUCAUAAACACAGAGGGAGUUUACAACAUUUUAAUUAAGAAAUUAGGCUUCAGCUCAACUCAUCUUUGCAACGUCGGUUCCACUUCACAUCAACAUGCAAUGUUUCAGAAGGUCACGCGGUUUUGGGGUUGUUGUGUACCAAUAAUAUUAUAUAUAUAUAAAUUAGGAUUGAAGGAUACACGCAUUUUGUAGAGCUUAUUUUGUUAUGUAUUUUAAUGAUUUAAAUGCUUACGUUUUUCUUCACUACAAAUGAGUGAAUUAAUGAUUUUAGAAUUUGUCUAAUUUUUUACAUUGAUUAUUUAUGAAUAUUGAAUUGAAAUAUAGACGAUUCAAAAAUCGUUGAUAUACAUUACAAAAUGAACUCCACAAAAUAAGCGUCAAAAUAUGUAUAUAAAAUGGACAGCGUGAAAGGCUUGGAAAUUGGAAUAGGUUUGAAAAUUGUGCUUUUUGUAGCAAAUUGUAGCAAAGUUUGCUUGGACUUUCACAACCGUAUAAAUUAUGCCGCAGCACUCUCUAUUUUCUCUCUCGCUCUAUAUCGUGGUCCCUCUCUCUCGCCGUCCUCGAUUGCUCGAACUCACUAUCCUUUAUUGCUCGAACUCACCGUCCUCAAUUGCUCGAACCCACUGUCCUUUAUUGCUCGAACUCACUGUCUCCAACUUCCUCUGUUUGGUUCCCGAUGAAGAUGGUAAAACAGUAGGGGCAAGAAAUUAUGACAAUGUUAGAUUUGCAUAUUAAUCUGGUAGGGCUACAAUUCUCCAAUCCACACCCCUUCCAUCUAUGCUAGUGUUUGUACCCAAUAUUAGAUAUCCGGUCUGUGCAAUCGAGAUCGUUGAAUGAGAAAAAUUCUAAGCCGUGGGAUCAAAUAUAAUGAUGUGGAUUAAAUAAGAAAAAUUUAAAUGUUUAUCUUGGUUGAAUUACCAUGAUAAUAUUGUGGAAUUAUCUUCUGCAUAACGGGAUAGCGAGAAAAGUCCAAGGGUGUAGGGAAGUUGUGUGGCUGACUACCGCUUUUUUUUAUGGUGUCAUUAGUAGAGUAAUAUCACACUUAACAUUUAUUUGUACCAUCUCUCUAAUAAAGAUAAAGACCAUCAAUGCAUAAAUAAUGAUACAAAUAUAUAAUAAGAGUAUCAUAUUUGUAACUAGAAUAGGAGAAGAAAGACUUCAAGAUGGGGUCAGCCAAAUAAUUAGCGUCAGGAUAAAAAUAUGAGUAAUGAUAUUUGUAAACAUCGAAAUUUCGGUAAAUAAAUGUUGACCGAUAAAUCAAAGUUUCAACGCUCAUGUAUUACAUAAAUUUUACACGUAGCGUAUGUCUAAACAAAAAAUCGAAAUAAGUUGGAAAAGUCAUCAAACAGGACACAUGUCAACACCUGGCAGAAACGACUUAUUUCAUCUGGAAUAUUAUAUUCAAAAUUAGGCAUUGGAAAAUUCUAUAAAUAGAAGCCAAUUUCAUUCAUUUGAAGGAACCAAAAUCAUUAGGCAAAAUUCUUGAAGCUCUGAAGCUCUGAAACUCCGAAACUCUCAAGCAUCCAGGUUCCCGAAGAAUCAAGAAAGCUCUCUUCGUUCUUCGUUCUUCGUUCAUCGUUCAUCCUAAGAUCAAGCUCCAACGGCCCUUUAGAUCAACAAUCAUCCACUAAUUCAAGAUCAAGCCCCGACGGCCCUUGAAGAAAGUGUUCUUCAUUCUUCGUUCAUCGUUCUUCCAAGAUCAAGCCCCAACGGCCCUUUGGAUUAACAAUCAUCCACCAAUUCAAGAUCAAGCCCCAACGGCCCUUGAAGAAAGUGUUCUUCGUUCUUCGUUCAUCGUUCUUCCAAGAUCAAGCCCCAACGGCCCUUUGGAUUAACAAUCAUCCACCAAUUCAAGAUCAAGCCCCAACGGCCCUUGAAGAAAGUGUUCUUCGUUCUUCGUUCAUCGUUCUUCCAAGAUCAAGCCCCGACGGCCCUUGGAUCAACAAUCCACCAAUUCAAGAUCAAGCCCCAAAGACCCUUGAAGAACUUCUACCAAUUCAAGAUCAAGCCCUGACGGCCCUUGAAGAAAGUGUUCAUUGUUCAUCAUCCGUUCAUCCCGAAGAAUCAAGAAAGCCUUAUUCGUUCUUCGUUCAUCGUUCUUCCAAGAUCAAGCCCCGACGGCCCUUGGGUCAACAUCAUCAACAAAUCCACACAUCCAACCGUUCUUCAAGAUCAAGCCCAAAAGCCCUUGAAGAUCCGUUCAUCACCGUUAUUCAAGAUCAAGCCUUAACGGCCCUUGAAGAAACACUCAUCCUCAAGAUCAAGCCCCAACGGCUCCUUGAAGAUCCGCUCAAAUCCACCUUCAAAGAUCAAGCCCACGGCCCCUUGAAGAAACAUCCAACAGUUCAUCCAAGAUCAAGCCUCGACGGCCCUUGGAUCAACGAAACAUCUACAAAUCAACACCUUACGGAGAUCGAAUCAGAUGAUCAAAUUAGAGAGAGAUUGUAACCCUAAAUCAUCAAAAUACAAAUAUUAUUUUGUGCACGUUGUUCUUAUCUCUUUCGUUUCAGGAAAUUUUCGUGUUCACAAUAUUCUUACCAUCUAAAUAUACUAUAAUUUUAUACCAUCUUAUGUGGCAAUUGAGAUGGACUUCCACAUAAGUUUUAAAAAAAUCUCAUGUCAGCUAAGGUGGAUAUUUACGAUUUUACGAUUUUACUCAAUGAUUUUUAUUAAUAAAAUAAUUAAAAAAUAAUAAUGAAACCUACUUGCUCCCGUUUUCAAGCCUCAUCGCUGGGCCUCCUCCCUCUUCGCUCUCCAAUUUCACCUUCCUUCACCAACGAUCGAUGGUGCUCGACCCCCUUCAUCAUUGCCAACUGGCCGAAUAUCUUGAUGGUGCUCCCAGUGAUUGUUUUGCUCUGCCACCAAAUCAAGUUUGCAAUUUUAAUGGUUUAUGCCUUCUGGCCAAGUGUUGGAUUUGAUAGGUUUUUAAUUCCAGCAACAUUGAACAAAAAUAUGAAAAGGAUUGGAUACGAUAUUUUCCUCUGUUCUACUGCUGAGGAUUUUCCGAAUAGAAGAAGAUUUGGAAGACAACCUCUUUUCUUUUUUCUUCAUGGACUUUUGGUUAGCACCAAAAUCUUUUCCUAAUCCUCUAUAGGAAUGAAAAUUUCAUUCCAUGUUAUAUCCCGAUGUUGUCCAAGGUUUUGGCUUGAAUUUUCAUUGGAAUUAUCAUAUGUUGGAUCAGAUCAGGUGGAGAGAUGAAACGUAUCUAACAAGGAAGUUGAACGGGUAGGGUUUGAGCAAAAAUAAACAGAAAUUCCACCUAGGUUGACACCUAAGCUUCCACAUCAUGUGGUAUACUAAAUGUGGUAUAAUAAGAUGGUAAGAAUAGCAUUAUUGAAUGGGUAAUGUUAAGAGAAAUUUUUAGUUGUGACGGGAACACGGAUGGUACACCAUGCGUUUUUAUGUAAAUGGUGGAAAAUUUUAAUUUUUAAAUUAUUAACCUUUUAGCACACAUAUCCCACCAUUUAUAUGAAAACACGUGAUGUAUCACCUCGUGUGAUAGUCACAUUGAAAAAUCUCUCGUAAUGUUAGGAAAACUAAAUUUAUAAACAAAAGUUACAAAUUAAAUGAUGGGUUACCAAUAAGAAUGAUUACGUUUAUCAAUGCUUAAAUAAUAAAUCAUUCAUCAACUUCCAGUCCUUUAGUUUUUAAAAUUUUGUCUAACAUUACCCUUUCAAAACUCAUGAAAAUAAUUUUCAAUUUUUUUAACUGAAAAGUGAAAGUUACUAAACAAGAUUUCAGUUUUUAGCUUUCAAAAAAAUAAAAACAAAAGCUAAAAAUAAAAUGGUUAUCAAACAUCCCUAGAAGUCAUUCUUAGUGAUAGUAAGGUCAUCUCCAACCGAAAGAUCCAGGGGGCUAGAGGGCCGAAAAUAGUCUGAAAACCAUUUCCAAUCAAAGGCCAUGCCAAAGGGGUCGUGGACCCCAUUAGACAAAAAAGGGCCAAAGGGCCAACUGGCUGGCCCCAGUUCCAACAAUAACUAGAUGACGUCAGUUAACCGUUAUUUUUGAAUUUUUUUUUUAACAAAUUUUAACUUUCUAAGCCAUUAAACAACAUUAAAUUAAGUAAAAAAGAAAAUUCCUAUAACUUCCUAAGUCAUUAAACAAUAUUAAAUUAAGUAACAUGAAACAACAUUAAACAAUAUUAAACAAAAUUAAACAAUAUUAAACAACAUUAAAUAACAUUUAACAACAUAAAAAUUAUACAACAUAAAAAAAAACAUUUAAGAACAUAAAAUUUAAAUGCCUACUUCAUGCUUCUUUUGGCCCAAAGAUGUGCAACAAGAUCCUAAUGUAGGUACUUGUUUGUGGCACGAGAGCGUAUCAUCCUAACCGUUAGAUUUGAUUUUUUUUUGUUUUCGGCCAAAUUUUUUUAAAUUUAAAAAUAAAUUAUGUUUGACCUUUUGGCCCUCGAUUGGAGAUAGUUUUUUUUGUGACAUGACUAUGUUUAGCCCUAUGACCCUUUGGCCCUCAGUUAGAGAUGGUAAGAAAUAUGACCCAACAAUGUUCAUUAAAAUAUUAAUUUCUUGAAGAGCCAGAGGGCUAAAACGAGCCAUCCUUCGGUUGGAGAUGGCCUAAGAAGAGACUAGAGAUAGAGAGAUUCCUAUACUUAGCUGUGAGAGUUUCCUAUAUAUGAUUUUCAUUAACAAGAUUGAACUGAUUACAUAGAGAAGAAGAUCAAGUAUGGUUAUUUUUAUUUGGGAGACUUUGGAUGUGGUCCUUAGUUAUGAAUAUUAUUUGAUUGAAAUCUUGUUGGUUUUUAAUUUUUUAUCAAGAUCCCUGAAAUUAAUGUGAUAAUUUAUUUCUAUGUAAGUUACUAUAUUUUUUUAAUUAGAAAUUAGAAAUUUUAGUUGUUUAUAUAAAUGAGAUUUUAAAUUAAAAAAACCAUAAUUUGUGGGAUUAAAAAUAUUAAAAUAUAAAUAUACUAUUGUGUGUGUGUGUGUGUGUGUGUGUGUAUAAAUAUGGGUACAUUCAUCAAAAUUAACCAAAAAAUUUAUUGUAUCAAAACAUGGGUACAUUCUUCAAAAUCACAAAAAAAGAAAGAUAUUAGGCUUAAUAACAUUAGUAAAUUUCUUCGAUUAAACUUGACAUGGAUACAUUUUAAAAUCAAAGAAAAAAAAUGUACCCAUAUAAGUUUAAAAAUGGAUUAGAAAAAAAAAUUGAAUAGAUUUUAUACAAAAAAAGGGUACGUUUUACAUAUAACAAAUUGGUAUAUUUAAGAAUGAGUACAUUUUAAGAUUAAAAAGUUUUACAUGAAUGGGUUCAUAUAAUUAGCAUGGGUACAUUUAGCAAAAUAAAAAGUACAAAUACAAAAAAAUAUAUGUGUACAAAUACAAAUAAACUUUAAAAAAUAUGGGCACAAAAAGAAAUUAAUAUAUGGGUACAAAUUAAAACCGAAAAGAAAAUUGGUACAAGUUAAAAAAGAAUUACAAAUUAAAAAUGGGUACAAACUAAAACUAAAAAUAUAUGAUAAAAAAUUUAGUCAUAAAUAUAAAUAUACUAAUUGUAACAUUUUUAACAUUAAAUGAAUAUAUUUAGACAUAAAAAAUAUAUUUUAUUAUUGAAAUAAUUAAUGAUGUUAUUAAUACCCAAGGACCUUGAUAAAAAAUUGAAAAGAAAUAGAAUUUUAAUCAAUGGAGUAGCAAAAGAAAAGAUGAGAACCUAAUUUCUCCUUUGUAUUGUGUAGACAUUAUAACUAUACAUUCAUAAUAACAUGAGUAAUGUUAUAUUUAUCACAUUUGUACUCUUUCUCCAAUAAAGAUAGGGUCCAUCAACACAUGUGGGUUCUAUUUGCCCAUCAACACAUGCGAAUCUCAUUUUUAUUAGAAAAAUAGUACAAAUAUGAUAUGGAAAUUAUGAUAAGAUCGCAAUUUUGUAAUAACAUAUAUACUCAACUAUUUAUAUACCAACUCAUCUCCCUUUAGUGUAGUUAAUAUUGUUUGUUCAACCAAAAAAAAAAAAACUGAACUUGUCAUAAUCAUUGAAUCCAUUUACCAUGAACAAACGGCAGUUUACUAAACUUGCCCUCAGAGUAUAUAUAAAAGGUGAAUCACAAUCUAUUGCAUUAAUAUAAGGAAACAAUUUAUAGGGUUUGACGGGUGACUUAAUAUGCUAUAUGGCACAAUGAAAAUUAAGUUCACACUUUAUCCCAAAUAAGGUGUUGCACCUUUAAUUUAUGGAUGCUGGUUUGACGUGUGACCGAAAUAAUCAAAUUGUAGCCAUUAAUCAUUUUACAAGUAAUAAUAUGUGGUUUUAUUGUUUACGAUUCACACAACAAUCUGCUAGGAAGUAGAAAAUGCAGUACUUGUCCCUCUCACAGAAGUCAUGAAUAAUUAUCAAAUUCAAAGAUAAAGAAAAACCACACAAUUUACAAGAGGAAAGAAAAUGAAGGGAUAAAGAAAGUAAGAAAGGAAUACCUCUAUGGGAGGACUCUUAUUUGCUUCAGAUGCCUACAAUAUUCAUCAUAUAAACACUGAUUAAGUAGUCAUCGAAAACCAAAACAAAUGUCGAACAUAGGGUGAAAAACAGAAAGAAUAACCGCAGCUCAUCAUACCAAUAGAGAUAGAACUGCCCGAUGCCCAAGUAUGACUGAAAAAUGGCAAUCCAAACAUGGCGCCUUCUAGCUCAUCAAACUGUCAAAACCUAGGUUCCACCAAAAAGAUACAAGUCACCUAGUUACUUGUAAAAUAAAAAUCUGUUUCAAAAUAGUGGAAAAUAUUAUUAACAUUGUUCAAAGUCCACAUUGUUGUACCUACCAAGAAACAAGAAGGAUUGUAUCUUAUCAUGAAAAAGAACAUAGGUACCUUUUCAAUUGUAAUUGUACAAAAAUGAGAGACCACUUCCGAACUUCUCUUGGAACUUCAAUCAAUUUCUGCCCACUUUUAAAUGCCUUGACAUACUUAAGCCUAUUUCUUUGAGCUUCAGUUUUGGCUUCUGAUGCCUUUAAAUUUCUUAAAGAUUCUUACCAAGUUUUACAAACUCACUUCUAUACAACCAUUUGUCAGUAUACAUACCAUUUUCUUUGAGCUUCAGUCUUUGCAACACCAAAACCCCCCAAAUAGACCCGGAAUUUUGCAAUGUGCAGGGAAUAUACAAAAAAAACCCUCCUAUCCAUCUAAAACGAAAUCAGAACGCAAACCACAAUCAAAAUCCGUAAAAUUAAUUUAGCCAACCCCUAAAUCUAAUAAUUCUAACAAAUAUUAUAGUAUCAAUUGAGAGAGAAUUUGAGAAGAUACCUAGAGAUGAAAGGAAGAGCGUUUCCUCUGAUAGGGGUUCCGUGAAAGCAUCUGUUGACCAGAAAAGAAAAGGCAAAAAACCCCAAAUUACAUAUCAAGCAAUUAUAGAUAGAUCGAACCUUGAAAAUUGAAAUUUCAAACAAGAGAAAGGUUAUAAACUUACAACGAUCUGGGUGUUGGUAACUGGGUUUGGAUUUGGGUUUCUGAUAAGAGAGAGAAUCGUAUGAGGAACCGAUAGAGGAACUGCACCGGCAACAGAGAGCAAUUGAUAUGGUGGAGAACAGACGAGAAUAGCUGCUUGGAUGGUCAAUCCAAGAAGAGAAAAUCUUGCCACAAUCGCGGUACUUGAAAAAAAAAAAAACAAGUUUAAAGGAGGGAAACAAUCGCGCCUUUUUCUAAUAGACUCUGUCGACGAUAUUCUUGACAAAUAGAUGCUUCGUCGGGUGAGCUUAUUUUUCACAACAUUUUAUUUAGGAUUGGGUUCGGUUGGUAAACCGUGUCAAAUUUCUUGUGCCACUUGCCAGCCACAUAUACAUAAUUACCGAAAAUCAGUUACCGUUAGCCAACCGUCUUCUUGCGGUUGCCAAAAAUCGGUUCAGCCAAAAUGAUUGGCUGGUUCGGUUGGUAAAUGGCACAACCGGUGGUUUCCACUUCUUCCUCGCUAUCUUCCAGUUCCAAGGGCUCAAUUUGAUUUUCAGAUUGGGAUGCUUGUUCGGUUGCAUUGUGUGGUUCAUUUUGGGUUAAUCCAUGUUGUGCACUAGUAGUUGAUUGGCUAGACUCCAUUAUCCUAAACAUAAGCAACAAAUAUACAUUCAAAAUAAUAUAUAUGUACGUGUAUAUAUAGUAUCAGUAAUCAUCAUGCUAUCAAUUUUGUUAACAAUAUUUUCUAUAUAUUGAUUUUGGCAUGAAUCAUAUACACAUACAUAUAUUUUUAAAACCCUAAAACUAAGGAGUCAUUUAUUUUCUAAACUCUAAAAUUGAGGAGUCAAGCAUGUAAAAAAAUACUUAAAAUAUCUAAAUAGAAAAAGAAAAAGAAAAAAAAAUAAAUAUAUAUAUAUAUCGGUAGGUAUGGCAUACCGCCGGCAUACAAAAUCAAUUACCAAAGCCAUGCCAUUAAUUGUCGGUUCGGUAAAAUGCCAACCGAUUAUGAAAAAAUGUCAAAACUAUACCAUACCAUUUUGAGCCAACCAGUAUGGUUUGGUCAGUAAAUCGGUUUAUGGCAAAAUUUCUCACCCCUAAUUUUAUUUGUCACCUUAAACCUAUUGGUUUCUAGCCUACAAUUCGGAUAUUUUGUUGGGGAAAGAUUUUUGUACCAAUAAAAUUUUGCUUUGUCGGCAAAAUGACAUUUUCUAGUAGUUAUAAUAUUAGGUAGAUCAAAUUUGUAAACUAUGUGAUGUGUCACUAAUAGGAAAAAAUUUCAGUGUGCUGAAAAUACGGUCUAGAACACCAAGUGUCAUAAUAUAUACUUGGUUGGAAAUCUUUUAUUUUCAAGUUUCCAACUAGUUGUAUUGUAACAGUUGGUGUUCCAAGCUAUUUUCUCCAUGCGCUGGAAAAUCUCUUCACUAAUUAAAAAUAAACAUAUUAAUUAACACUUAAGUAAUAAUCAAAGCAUCAACAACUACGUCAUAGAAUUUACGAAAUAUGAUCUUAAUUAAUGAUCUCCAUUACCCUUUAUCUUAGCGUAUACGUACGCCUUCACAUGUUUAUUUGCUGAUAUGCAGCUUGAGUAAAAAUUUCUUUUUAAGAACAUAUAUGUGAAUAUAAACAUAUAUAUCUAGUGAUCCAUGUUGCGUUAUUUAAAAAUAAACAAAUUAAUUAAUUAAUGAACUGUGUACCUGUCUGUGUAGAGUAAUCCAUAUGCAUGCUUGAAUCCUGAUCACCACGAAACCAUAAUAUAAGCUACUCAAGGCCCGGAAGCUAGGAUUGAAGAGAAAAACACCCAGUCAGAUUAAGCCAAUACAUCAAAGUUAAUACUUCCAAAUGUAAGCUUUAAGAUAGAAAAAUCACUUACUUCCUUGAGCAGUCGAGCUUCUUCAAUGGCAUGAAGCUUUUAGCAUGAGAUUGACUGCAUCACAACUAAAAUUUUCUCUUGGAAACUACAUAAGGAAUAGCAUGUAUACCUAUAACGUUGAGAAAGUACGCCAAUUUUUUCCUUCUGCACAUUCAUGUUUAAAAGUAAUCCUCAAAUGAACUUGCCCACAAUGAAAUGCAAUUUGAGGUAGUCGAGUGUGUUCCAUUUCCAUCCCAUCGGAAUUACUACUAAACUUUGAGAUGGUAGAGGAUUCAUGAAAUUUUUUACUUUUGAAAUAGUCUCCUUAGCAUUUCUCGACUAUAACAAUGAGGAAAUACUUCACCUUGUAUCAAACAAGGGAGACCGAAAAUCAACUACUAAUAGCAUCACAGAGCCAGCAGAAGAUUGAGGAGGCCAUGAAAAGGAAAGAGAAAAUACACUCUUUUUUUGUAAGGACAGAGAUAAUACAUUCAAUAAAGGGUACUGAUGUUUAUAUGCAAAGCUGAUUAGGUUUAAAUAGUCGUAUUUAUUCUGUACAGUGCCAAUAUUACCACCCGUUAGUACACUUUCAAGACACUGUAAUCCAGUGUAUGCACUAUGCAGUACGUAGUACUCCUCAUUUUUUUGGGGAAAUUCAUUAUUGGUCUUCAUAUCUUCUUUAUUUUCCUUGUCCUCAUUGUGCCACGUGUUUAAAUCACUAAUUAUAGGUAAUCUUUCAAUUUAAUUAAAUCUUAUGUAAAAAAAGAUAAUUAAAUAUCAUUUAGUAUUACAAUAUAGUGAUAUUCCUCUUUAGUAUAAAAUUUUUAUAAUUAAAAGCGUUCAGCUUUUUAAUCUUCAUUGGAAUAUUAUCUAUAAAGAAAAAUUAUUCGAAUCAGAGAUCAUUUAUGCAUUCAAAUGUAUAAAAUACAUCGACAGUGUGAGAACCAACUAAUAUAUUUUUGAUGAAGUACAAUUAUUGAAUACAUUUGAACGAUCAAAUGAUAUAUGAUUCAAAAUACAUAUUAAGAUAAUAAAUAUAAAAGAAUUGUUAUUUGCACUUCAAGAAUCUCAUUCUACACUCUAAAUUUUCUAUAUAUUAAAAGAAAAAUAAAUUUGUGAAAAGUGUAGAAUGAGGUUUUUUUAAAUGCUAAUAACACUUCUCUAAAUACAAUUAUGAAAUUAAUUAAGUAAAGAUACAUGACCUCGUGAAUGAUGAAUGUAUUAUUCAAAAAAAUAUUAAAAACAAAUUGAAAAAGGACGCUGUUGUUGCCACCACUUAUGCAAUGAUCGUCGCUGCCAUCACCAACCCCCAACACCCCAUUACAGCUCAUAAAAGCACAUCAUAAGCAAUUUAUGAAAUAAAUUUACUGGAAUACUAAUUUCCCCCUUAGUUUAGGUCACCAAUGUUUAAAUUUAGGGAUCGUGAUAUCCACACACAUUUUUUACUUCUUUCACACUUUUUUUUUCGGUUGUCGGAUCAGAUGAAUUGAAGAAAAUCAAUGAACAGAAAUUAACAAGGGGUGUGUGAGAAGUAAAAAUGAAUGUGUGGAUAACACACCCCUAAAUUUAUCACAACUUUCAUUCCAAAUUUAAUUUUUAUCCGUAGUUUUGUUUGUUCAAAUUUACUUUGACAUUUCCAUUAGUAUUAAAAUCUAAUUUAAAUUUUAGUGUUCAAGCUAGAAAAAGUGUUCCAUUUAAUAUUUAAUCUCAGUUUUUCUCUUUAUUCUUUUAUUGGGAUUUGGUUGCAUCGUAUCUCCAUUUUUCUCGGUGUUGUAUGUUCAUAAGGCCUGUGAAACGUUGGCACGGAGUGAAGGGUACUCACUUUUUGGCCCAAAAUGCAUAAGGCAUGUAGAUAUGUUAAUCAAAUUUUGUAAACUAAAGGAUAUAGAAGUUGAUAAUUAGAUUAUAAUUUAAGAUAAUACUAAGGAGACUAAAUUUGCAAACUAAAUGAUGUGUCACCAAUAAAAAUAAGCACGUUUAUCAACAAUUAAGUAAUAAAUCAAUCAUCAACUUUCAUGUCCUUUAGUUUCCAAGAUUUAAUAUACAAAUUUAGUCUCCCAAGCAUUACUCUAUUACUUAAGUAUUGAUUAACAGACUUAUUUCUUAUGGUGACACAUUAUUUAGUUUACAAUUUUAGUCUACCCAACAUUACUCUUUUGAAAUUGUCUUGUCCACUGAUAUAAUUCUAUUUUUCUUGUGAUCAAAACUUCAAAUGUUAGCAAGUCGCACGUAAAGUCGCUUAUGAGAGAAUGUGCUCACAUUGUAGUUGAAAGAUUAUGUGGCUAGCAACAUUACAAAUUUAAUUUGGUAUAAUUCUAAAAUAUAGAUUGAGGAAAAAAUGAUCACAUUAACUAGAAACUGAAAAGGUUUCAGCACAGUUUGUUCAAGCAAGAAAUUCAAUUUUGAUGCUACCGAUCUUAACAGCCUGAGCGCCGUACCUGGGCACCAAAGUCACCACCACACUCUCAUCAUCUUCAGCACCCAAAUCCUCCAACAGGUCCGUUAACCCCAACCUUAAACAACUCUUGCUCUUUUCCUUCUGCUUAUGUGGCACACUCACAAAACUCCCAGCAAACUCGCUCUUGUCGGGUCCACUCGGUGCCGCAUCCUCAUCGUCCACGUCAUUCACAUACACACAUCAAACUUCACAGCCACAUCUUUGUCAAGCUCAAUCCCCUGAAUCACCAAUAUCUCCUCCUCAUCCUCUUUCUCCUUCUUGCUCCUCUUCUUCGGCUUCGGCCUUGACACCACCGUACUUAUCUUCGUCUCCAAAUUUAUUGGAAAAUCUUUACCCGCCACCACCUUCCCUGAUGACGUCGUCUCAGUGGCCUUCGCCACUCCAGCCGCCUUUGCCUUUCUCGCAAGCUUUGUCCGACGUGGCGUCGGUCUAGACUUGAGCCAUGGAAUCUCAACAUCUUCAUACGUAUACCCUAGCUUUUUAUUAUCAAGAGUGUCCCUCACCGUGACCCUAACAAGCUCAGCAUUCUCGUCAUAAAACAAAAACCCCGUAUCCAACCAAUCCUUAUCGUUAAUAUCGUUAUUUUUAGUCCCUAUACUUUUCCAAAUAUUCCACAUUCGAUCUAUAUUCGAAUGGUGCGAAAAAAAUAUUGGAUCCCUUGCAGCGGAGUAAAAAUUCCCCAUGUCUUCAAAAUUAGGCUGCGUGUUAUCUCCGGUCCAUAAAUGAACCGGACCAUGUGGGGUCGUUUCGAUUGAACCGCCCCCUGGAUCUGGUUCAGUGUCAGCCCUGUAGGGCGAACCAAAGAACAACAGCGGUUUCUUGGAGUUGGAAACCAUCUGCCUAUACAUGAUUUUGAGGUUGGCGUCGAUUUGAGCAUCCUUGGACAUUGUUUCAUCCGUGCCGUUGAAGUCAAGAUCGAUGAGAGUCGGCGGCUGAUGGCUGGCAGCGCGGAGCUCGUCGUAAAGCGGAGAGUCCGGGUUAGCGAACAAGGCAGGGAGUUGCAUGCCAGCUGGCGCGUCCCAGUUCCAAAACGGCAACGCGAACGUCGGAUCGUCUAUGAGUUUGGCCAAGAUUCUUUCGUAGAAGUAUACGUAGUAACGAUGGAAGGGGAAGAAAAGCCAGCAUUGAUGGAUUUGGAGCUCGAGGUUGGGGAAGCCGACUUGGUCGUACGCGCCGUCGCAAUAGGCACAGUGGAGAUCGGCUUGCUGGGUGAAGCUACGCGGAUCGUCGUCCGGGAGGGCUUUCAUGAGCUCGAUGGCUUUUGAAUAUUUUUCGAUGUAGGCUUUAUCCACGGUGUGAGCUGCCGGCCUGACGCGGAGUUUGGUAGGGGAGGGGAAUUUGAAGUCUACGAUUUUUUGGGACGUUGGCGGGCAACAGUUGAUCGGGACUGCUCCACUUGGAAAGUCCGCAGCUCCGCAUUUGGCUAGGUCAGGCGGCAACACUGGCUUUGCAACAGCGAAGGGGUCGCUGCCAAGACCAGCCACUCCGGCUUUGCAACAGCGAAGGGGUCGCUGCCAAGACCAGCCACUCCACCGUAGAGGCUUCCGAGACCUAUAAGAAGAUAGAAUUCAGUUCUUGGCAGUAGAGGACUCUAUUGCAGGGAAAAACUGAUUUGAAUUAGGAAGGCUUAAGUAGUUUUCCAUAAGGAUUUUAAUAGGGAAUCCAUAUUCUAAUAUGAGAAGGAUAUGUGUGUACAUAUAUAUAUAUAUAUAUGGCAAUCUCUUCUCUCACAGGUGUGUGCUCUUUUGGAACUAAGCCCUAUUCUUAGUUUGAGUGAUAAAUACCCUGACAGAGAGAAGAAGAAUUGAUGUGCUUUUCAGGUUGAUCGAGAUCCACCAUGACUGCAUCAAACGGGAGUUCUACAGGUUAGUAUAAUUAGGUUUUAUUUGGAUUGAUGUUUUGUGUCUACUUGGUUGUAGUUUAAGUAACUGAAUCUUGCAGCUAGAUUUUGGUUUACAUGUGGUAUCAGAGCCAUAGAUUCAUGUUCUUAAAUUCAAUCGAUAAAAUUGAUUGAAUCCAAAAUAAAAUUCCGAUCUUCAGACUUCGAAACAGGUUCUGGUAGUUAAAAUUAGGAAAAGAAGAAACGGUGCGUUUUGAUUAAAAUAUGAUGAUUAAUACUUGACCGUUAAGAGCUAAUAAACUAUCUUCUCUUCCGAAUUGGGAAUACAAAUCGACAUCUAUCGAUUUCGAUUUCGGGGUUUGAAAAACUGGGUUAUAUGACAUCUAUCGAUUUCGAUUUCGAGGUUUGAAAAACUGGGUUAUAUGAAUUGUUAUUGAGUAUCCACAAUUUAUAUUAAUUGCUUCCGCUGCUGGGUGUUGAUGCUCAUAGAACAAACGGGUAUGUCUCCUGAACAUUGAAUUGAAAUUUGUUUUUUAAUCAAUCUUAUCUUGAAUUUCAUUAUGUUCUACAGCAUGAUUCGAAUAGUGAGCAUAAAAAUAUGCUUAUUUAUGCUGAUUAGUCCUAUGUUUAUGCGUUUUUCUCUAACCAUCUAUGGAAGGGAGUUCUUCGAUAAGAACCUCUGCAGAUUUCACUUGUUUUAUGCAGAAAGUUUUAUGAAGAACUGUUCAUUUGAUAAAGAUCUGCUAAAACUGUGUUCUUAAAUGGAAAAAUCUUUUAUUCUAUAUGUGCUUAUCAAUUCUUCAUUGUUAAGAUUAUAUAUAUGGAUAAAAGGUUUUGAUGAUAUGAUGUACAAAGGAUUGUGAGAUGAAAUCUGGAACUCUAAACGUUCUUCUGUGAUUCAUUGUGAUUUCAUUGUGCUACAGUGUCUGCAAUAUCAAUGAAGACUCUGAAUUUGGCUAACAUCCCAAUUCUUACUGGUGGGGGAAAUUACAAGAAGUGGAGAAGGGAAAUCAGUUUGCUGUUGACUCUAAACGAGUUUGAUAUAGCAAUCGAGAAUCCCAAACCCGUGGUCAAUGAUCAGAGCAGCACAAGGGCUGAAAAGGCAGAUUUUGAGAGAUGGACAAGGGCUAAUAAGGUAGCAUUGUCCAUCCUUGAGAGUGGCAUGACUGAUACAAUCAGAUGAGGAAUUAAGAAGCACGAUUUGGCUGCUGAUUACCUAAAAGCUAUUGAAAAGAAAUUUCAAGAAUCUGAAAAAGCUGAAGUGAGUCAGUAUAUGUCUUUAUUAACUACUUACAAGAUGGAGGGUACAAGCUCUAUAAGGGAUCACAUAAUGAAGAUGACAUAUGCUGCAGAAAGACUCAAUGCAAUGGAUAUAAACAUAGGUGAAAAGCAGUUAGUAUUCAUGAUUCUUCAAGCACUUCCCAGUAAAUAUAGUCAGUUGAAGAUCUCCUACAAUACUCAAGACAAAAACUGGGAUAUUGAUCAGUUGAUUGCACAGUGUGUGCAAGAAGAAACUCGUCAAAAACAAGAAAGAGGCAAAGAAGUUGAGGACAUCAACUUUGUGCAAACUAUAAAUGACAAAAAGCAGUUCAACAACAGAAGCUUUUCUGGUUCUGGUAAGAGUUCUAAGCCUUUUAAAACUUCUAAUAAGUUCAGUAAUUCUGCUAAAGUAGUUGACUCCCCUAGAAAAUCUAUCAAGUUUAAAGCUAAACCUAAAGAUGUGUCUAAAUUAAAAAUGUUUUUGGUGCAAAACUAAGGGCCAUUUAAAAGUUAACUGUGAAAUUUUCAAAGAUUAUGUAAAGAGCAAAGAAAAGGAACAAGUACUUGUCUGUAUUGAAUCAAAUUUGUGAAGUAUACCUGUUGAUUCUUGGUGGUUUUGAUAUACCGGAUGCUCAGUGCAUAUAACUAAUUCUUUAAAUGGUUUUCAAAAACAAAAGGAAUUUGGAAAUGCUACAUAUAAUGUUUUUGUUGGGGAAGGAACUAAAGUUGCAGUAGAGUCAAUUGGGAUAGUCAAAUUAGUCUUAUGUUCUGGUUAUGUUUUAGAGUUGAAAGAUGUGUGCUAUAUGUGCCUAAGAUGAGAAGAAACUUAAUUUCUGCCCUCUAAAAUUGUAAAAGAUGGUUUUUCUUUUCUUGGUGAUGAUGAGUGCCUCAAAAAUUUUCAAGAAAAACUGUCCUUGUCCUAACACUAUUUUAGGGACUGCUUUUUUGUCUGAUAAUUUAUGGAAUCUAAAUUGCACUGUUAAGGCACUCAAUCACACGAUUUUCAGCAUUAGUACUAAGAGAAUGAUAGGUCAGGAUACUUCAUACAUUUUAUGGCACAAAAGACUAGGACACAUCUCUAAAGAAAGGAUAAUUAAGCUGUAAAAAACUGACUUGAUUCCAAAAUUAGAUCUUUCUACUGCAACUGAAUGUGUUGACUGCCUAAAGGGUAAAAUGACCAAUUUUAGAAAAACAGAUGCCAAAAUGAGCCAGGGGUUACUUGAAAUCAUACACACUGAUAUCUGUGGUCCUUUUCCAGUUAAGACAAUAUGUGGAAACAAGUAUUUCAUUAAUUUCAUAGAUGAUUUUUCAAGGCUGGGAUAUACCUUUCUGAUUAAUGAAAAAGCUGAUGCCCUUAAGUGUUUUAUAAUUUACAAAACUGAGGUUGAAAAACAGUUAGGCAAGGUUAUUAAAAUUGUUAGAUCGGAUAGGGGAGGUGAAUACUUUGGCAGGUACACUGAAUCCGGGCAGCAAAAGGGACCAUUUGCUCUCUAUCUCGAGAAGAAUGGUAUUGUGGCGCAGUACACCACACCUGGAACGCCUCAACAGAAUGGUGUUUUUGAAAGAAGAAACAGGACUCUUAUUGGUAUGGUUAGAAGCAUGAUGUCCAGAUCAAAAUUGCCAGGAUUCUUGUGGGGAGAAGCUUUGAAAACAGCUAAUCAUAUAUUGAAUCGAGUUCCAAGCAAGGCAGUAUCUACCACACCCUAUGAGUUAUGGCAUGGGAGAGUUCCUAGUUUUACUUAUUUCCAUGUUUGGGGUUGUAAAGCAGAAGCUAAGUUAUAUAAUCCUAAUGAAAGAAAGCUGGAUUCAAGGACUCAGUCAUGUUAUUUUAUUGGCUAUCCUGAGAAAUCAAAAGGAUACAGGUUCUAUAUCCCUCAAGGUCACACUCGGAUCCAAGAGACACACAAUGCAGUUUUCCUAGAAGAUGAAGAUGUCUCUCAUUUGUCAAGGGAAAAUUUCAUAUUUGAAGAGAUGCAUUCAGAUGGUGGGGACCAUGUGACAAUGGAUUAUAAUAUCGGUCUCAUUGUUUCCCAAUCAAUCAUCAAUUGCCAUUGAAGAUAUGAGUGAAGAUUUAGGAGUUCCUGAUGACAACUCUGUAGGAGUUGAUUCCACAACAUAAGCUGCAACAAUUCCUUUUGCAGAAGCAUGUGAACCAGUUGCUGUUCCACCUCCAGUUGAAAUCAGAAGGUCACAAAGAGCUCGGAAAACCACUGCAAGCAAUGACUAUGUGUACUUAUAAGAGACUGAGUUCGAUAUUGGUGACAUUUGAUGAUCCUCUUACAUAUACUCAGGCAACUGAAAGUCCUCAAGCAGUUCUUUGGAACAAUGCAAUGAAGGAUGAGUUAGAUUCAAUGUCCAAAAACCAGGUUUGGACAUUGGUGGAAUCCAACUCUGAAAUUAGGCCAAUAGGCUGCAAGUGGGUAUAUAAAACCAAAAGGGAUGCUGCUGGAAGAAUUGAAAGAUAUAAAGCAAGGUUGGUUGCUAAGGGGUUUACUCAAACGGAGGGGAUCGACUAUAAUGAUACUUUCUCUCCAGUUUCCUCCAAAGACUCCAUGCGAGUUAUCAUGUCUUUAGCUGCCUACUUCGAUCUUGAAUUACAUCAAAUGGAUGUAAAAACCGCUUUUCUUAACGGAGACUUACAAGAGGCUAUAUACAUGAAACAACCUGUUGGAUUUGUUGAAAAGGGGAAAGAGAAUUUAGUAUGCAAGCUCAAUAAGUCCAUAUACGGCUUGAAACAAGCAUCAAGGCAAUGGUACCUAAAGUUUGAUCAAAUUGUCUCUGCAUAAGGUUUUGUAGAAAACAAACUGGAUGAUUGUAUAUACAUUAAGUUCUCAGGUUCCGAGUUCAUCUUCUUAGUACUUUAUGUUGAUGCCAUUCUCCUAGCUAGUUCAUGUCCCCAAUUGCUUCAUAGCAUUAAGAGAAUGCUAAGUGAUAACUUUGAGAUGAAAGAUCUUGGAGAAGCACAUUAUGUACUAGGAAUAGAGAUUGUUCGAGAUAGGAAAAUGAGGCUCCUUGGUUUAUCUCAAAAGGGGUACAUUGACAGAGUGUUGGAGAAAUUUCAUAUGGCAAAUUGCAAUUGUGGUCAGGUUCCAGUCAAUAAAGGUGACAAGUUUUCGAAGAUUCAAUGUCCAAGAUCUGAUUUGGAGGUGAAGAAAAUGCAAGCUAAGCCUUAUGCCUCGUUGAUUGGAAGUCUUAUGUAUGCAACUAUCUGUACAAGGCCUGAUAUUGCCUUCAUAGUUGGUAUGCUAAGACGAUUUCAAGCAAAUCCUGAGAAGCACAUUGGGGGUGGCAGCCAAGAAGGUUCUUCGAUACUUGCAGAGAACCAAAACUCACAUGUUAGUAUAAUGGCCGAACUGAUUCUUUGGAGCUCAGGGGGUAUAUACUCGGAUUUAGCUGGAGAUGUGGAUGACAGGAAGUCCACAGGGGUUAUAUCUUCAUACUCAAUGGAGGGGCAGUUUCGUGGAAAAAUGCAAAGCAAACUAUUAUAGCCACAUCAACUAUGGAAGCUGAGUUUGUAGCCUGUUUUGAAGGCAUGAAACAGGCAGCAUGGUUGAAGAAUUUUUUGACAGAUUUAAAGAUUGUGAAUUCGGUUCAGAAACCAGUAACAAUGUUCUGUGAUAAACAACUCGGCUGUGUUUUUUGCUAAGAAUAAUAAAAGGACUUCAGCAUCUAGAUUUGGAUGGACGAAGUUUCUUAAGGUCAGAGAACAAGUCAAGAAAGGAGUUAUUGAAGUACAGCACAUUAGCACUACUAUGAUGAUUGCUGAUCCCUUGACUAAGGCACUGCCAAUUGGAGAAUUCAAGAAACAUGUUUCUUCAAUAGGAGUACUAGAAGGUUUUGAUCAGUGGGAGUAAUCACGUGUGUGUUAAAGGCUUGGGAUUGCAGAAGCAGAAGUAUAUAUGUGUUUCAAGAACUGUAUGUGCAAUUCUGACAAGCUGAACUAAGGAUGCUUUAUGUUUUAACUUGCUUUAGUUAGUUUGUUAAGGUUGUUUGUGUUUUAAUAAGUGUCCUUGUCUGCUACUCAAUACUUUGGCUUUCAGGUGUUGAGGUACGGAUACUGGACUGAGUUAGAAUUUAGUUUCAUUAGUAACUUUGAAAGAACAGUUUGUCUGUUUUUUAAGUUUGUGGUUAAUGAUGUUAUAUAGUCAAUUACUAUGUUGCUUUUCUGUGAAGAUUAAUGUGUGUUGUGAUCUUUUGAAAAGUGGGAGCAUAAUGUUUGACGGUUUAUGUUAGUCAUGAGUCAUAUUUACAAAUUGAAUAUAUGUGAGCCUUGAAUUAAUACUACAAUUUGGUUGUGGUCUGAGAUUCUUGGUUUCUAUAUUUUGAGAUGUAAUGGGACAGUGGUCAUGAUGGUUAAAUCUUAGAUGAGGUUAUGUGAUCACUUCUUAUGAUUGGUGACGGCAAGGUUUGAUCUUUGUCUCAUGUUCAAGUGGGAGAAUGUAAGAAUGUGAACAUGAGAUAAGAUGAUCGGAUAUUAGUUGUUUGAGUCCAAUCCGAAUAAGAAAGCCUCUAAGAAGAUGGAAUUCAGUUCUUGGCAGUAGAGGACUCUAUUGCAGGGAAAAACUGAUUUGAAUUAGGAAGGCUUAAGUAGUUUUCCAUAAGGAUUUUAAUAGGGAAUCCAUAUUCUAAUAUGAGAAGGAUAUGUGUGUACAUAUAUAUAUAUAUAUGGCAAUCUCUUCUCUCACAGGUGUGUGCUCUUUUGGAACUAAGCCCUAUUCUUAGUUUGAGUGAUAAAUACCCUGACAGAGAGAAGAAGAAUUGUUGUGCUUUUCAGGUUGAUCGAGAUCCACCAUGACUGCAUCAAACGGGAGUUCUACAGGUUAGUAUAAUUAGGUUUAUUUGGAUUGAUGUUUUGUGUCUACUUGGUUGUAGUUUAAGUAACUGAAUCUUGCAGCUAGAUUUUGGUUUACAUAUUUUUCGAUGUAGGCUUUAUCCACGGUGUGAGCUGCCGGCCUGACGCGGAGUUUGGUAGGGGAGGGGAAUUUGAAGUCUACGAUUUUUUGGGACGUUGGCGGGCAACAGUUGGUCGGGACUGCUCCACUUGGAAAGUCCGCAGCUCCGCAUUUGGCUAGGUCAGGCGGCAACACUGGCUUUGCAACAGCGAAGGGGUCGCUGCCAAGACCAACCACUCCGGCUUUGCAACAGCGAAGGGGUCGCUGCCAAGACCAGCCACUCCACCGUAGAGGCUUCCGAGACCUAUAAGUACAUUUCUUCUGUCUAGGUUUACUAGAGAAGGGUUUUCAUGGUCGUGAUCGUUGGAGCUAGUGGAAGGGUUUUUGUUUUGGUCACUACUAUUAUUUGUGGCUUUGCACGAGACAGCUUGUAAAUUGGAAUGCCUAGGGUUUCCAAAUGAGGAUAUUCGGUGAUACUUUUGGGAGAAAGGGGAGAGAGAAGUUGUGGGGAUGAUACUUGUGGCGGAGGUGACGAGUGGAGCUGACAUAGAAGCCAUGGUACUUGACUCUGAAUAAUACGUUGUAUUGGCUUUGCUUUUAUAAUGUGUUCUAGGUUUUACGUUUCUUUGCACGGGUGGCAGGCCGUACACACGUGGUCGGUCCUUAAGGGUUUGACGAGGAAUACUACGCAGUCAUUUAGUACAUGACAACCAUACACUAUAGCACGUGGCAUGUAUUUAGAGAUCGAGAGAGAAUUGGGUAAGGUUCACGAGGGAUUGUAGUUUCAGAAGGUGAAUUGGUUUUGGUCUUCUUGUGUACCAAUAAUUUUUACUUAGUCAUUUAGUGCAGGACAACCAUGCACUAUAGCACGUGGCAUGUAUUCAGAGAUCGAGAGAGAAUUGGUUGGGUAAGGUUCACGAGGGAUUGUAGUUUCAGAAGUUCAAGCGGUUUUGGGCUUGUUGUGUACGGCUGUGGGUCUGCUGUCACGGACUCUCUGUCUCAUUUGUGUCUUAUUUUUUAUUUUUUGACACGUUUUAACGUCAAAUCAUUAUAGCAAUGUUAUGCAAUUGGGAGCUAAAUGACCGAUGCUCUUAUUUUUUAGUUUGCUUUUUUUCCAGAUCUGAUCAAAUCAUGAUAGCAAUGUUAUGCAAUUUUCAAGAGGGAGAGAUGCACCUGGGAGAGAAACGGUACGGUGACUUCUAAAUCACCGUCCAACAGAACAAUUCUCAGUAGAGACUACUAGAGAGAGAUGCACCUCACCAAUGAAAAAUUUAACUGCAAAAAUUCUGGGUAUCGGGAGUUGUGGGGUGGGUCUUGGCAGUUUUCUUAUUUCUUUGAAUUUUUUAUAAUUUAUUUUAUAAAAGUAACAGUGUUUUGUGGGGGUUAAAUUGUAAAACACGUGUCAUCAAACUAAAUAAAGAGACACCAAAGAGACAUGGAAUUCGGGACAACAGACCCACAGCCGUUGUGUACGGAGGCAGACUCUCUGCUCUCCUACUUUCUGUGUCCUCCUGUUUUGUGUAGUCACGAUUAAAUCACGUCAAUAUUUUAUAUUAUUAUUUUAUAGAUAUAAUAAGACAAAAAAGAAUAGUAAUUUAAAAUAUUAACGUGACUUAACUGUGACCACACGAAUAGGAAGGCAUGAGAAGUGGGAAGGCAAAGAAUAUGCCUCCGUUGUGUACCAAUAAUAUUAUAUAUAUAUAUAUAUAUAUAUAUAUAAUUAGGAUUGAAGGAUGUAGAGCUUAUUUUGUUAUGUAUUCUAACAAUUUAAGUGCUUAUCUUUUAGGUUUUCUCUUAAACAGCAUGCCUAUAAAAAAUCACCAAAAUUCAAACCAUAUGACCAUUAGAUCCAUAGUCAUUUUAGUGUUAAAUGAACUUCACAAAAUAAGUCUCAAAAUAUGUAUAAAAAAUGGACAGCGUGAAUGGUUUGGAAAUUGGAAUAGGUUUGGAAAUUGUGCUUUUUGUAGCAAAUUGCAGCAAAGUUUGCUUGGACUUUCACAACCGUAUAAAUUAAACUGUUCGCUUUGUUGGGAAAAACAAGUUUGCCGCUGGUCUUGGGUUCCAAGAUCGGCCAAUUUGACGGCACACUUUUUGGCGUUGAGAAGCAGUACGGAGAUGUGCAGAUUAACUUGGAUUGAUACUCCUCCAUCUUCGUUGGUUCGUGUAUUGAACAAAGAUGGCCUUCCUUGCCCUCCUUAAUAUUUUUUGUUCUUCCUGCAGUGGAGGCGGUGACGCCUUGCUCUUGGUGCAGCGUCUAGUGUUCUGUACCCUCCUCUUCUGCAUAUGUUUGUAUUUCCCCUCGUUGCCCCUUCUAAGUGGGCUUCCUAUUGUUUUGGCUUCGGCCCUGGUUAUGAAAUAUUUCCAAUCUUACCCAAAAAAAAAAAAAAAAAGAAGAAGAAGAAGAAGUCAAGCACGGUGGGAGACUGGUCAUAGUUUCUAGAUUGAUGCUCUAAUUCUAAUGUUAUACAACGCGUACGCUAAAAUAUUUUUAUCAAAAUAUUAGUUUUAGUGUUAUCAAAACAAUAAUGUUAUUCUUACCAUGUUUUUGUAUCACAAUUAUAUACCACCUUAGAUGGCAUAUGAUGUAGAUAGCCACAUCAUUUAAAUUAAUAAGCAUUUAAUUUCAAAUGUUAAUCAAUAAUUAAUAAAAUGAUUGUUAAUUAAAUGAUGAUUAUGGUAUACAAGGAGUCUCCUUCUUCCUUCCCCUUUCCAUUCUGCUUUUUCUUCCUACCACUUUCUGUUUUUUUUUUCAUGCCAGUUUUUGUAUUGAUUUCUAUUGAUUUCCAUGAUUAUGGUCAAUCUUUAUAGAAUUUACUCGUAUACCACAACCACCAUUGAUUUCUAUCUCUAGACUCAUGCCCCGUAGCCCUAAUCCUCAUUCCCCUUCAAGUAUUUCUGUCUCCAAUCUUCUUUGGUACUCCAUGGUUGUUCAUCUCGUGAUUUUUUUUUAUUAUUUCAUUAAGUAACGCCUAUUAGCUUUCAUGCGAAUUAGGAGUCAAAAUCAAAUUUGUCUAUCGGAUUAGGGUUCAUGCCCAAUUAAGUUACUAACGCAAGAGAGAUUUUGAAGUCUACAAUUUUCCUUAUUUAAGUGUUUUAAUUAAUAAGAAAAUUGAAAUUAAACGAUUUAGCUUGUCCAACUCAUCUGCCACCUAAGAUGGUAAAUAAAUGUGGUAAGAAUAGCAUUACUCUUAUCGAAAUUACAAAAAAAAAAAAAAAAAAAAAAAAAAGCUGAUUCAAUAUUUAGUUAUUAAAAAAAAUAUAAAAAAAGUGAUCAAGUAACUAUCCAAUACCCAUGUAUUGGGUGCUUUGUUUGAAAAUUUUCAAAAUGAUAUUGGGCUCGUUUGGAUAUGUUUUUAAAAUGACUGAAAGCGUUUUUAGAGAAAAUAUUUUUUUGAUUCCAAAAGCACUUAAAGUGUUUUCUGCAAAAAGCACUUAAAGUGCUUUCUGCAAAAAGCACCAGUUAUGUGCUUCUUCCUAGAAGCACUUUAAGUGUUUUUCAAGCAUUUACUUGCUUUUUUACUAAGGAUUGGUUCCAAAAACAUUUUCACAAAAAGUGUUUUCAGUCAUUUUAAAAGUACAUUCAAACGAGCUCAUUGUUUUUCCUAUUUUAAUCAAGUGCGUCGUCCCCUGUUGAGAAUGAAUCUCAUAUUAUGGGGAGAGGGGUCUUGCAUGGAUGAGAGGAGGGACCUUGCAUGAGCUUAUAAGUAAGUUGGGUUACUCUCUAUAUUGCCAAGAGAAAUUUUAUUUGGACCUACUUUUCCUCUCUCUAAACCCAACUUUAAUAUUUUGUUACCUAAACUCUCUAGUUUACCCUCAUAAAUUAUAAACAUAAAUAAACUGGAAAAAGAAAAACUCAUCAAACCUAUUUCCCAACUGUUCUGGCGUCUCUUCCCUGUAUUUGUUGGGUCUAUCUCCCUCCCGACUGUUUUUUUUCCCUGAUAUUCUCUGUGUGUUCCCCCACCUCUCCCACACCCACCGAUUCUUUGUGGUGGCUAUUCCACCCAACGUCCAGUGAAUCUUUCCAUUUUUCUUCUAUUGCGCGUGAUAGGGCCUUGCUGUUAAUAGGCAAAACUAAGCGGCAUCGUCGACUCUGUAAGCGACUUGUUGCAGAAGUCCAAAAUGGAGUCAAAAGGAUUUUGUAUUGGGUCGGGUUGUUGAAGGCGAUGGCUGAUUUAGCAAUCUCGCCUAACUACUUCUAUAUGCAGGAGAAGGAAGAGGGAGGAAGGUCUAAAGUGGUGGUUGAGUGGUGGCGAUGUAUGUGGGUUCUAUCUCGGUUGAAUGGGUGUAGAAAGAUAUUUAAUUUUCAGUUUCUUAUUUUAUUUUGUAUAAGGGAUAAUAUCGGAAUUACAUAAAAAGUUUUUUUUAUAGCUGGGUGUAGAAAUAGUAUUGUUGGGUCUAAAUAAAAUUACCCUAUUGCCAAACAUAGUAUUGUUGGGUCUAAAUAAAAUUACCCUAUUGCCAAUUAGCUUUGUUUGAAAAUUUUCAAAAUGAUAUUGUUUUUACCAUUGAACCCUUGUUAUAUACAGUGAUGGCUAAUUUGUCAAGUUCUACGAAGUUGGGAUACCCAGCGUUUUAGCAUAUAACAUAACUUAGUAUUACAAGCAUAAUUAAUUAAAAUAAAGGAAAAUGAAGAGGAUAGCUUAGUAUUACAAGCAUAAUUAAUUAAAAUAAAGGCAAAAGUAACAGCCUGUCCCUAAAAAUGACGAUUUUAUAAUCUUAACACGUGAGUUUAUGAAGAUGCCCUUCGAGGCAAAGUGUUGACUUGUGUUGACUACCGCAUCGUGUCAUGUGAGACUCAUCUUCUUGGCGUAUUCUCGUUUUACUUGUCACUACGGACGCAUGGGCGCAAACGGGACAUGAUUUGGAGCUAUAACGAAUGAGUUAUUAACAUUUAAAGUUAAGGACAUUUUAGUAAAUUAAUUAAUUUCAGAUUAUGUUGAGGGGAAAAUCUGGAGUGCCGGUGGGUGGCCCAGAUUAAAGGAAAUGAAGAAUGGAUGGUGGAGGUGUAAAGGAAAGAAGAUAAAAGAAAAAUGAGAGGAAGUGUGUGACUAAUAGGGAGAUGAGAGAGUUAGGAUGGCCCAAUCAGAAACAAACGAAAGGAGGAAAAAGGAGAGAAGAGGGGAGCGGGGGAUCCCUUCGACCCGGUUCCAUUUUCCGACCCGACCCGAUCCUUUUCAUCUUCUUUGAUGGUUUUUCGUCGGUUUUUUCCGACGAACCACGUUAUCUAACCCCUUGGAAAAUGUUCCACAACCUUCCCUCAACUAUUACAAUCCAAAAUUGUAGAAAUUUAGCCAUGAAAGUAUGAAAACCACACCGGUGGGUGCGGGAAACCCUUGUCGUCGAUUCUCCCAUUAUUGCAACGAUUUUCACCAAUUACCACCACCUACAACAUCCUCUUGAGGUCUGGAAUAAAGCCCAAACAAGUUUUGCACUACUACAAUAUUAGCUUUAGAUGGCAGAUGAUGGUGGCGGAUUUAGAAAAAUAUUGUCGGAUAAAUUAUAUCUGACACAUUAUUUAAUUAGUGGUGAAUAUAAGAAAAAUCAUGUCGGUUAUAACCGACAUAAAUUCGUGGCAGAUACUAGCAGAUAUUAAAAAACUCAUGUCGGUUAUAACCGACAUAAAUUCCUAGCGAAUAAUUACUGACAGAUAUUAUAAAACUUCUGUCGGUUAUAACCGACAAUAUUUUUGAAUUGGGGGAAUUUAAAAUUUUGGGAGGGAAUUUAAAAUUUUGGGAGGGAAUUUAAAAUUUUGGAGGAAAUUUUGGGGGGAUUUUUACCCAUAUUAAUUCAUGGCGGAUAAUUACUGACGAAUAUUAUAAAGCUCAUGUCGGUUAUAACCAACAAUAAUGAAAAUGUUUAUGUCGAUUUUUAUUAAAAAAAUGUUUCUGUCAGUUUUAACCGACAUUAAUGAAAAUAUUCCACAGUAAAACCCCUACUUCUUCUCCUUGUGCUGGUGCCUUCUCCCUUCCCCCUUCUUUCCCCCUUUUCUCUUCUCCUCAUUUCCUUUUCCUUUGUAUUUUUGAUUUUGACAAGGUCUCUCCUUUAUUUGAUUCUUUGUUGUUCAUCUCUCACAAAUGUAGAGAGAGUAAAGGAGAUGCUUAGAGCGCUUUCUUUGUUCCUUUUUUUUUUCUUUUCAUUUUUUCCCUUUUCAAACUCCGACUAUGUCUUACAUGGCCGGUCCCAAGCCCGGAUAAAGGAGGAGGGGGAGGGCGUCAGGUAGUCGACAGCCGGCACUCCAUGAUCACGUCGAAUCCUUAUGAAAAUGAAUCCAGAACAAAAUCGCGCUAAAGCUAGGGCGCCACCCGUAAGUGGCGCGCUGUGUGGCCCGAGCACAGUGAUAAGUGAGCAAGGGUCGCUGUAUCUCCAUCGGCACUCGGAUGCAGUGUUAAAUGAGCAAGGGGGCCAUAGAAACUUCUUUUCGAACGACUCCACUCAAAGUUGUUUGGGAGCAUAUGCUCCUAUCAACUUUACCCGGGACACACAAAAGAAGUACUUUGAUCCUAUUAGACGGGGGAGGGUGAAGAAGCUAGGACAGAAGGGUAGAGUUCAAGAGAGCAAAAUGCGUUUAGGAACGUGGAAUAUAGGAACCUUAACGGGAAAAUCUAUGGAAGUAGUGGAAGUUAUGGUGAGGAGAAGGAUAAAUAUUAUGUGCCUACAAGAAACUAAGUGGGUUGGUAGUAAGGCAAAGGAUCUAGAAAACUCAGGGUUUAAACUUUGGUAUUCGGGCACAAAUAGAACGAGAAACGGUGUUGGCAUCAUCGUGGACAAGACCUUGGUACAAGAUGUUGUAGAUGUCAAGAGUGUAGGAGAUAGAAUCAUGGCAAUCAAGAUUGUAAUAGGACAAGAACUUAUCAAUGUGAUUAAUGCGUACGCACCUCAAGUAGGGUUGGAUACGAGUUCGAAGGAGAAAUUUUGGGAAGAUCUUGGAGACUUGGUGCAAGGAAUUGCUCAGACGGAGAAGUUAUUUAUAGGAGGAGAUUUAAAUGGACACGUGGGCAGGGAGACAGGCAACUAUGGAGGUUUUCAUGGUGGCCAUGGUUUUGGGGAGAGAAACGAGGAUGGGGAAGCUAUCUUGGAUUUUACAAUGGCAUAUGAUCUCUUCUUAGCCAACACCUUCUUUAAGAAGAGAGAAGAACAUGUGAUCACCUACAAGAGUGGGUCGUCAAAAACACAAAUAGAUUUUCUUCUAAUGAGGAAAGGGGAUCGUAUAACUUGUAAGGAUUGCAAAGUUAUACCAGGAGAGAGCGUGGCUAAUCAACAUCGCUUGUUGGUGAUGGAUGUACAUAUCAAAAGAGUAAGACAAAAGAACAAGACUUGGAAGUGCCCAAGGACUAGAUGGUGGAAUCUAAAAGAAGAAAAACAAGUCAUUUUCAAAGAGAAGGUAAUCACCCAAUGUGUGUGGGAUAGAGAGGGGGAAGCUAGCCAAAUGUGGGAUUUCAUGGCUAGUUGUAUCCGAAAAGUAGCAAAAGAGGUAUUAGGAGAGUCUAAGGGCUUUGCCCCACACUAAAAGGAAUCUUGGUGGUGGAAUGAGGAGGUACAAACAAAGGUGAAGGCUAAGAAGGAAUGUUGUAAAGCCUUAUACAAGGAGAGGACCGAUGAAAAUGGUGAAAGGUAUAGAAAAAAAGCGAAGCAAGAGGCGAAGAAAGCUGUCAGAGAAGCUAAGUUAGCGGCUUACGACGAUAUGUAUAAACGACUAGAUACCAAAGAAGGAGAGUUGGAUAUCUAUAAACUAUCUAGAGCAAAGGAAAAGAAGACAAGGGACCUAAACCAAGUGAGGUGCAUCAAGGAUGAGGAUGGAAAGGUUCUUGCUACAGAGAACGCGGUUAAAGACAGAUGGAGAGGUUAUUUUCAUAAUCUUUUCAAUGAAGGACAUGAAAUGAGUGCUUCUUUAGGGGAGUUGAGUAACUCAGAAGAGUGUAGAAACUACUCUUUUUAUCGUCGAAUCCGGAAGGAAGAAGUGGUUGUAGCUUUGAAGAAGAUGAAGCAUAAAAAAGCAAUAGGCCCAGACAAUAUACCAAUCGAAGUGUGGAAACUUUUGGGAGAGACAGGUAUAACAUGGCUCACUGACCUUUUCAAUAGGAUUUUGAAAACGAAAAAGAUGCCAAAUGAGUGGCGAACGAGCACUUUGGUGCCUAUCUACAAGAAUAAGGGCGACGUACAAAAUUGCAUGAACUAUAGGGGUAUUAAGCUAAUGAGUCAUACAAUGAAGCUCUGGGAGAGAGUCAUUGAGCAUAGAUUGAGGCAAGAGACACGGGUUUCGGACAACCAAUUCGGGUUCAUGCCAGGGCGCUCAACCAUGGAGGCAAUCUAUCUCUUACGAAGAUUGAUGGAAAGAUAUAGAGAUGGGAAAAAUGAUUUACACAUGGUCUUUAUAGAUUUGGAAAAAGCGUAUGAUAGGGUCCCAAGAGACAUUCUUUGGAGGAUUUUAAAGAAGAAAGGAGUACGAGUAGCAUAUAUCCAAGCUAUAAAGGACAUGUAUGAAGAAGCAAAGACUGCCGUAAGAACUCAUGAAGGACAAACCGAAAGCUUUCCCAUAACUGUAGGAUUACAUCAAGGCUCAUCCUUAAGUCCUUACCUUUUUGCGUUGGUAAUGGAUGAGUUAACAGGACAUAUUCAAGAUGAUAUUCCUUGGUGUAUGCUUUUCGCAGACGAUAUAGUGUUGAUAGAUGAAACUCAGGAAGGGGUAAAUGCAAAGCUUAACCUUUGGAGAGAAGUGUUGGAAUCUAAAGGUCUUCGCCUAAGCCGAUCAAAGACAGAAUAUAUGGAGUGCAAGUUCAGUGCAAAUGGAGGCCAAAACGAGUUAGGGGUGAGGAUCGGAGAUCAAGAAAUACCAAAGAGUGACCGUUUUCGUUACCUAGGAUCUAUCUUGCAAAAGAACGGAGAAUUAGAUGGAGAUCUCAACCAUAGAAUACAAGCUGGAUGGAUGAAGUGGAAGAGUGCAUCUGACGUGUUGUGUGACCGUCGUAUGCCACUGAAGCUCAAAGGAAAAUUUUAUAGGACGGCAAUAAGGUCGGCGAUGAUUCAACUUGGCGGGUUCGAGCAAAUAGGCGUUGGGCCAUAUUAGACACAGAACCUGCACACUGAACACUGAGAGCUAGCGAAUCCUUAACAGCUAACUCAUCAGACCGUUUGGAAAGUAGUCUGUUAUCUUUGGGAGUGAGAAGGUUCCUGGCCACCACCGCAGCGGUCAUAUCAUUCUUCAUCACGGAAUCCCCAACGGUAAGAGGACCAGUAGGGGAGACAAAGGAUGGGCGCCAUAUGUUGUCUGGAGAAGGCGGGGCUGCCUCUUCAACAAGGUUCAAGUCAAAAAACGACGGUCGGAGGGCCAGACAUUUUCAAAGGUGUUGAAGAGAGAAGAGGUCGGACACAAAUCAAGAUCUUAGAAGUGCAAGAAUGAAGCUUCUACUGGUGGAGAUUCAAGUGUGCUUUGGAACUUAAUGCCAGCCCCUAUAAAAAUCUGCACUCGACGGAGCUUCAGAAAUCGAAGAGGCGUUUGCUUUCUCAAAAGCUGGGCUGCUUAGAGAUCACGAGGGUUGAUCUCAGGAAUCGAAGAGGCGUUUGCUUUCUCAAAAGUUGGGCUGCUCAAAGACCACGAAGGCCGAUCUCAGAAAUCGAAGAGGCGCUCACUUUCUCAAAAACUGGGCUCCCCAGAGACCACGAGGGCCGAUCUCAAAAAUCGAAGAGGCACCUACUUUUCCAGCCUUGUCAGCACCUGUCACACGCACACUCAGCUUUGCGGAAAUUAUGGGCAUUCUGUCGAAGACUUCUGGGGAAGUAGAAAACACAUGAAUCUUACUGUUCAAUCACCCACUUCCCACACGCAAUAAUAGCUCAUGGGUACCACAGAUAACUUUGCCAAAGUUCUCUGCCAAAGUUGAGCACGUGAAGCUUGCAGCUCCCACUACAUCGCUCUGACCAAGAAGGGUAAAAAGAAUAGCAAAGAAACAGCACUAACAAAGUUUAGACCCAUAAAUUUUGAAGGUCUAGCUACCAUAUUAUUACCCACAAGGGUAAAGGAACAGUACCACUGCUGGAUAAUUGGAAAGUCCCUAUGUGUCAACCUCUGUGCUUCGUGGCAAGGUAGACUAGCAAACAUGCCCAACCUUUACUCACAUUCGAGAAAACACUCCCAAUAAGAUUGCUUGCUCCAAAAUCGAAGAGGCACCGUCCUCCGAAUCUCGAGAGCCAGACUCCCAACAUGACUACUUUCUUAAAAAUCGAAGAGAGGGUAAAGGAACAGUACCAUUGCUGGAUAAUUGGAAAGUCCAUGUGUGUCAACCUCUGUGCUUCGUGGCAAGGUAGACUAGCAAACAUGCCCAACCUUUACUCACAUUCGAGAAAACACUCCCAACAAGAUUGCUUGCUCCAAAAUCGAAGAGGCACCGCCCUCCGAAUCUCGAGAGCCAGACUCCCAACAUGAUUACUUUCUCAAAAAUCGAAAGAGACACUGCUCCCCGAAUCUUCGAGAGCCAGACCCCCAGCAUGAUUGCUUUCUCAAAAAUCGAUGAGGCAUCGUUCUCCGAAUCAAUCGAAGAGGCGCUCGCUUUCUCAAAAGCUGGGCUGCUCAGAGACCACGAGGGCCGAUCUCAGAAAUCGAAGAGGCACUUACUUUUCUAGCCUUGUCAGCACCUGUCACACGCACACUCAGCUUUGCAGAAAUUAUGGGCAUUCUGUCGAAGACUUCUGGUGAAGUAGAAAGCACAUUAAUCCUACUGUUCAAUCACCCACUUCCCACACGCAACAAUAGCUCAUGGGUACCACAGAUAACUUUGCCAAAGUUCUCUGCCAAAGUUGAGCACGUGAAGCUUGCAGCUCCCACUACAUCGCUCUGACCAAGAAAGGUAAAAGAAUAGCAAAGAAACAGCACUAACAAAGUUUAGACACAUAAAUUUUGAAGGUCUAGCUACCAUAUUAUUACCCACAAGGGUAAAGGAACAGUACCACUGCUGGAUAAUUGGAAAGUCCCUGUGUGUCAACCUAUGUGCUUCGUGGCAAGGUAGACUAGCAAACAUGCCCAACCUUUACUCACAUUCGAGAAAACACUCCCAACAAGAUUGCUUGCUCCAAAAUCGAAGAGGCACUGUCCUCCGAAUCUCGAGAGCCAGACUCCCAACAUGACUACUUUCUCAAAAGCGAAGAGAGGGUAAAGGAACAGUACCAUUGCUGGAUAAUUGGAAAGUCCCUGUGUGUCAACCUUUGUGCUUCAUGGCAAGGUAGACUAGCAAACAUGCCCAACCUUUACUCACAUUCGAGACAACACUCCCAACAGGAUUGCUUGCUCCAAAAUCAAGAGGCACCGCCCUCCGAAUCUCGAGAGCCAAACUCCCAACAUGAUUACUUCCUCAAAAAUCGAAGAGACACUGCUCUCCGAAUCUCGAGAGCCAGACCCCCAGCAUGAUUGCUUUCUCAAAAAUCGAAAAGGCAUCGUUCUCCGAAUCUCGAGAGCCAGAUACCACAGACCACUUUUUCAAAGUGCUCUGACAGAGUUAAAACAUGUGAAACUGGCAGCUCCCACUACCGUGCUAUGACCAAGCAGGGUAAAGGAAUAGCAUUACUACUUGUUGUUAGGGAGACUCCUAUAUAUGUCGACCUCCAUCCCCAACGGACAGGCAGACCUGCAAAAAUGCUCAACCCUUCAUCAUAUCUGAGUGGGCACUCCCAACGAAGCCUUUCGAAAUAUUCAGCUUUCUUUCCCCCCGAUAAUACCUCUGCAAACAAGCUAUACUAGAGCAAGAAUAUCUCAUAUCAUCAGGGUUAAAAGCAAGAGUAUCCCAUAUCAUGCUUUUUCCCUGUCUUUUCCUUUGGCCUUGUUUUUACCUGCAAGACAAGGAGAAAGAGAGCAAUCAGUCAGCACUUGGAAUCAAGCUUCCAACCAGGAAAUGACUGCCUGGAACCCCUUACUUGGCAUUGCUCUCGAGUACUCAUCUUCAACAUCUUAUGUUUCCAGGGAAGAUUCUGCAUCUGCUUGAGGAACAGAUAGGGCAAGUGCGAAGGAUACAAGGAAGCAUGCGGAGACAAGCGUAACAGCACACGUGCCGAUACAUCCAUUACUCUGUCAAAAGCAAAAGUAUCCCAUAUCAGCAGGGUGGAACGUACUCUAGAUUUGAUGGACUUGUUUUGACCCUCAAAUUCUUCAGUCGGCCUUAUAUUCUGGAGGAAACCAGAAAACCCUCCAGCUCAGUUCAAGAAUAAGCCUGUGGAAAGUUACUUCUUCAAAAGCAAAAGUAUCUCAUAUCAUCUCUUCUCAUUUUUCUUCUCUCUUUAUCCUUCAUGCUGCUGCAAGAUGGGGAGAAGGUGAACAAUCAGUCGGAGCUCUGAUUGCUUACCUUGUCUGUCACCUCUUUCAGCAGACCCCCUAGCUCGGCGACUUGGGGGACUCCUACUAAAUGGUUUGUAUCGCGCUUGACCAAGCCUGAAACUACAAGUAAGCUUCAAGUGAAAUUGAUACAUUACCUUGUGCAUCUCCACCAGUUAAAGAUACCACCCCUGGAUGGAGGAAGAGUACUUCCAGAGAAGAUGCCACAUCUACCUAUGAGACAGAUAAGGCAAGUCAAGACGACACCACACUCCGAUACUUAGAAGUUUCGUGAUUAUGAGAUCAUUCUCCCACAAUAUUUCCUAAUGUCAUUUGUACUAAAUCAUUCACUUGUACUCACUAAAGGAGAGCUUGAACCUAUGUACUUGUGUAAACCCUUCACAAUUAAUGAGAACUCUUCUAUUCCGUGGACGUAGCCAAUCUGGGUGAACCACGUACAUCUUGUGUUUGCUUUCCUAUCUCUAUCCAUUUAUAUACUUAUCCACACUAAUGACCGGAGCAAUCUAGCGAAGAUCACAAAAAGCGACCGUUUUCGCUACCUAGGAUCUAUCUUGCAAGAGAACGGAGAAUUAGAUGGAGAUCUCAACCAUAGAAUACGAGCUGGAUGGAUGAAGUGUAAGAGUGCAUCCGGCGUGUUGUGUGACUAUCGUAGGCCACUGAAGCUCAAAGGAAAAUUUUAUAGGACGGCAAUAAGGCCAGCGAUGUUGUAUGGCACAGAAUGUUGGGCGGUGAAGCAUCAACACGUACACAAAAUGGGUGUAGCGGAGAUGAGGAUGCUUCGUGGGAUGUGUGGGCACACGAGAAAGGAUAAGAUUGGGAAUGAGGAUAUCCGAGGUAAAGUAGGAGUAGCCGAAAUUGUAGGAAAGAUGAGAGAAAAUCGGCUCCGGUGAUUUGGACAUGUGCAAAGAAGGCCGACUGACGCUCCGAUUCGAAGAUGUGACUACGGGACAGAGGUUCAGGGCCGAAGGGGUAGAGGAAGACCUAGGAAAACUUUGGAAGAGACUCUAAGAAAAGACUUAGAGUACUUGGAUCUAACGGAGGACAUGACACAAAACCGAGCGCAAUGGCGUUCUAGGAUUCAUAUAGCCGACCCCACUUAGUGGGAAAAGGCUUUGUUGUUGUUGUUGUUGUUGUAUUUUUUCCCUUUUCAAAAUCGAAAUGUUCUAAAUUAUUUCACUAAUCCUUGCUAGUUUGAACUGCAGGAGUCUGUCUCUGGAUUUGAAAGAUUAUCUGGACUUACAGUUUUGAAGAAUUGGGAUUCUAGUGUUACACAUAUUAUUGCAUCGACAGAUGAAAAUGAAGCAUGCAGAAGAACCCUUAAAAUUUUGAUGGGUAUCUUGGAGGGGAAGUGGAUUCUGAGUGUGGAGUGAGUUUUACUGUUUUCGUUUUAAUUGUUCUUCCUCAAGUGCUUGGACUUUACAAUUGUAAUGAGUACAGAAGCCGAAAUGAGAUAUUGAUAUACAUGUUCACAUUGCUGAUAAUUCGUUAUCCGUCUGUUUGUGUAGGAAUUAAUGCUUGCACAUAAGUAAUGAAACUAGUUAAUGAGGAGCCUUAUGAAAUCAACGUUGACAUUUAUGGAAUCAGGGAUGGUCCUCGACUUGGUAGACUAAGGCUGCAGAACAAGGUUAGCUUUUCCUCGAGUUUAACUAUCAUCACGAAAACUUUAGAUUUUCAUGGAUUCACCAUAGGCAUUGUUAAUCUUGUUCAGUCCAUAAAUAGGUUACACACUUAUCUUAACAAAGGUGAGACCUUCUCAAUUCCUCAUCGAGAUGAAUCAAGAGCAUAAUUGUAGCAGUGAUCAAGAGCAAUUUUUUUAUGUUUCUUCCAAAUUGUUGAGAUGAAUCAUCUGUGUUUUGUUCUAAUAAUCUUACAAAUUUGUUGAGCAAUUUUUGUAAAGUCAGAAUCUUUGGUUUCGGUUGUGAGGUAUCUGAUUUGGGUAUAUGUGUUUUGCAGGGCACGGUGGUUGUGGCGGAGGAAGAUUAGGAUUGACGACAGAGCUCUGGCCAUGAACUAUCAGCUCUGUCUUUCUCUCUCUAACUAUGAAUUGAAUACAAAAGUCUGUGUUGAUAUGGAAAAUGUAGCUCAAAAUUAUUACACAAAUGGCAAAAAAAAAAAGUUCGAGUGUGGAGUUUCACUUACUGAUACAGGGCUUUUGAAACAGGGUUGUCUAGACUGUAGAAGAAAUCCAUGGCUUUUGGAAGAGGGGAUGUUCCAAAUCUAUCUUUUCUCCCUCUCUAAUGUUCUUCGAGGGGUUCUUGUGAUGCAAAAAGUGGUUUAUAUAUAUUUUUUAUUAUUAAUAAAUUUUCUGUCGGUUUUAUCAGACAAUAAUUCUUUUAUUUAUUCUUAUUAAUAAUUUCUCUGUCGGUUAUAUCUGACACAAUUUCUGUCGAUUUUAGAGUAUUUUCUAUCGAAAAUUUCAUUUCCUGACGCAUCAAUUAUGUCGCUUAUUAUAUCCGCCACUGCACUCAUUUCAUGUCGGAUUUUGCUUAAUUUCCAACAGUAUUAUACAUUUCUUGUCGGUUUUUAAACCGACACUAAUGGGUACUUUUGUAGUAAUGUUGGGGCGUCGGAGUUCGUUUAAGGUCGAAUUGAGCACACCCAAAUUCAAGGGUUCCGUACGGUUCAUGGUAAUUUGAGGUAUUUCUCAGCCAAAUUGUCCUUAGUCACAGAUAUGAAAGUUGCUCCACUCGUUGAGAUCUUCAUUUAUGUCAAAUUUGAGAAUUUUUAGAAAUAAUUGGAUUUUCCAGCGAAUCGGGGCGGCGGACCACCACCGGACAGCGCAUGGCUAGUGGGCCCCCAAUGUCAUUUUACGUUAAAUUGGUAUCUUGAUUUUAGGUUUGAUGUCUAUAUGUUAUGACUUGAUAUGUGAACCUAGUUUAAUUAAGGUGCGUUAAUUGGUAAAAAUAUGAAACGACGAUCCGACCGUGGGAUCGUCACCAAUCUUUAUUAUGUUAUAGUACAUUAUAUUUGAGAAUCAUAGGGACUGACGGAUAGGAAAUCCGAUAUACGGAUCUUCCUGAAAUGGAAUUGUAAGUUCGAAGAAUAAACGUUAACCGCCACUUUGUUUUGACUAUUGGUGAAGAUCCAACCGUUGGAUCAUAAUGAAAUUUUAGGAUGAUGUUUUAGAAGCAUAAUGUGGAUCUUUGGAAGUUAUUGAUUGGAAAUCCGAGGAGCGAAUCUUCCGGAUUGAAUUACGUAAGGUUGUGGACCCUACCGUCGAUCGUUGACUGACGAUCGACUUUUGGUCAAUGGGGCUUAAAUCACUCUAAAAUGUUUUUAGGGAUGUGUUUUACGUAAAUUACAUUAUCUAUGGAUAAGAAUUCUGAGAUGUGGUUUGAUAAUUGUCCUGGGCGCCGAUCGUUAGGAACGCUUCGAUGGUUGUGCUAGGAAAUUGUAGCAUAGACUCCAGGUGAGUGAAUCUUUUCCUUCUUAUAUAUAUAUAUAUAUAUAUAUGAUUGACAAUUCCACAAACGUUUAUAAAUUGAUUAUUGCAUAUAACUACUGUAAAUACUUUGAAGUACUUAUGCGAACUACGAAUGGCUUGAUCCCUAUUUAGGGUACGUAUGCAGUCUAACAAGACAUUAAAUGCAGUCAUACAAUAAUUGAGAUUAAACAAUUGAGACAAAGCCUUGUAUGGGGAACUGGGCAAGGUGAACGAAUUUGGUAAAAAUGUGAGAUUUAACCUUCUGAAUUGGUGAUUAAAUGUUGGUCAUAAAUCAAUGUGUAAAGAAUCAAGAAUUUGAAGUAAGGAAACGUAAGUAAUGAUAAUUAAUUAAACUAGUGUCUAGUUGGGCUUGUCACCUAUAAUUAUCCCCAAAAAUGAAUAAUUCGGGAGUAGGGCGUUAUAGCUUCUGCAUUUUUAUGCCACAUUAUAUAUAUAUAUAUAUGUGUGUGUGUGUGUGUGUGUGUGUGUGUGUGUAUAAUUGGAAAUGCUAUAACGUGGUUGAGUAUCAGAUUUCAUCAUGGUUUAUCUAUAUGUAUAUUACCUGCACACAAUUAUUAUGAACACUUUGAAGUGCAAAGGUGAACGCAAGACACCCAGGAAAGUUCAGGUGAGUUUAUGGUAUUAGUUGAAAUGAUGGGGUUAUGGUAACUACAUGUAUGUUUAGGUUGCAAUGAUAGGCAACUCCGACACUGUCGUACAAGUUGCCCAUGAAUUGUAUAUGUUACAAUAGAUAGAGUUAGAGGUCAUAAACCUGCACCCCGGUGUUAGUGCUCCCACCCGUGGCUAGGGCACAGUCUUUCACGAGAUGUUCACCUCUCGCAUCUUACGCUCACCUUGGAUCCAAGGUAGGUGCACAGUCAUGUCAUAAAGACCACUAUAGGUGGUUCCGACUAGUAGAUGACCCGUGAUUAUUCGCACAGUCUUCACGUGAUUGUAGCACUUGAGCGUAUUUAUUUACACCCAGUCCUGUCGUACAGACCACUUUAGGUGGUUCCGACUCGUAUGCAGGUAUACUUAUUGAGCUAUGGAUAAGUCGUACAGGUCACUAAAGGUGACUCCAACUUAUGAGCUAGCAUAUGUGAUGAAAUAUGUGAUGAGCUAGCAUAUGUAAUGAGAUAAGUGAUGAGCUAGCAUAUGUGAUGAGAUAUGUGAUGAGUUAGCAUACGUUAUGAGAUAUGUGAUGAGUGAUAUAAUCAUAAUUGCAUACAUUUUCAUGCCCUUUUAGUUUAGAUUUUUGUUAUCCUUUUGAGUGAAUUUAGUUUGUUUCACUUAGUUUUAUGUUUUUCUUAGAUUUGAAGUGUGAAGAUGAAGAAAGAAGAAAAAAGAGCAUUUUUAGCGAUUGAAAUGAGUUUGGCAUGCUGGAAGCAGAGGCUAUUUGUGCGGAUCAGCCAACUUUACGGAUUAAACUGUACUUCCUUAGAAUGCCAGCUGUUGAGUCUUAUACCAUUGGAAAGAUAUGAAAGUUAGCUUUCAGAGGAAUUUUACGAUUCGUGAUUCCGAGUUUCCUAGAAGACGUUAUAGUGGUUUUUCUACCAGAUGUCUGCCAGCAAGGUUUUACGCGGGAUUUGCAAAGAGAUUCCAGAUUUACAAAGUUUAAUUAAAGGAAACAAGCAGAGAAAAAAGAAGAGGAAGCUUUUAGAAAAGUUCAGGACUAUUCUAAACGGUGCAUAGUUAAUAUAUUUAAUAGUUUAGUGUGCCACAUCAUCAAUAAACUAAUCUAAGUCAGAAGAGAAAUUCAAGAGUCCCAUUCAAGUAAGUAUUCCAGCAGUUUUAUUCAGGAAUAAAGGAGGGCAGACCGUCGGACUUUAGGAGCGGACAGAGAGAGUUUUUGGGUUUUCGAAGGUGCAGAGAAGAGGUCGCAGCAAGGAGUGAAACAGAGUCGCCGAUCAUCUGGGCAAUCCAUCACCAUCGUGUGGAAGUAUUUUAUGUUUUUCAGAUUUUUAAUUAUGUUUUCAGAUUUUAUGAGUAACUAAACUCUUUUUCUAAGGUUAGGAUGAUGCCCUAGCAUGGAUGUUUAUGGUUUGUAAUGUUAUUCAUUGGAUUUCCAGUUUCUUUUAGAUGAAUGCUUAAUCACUGUUUGAAUUGUUACUGUUUGUUUGAGUUCUUUGAUUGAUCACCUUAGGACUUUGCAUCUAGUAAGAUUGGAAGAUGAAUUUGAGACUGAACUAACAAUAUAAUUCAAUUAGCUUCUUGUGGUUAAGUGUGGUAAAUUACAUUAUUGCUUGAAAAAGAAUAAUGGUUUGUUUGGGUCCCUUGUUUUCUAGAGGGUAAAGAGUCCUACUUGUUAAAUUUAUGCCUUAACUAGGAUAGACUGCUUGUUAGGAUAUACGACCUCUGCCUAAACUAGGAGAGAAUCAUUCACAUAAGGAAAACUAUGGUCUAAUAUGCCUGACAAGGACUUAGAUACGGGAAUUAUCAUCUAAAGAAUUGAAAGAUCCAUUGAAUGCAUUGAAACCUAAACUAGAUUGCUUGUGGUUGAUUCCGAAUCCCUAGAUUUUCAUCACUUGCCUUAAAACACAACCGUUUCUUUUCUUUAAUUUCAGUUUUUACUUAAGGUUCUGUUUUUGUUCAUUUAUAAAAUCAUCACAACAAAUUUUUUACAUCUUUGAUUGACUUAUUAAUUAAGAUCGAGUCUAGUUCGUUGUUUGGGUUUGUGUGUCUUUAAUAUAAUUAGAUUUGGUUUAGUUUAUCAAAUUGGAGAUUGAAUUAGAAUCCUCGUGGGAACGAUACUUGGACUUGCAAAACGUUAUAUUACGACUAUCUUGUGCACUUGUAAGUUUACACCAAGUUUUUGGCGCCGUUGCCGGGGACUCUAAUUGAGUCCCCCAAUUUGAUAUCAUAUUCCAUAUCUAAUAAGUAGUUUAUUGUAGAUUAUUCAAUUUGAUUUUGUUUUGUUCUCUAGUUUCGAGUAAGAGUCAUAACUAUUAAGAUAAGUAAAAGUAAUUUUCGUCACUGUUUUAUUUCAGUUUUGUAUCACUGUUUCGACACAGUUUUGGACUAAACUAUUCGAUUUUUUACCAGGAAUAUUGUGUAUCGUUGGAAAGCCCCAGAAGUCUAGUUUUCAACCCAAAAAACAGAUCAAUGAUUGGAUUUUUGAGCUGCAAGAAAUGUACAAAAUACUGAGCAGUGGUCAAACAAGGAGCACAGUCUGGUCGUAUAUGCAAGGUAGACGUUCGUUGCAAUUUGAGUUGAUUCAUAUAGACCAAGAACUUGUGCGUACUUUAAGAGAACAGUGGAGGCAGCGAGUGUGUCAAGAACCAGCCAUGGAGGAAGUAGUUAAUAAUGGUGGAAAUAAUCCUCCACCAUUGCUACCACCACAACCAAGGCUCAUGCGUGAUUAUACAAAGCCAACGGAGUACAACGCACCGUCAUGCAUUGUUUUGGCUCCAAUUGCGCAGCGAUUUGAGAUUCGUCCACAAAUCUUUCAGUUGCUGCCUAUAUUUCUUGGGAAGGAGGAAGAAAAUCCAUACCAUCAUAUCAAGGCGUUUUUCAAGCUAUGUUCCACAUUCACAUUCACCAAUGUUACUGAAGAGCAAAUUCGACUUCGGUUAUUCCCAUUCUCUUUGAGGGAUAAAGCAAGCAGUUGGUUGGAUUCUCUUCCCGAAGCAUCUAUCGACACAUGGACAAAAUUAUCGAAGAAGUUUUUGUCCAAGUUCUUCCCCGCUCGAAGAACCAAUGCUCUGAUCAAUGAAAUCAUGAGCUUUCGACAACAAGAAGGUGAACAGUUUCAUGAAAGUUGGGAGCGCUAUAAGGACUUGUUUCUUCAAUGUCCUCAUCAUGGUUUCAACACUUGGCAAAAGGUUCAUUAUUUUUACAAAGGUUUGAACUCUCAAUGUAGGAGUUUGGUUGAUUCAACGGUUGGUGGAACCUUGAUAGACAAAACUCCAGAAGAUGCCAUACAUGCCUUUGAAACUAUAUGUGAAAAUUCUGAGCAUUGGGAUUUUCCUACAAAAGAUUUGAGAGUUCCAACUGCAUCGUCAACAAAAAAAGGAGGCAUUUAUGAAGUUAAUACAAGGACGGGCUUAGAGGCACAAGUGGCAGCCCUCACCAAGCUUCUCACACCACUUGUAAGCAAGAUAGCCACGCAGCCAUGUACUUUAUGUGCGAGCAUCGCCCAUGACAUGGAAAAUUGUCCAACAAAUGCUAAUCUAGAAGGCAUCCAAGAGGUCAAUGCAUUUAGUGGGAGGCCCCGGAAUGAUCCAUAUUCUAAUAAUUAUAACCCGGGAUGGAGAGAACAUCCAAAUUUUUCUUAGAGAGAUUCACAAAAUAGCAUGGGAUCAUUCACUUCAACAAAGCAAUAUCAGCAACCUUAUCAAGCUCCUCCAAUUCAACAAAAAGACUCGUCUAUCAAGGAUAUGUUAUCUCAACUCUUAAAGAAAACUGAUCGGUAUGAACAUGAAGUUGUGUCGCUUAGACAAAGUCAGACGGUGUUGGAAAAGGCUCGAUCUAAUUUUGAGACUCAGUUGGGACAGAUAGCUACUACUUUGAACAAGCUGGAGUGAGCACAAGGGCAAUUUCCAAGCCAAACUGAAACAAAUCCUAGGAAUCAAAAGCAUGUUCAAGCUGUCACCACUUUGAGGAGUGGAAAGACGAUUGGUAAUAAUGUGGAAAGUUCAAAAAUUAAUAAGGAAGAAGAUGAAGGGGUCAGCACAUAUCGGGCAGCAGCUUGACAAGACAAGCUAAAAAAGAGAAGUAUAUGGGAGAUAUUUUAGAGCAAUUUAGAAAGGUGCAGAUUAAUAUUCCUUUUCUCGAUGCCAUCAAACAAAUUCAAUCAUAUGCGAAGUUUUUGAAGGAACUUUGUACUAACAAGAGACGGUAUGAAGAACAUGAGGAGGUGAAGUUAUCAGACACGGUUAGUGCGGUUCUUCAAAGAAAAUUGCCACCAAAACUUCAAGAUCCUGGUAGCUUUACAGUCCCAUGUGUCAUUGGAGAAAGAAAAUUCGAAAAAGCUUUGCUUGACUUGGGAGCCAGUGUGAAUUUGAUGCCCUAUUCUGCUUAUAAACACCUCAAAUUAGGCGAACUAAAGCACAUAUCCAUUUCUCUACAAUGCACUGAUCGUUCUGUGAAAUAUCCAAGAGGGAUUGUUGAAAAUGUACUUGUGUGUGUUGAUCAAUUUAUUCUUCCUGCUGACUUCAUCAUUUUGGACAUGGAAGAAGCCGAAAUUCCUGGUCGUGACUUGCCUCUCAUUCUUGGCAGACCUUUCAUGGCUACUGCAGGUACGAAGAUUGAUGUUAAAUCGGGAUUAUUAACUAUGACUGUGCAAGGUAUUACUGUAGAAUUUCAGGUCUUCGAAGCAUUGAAGAAGCCCAUGGAUCUUUAUGACUGCUUUCGUGUUGAGGUAGUGGAUCCAAUUAUAAAAAAAAACAUUCAUUGAAUCAAGCAUCUCAGAUCCUCUGGAAGUUUGUAUCUCUCAACAUGGGAUGAGUUUUGAAAAGGCUACCAUCAUUGAAGCAGAACGAGAUCUCAAUGCCGUAACGUCCUACUCUCUUAGAUGCCAGCCCAAAUUUGAAGCGUUGCCACUCACAAGCCAAAAUUGUACCAUCCAUUAUACAACCUCCAAAGCUUGAAUUGAAGCCUCUUCCAGAGACUUUAAAGUAUGCAUAUUUGGUGAUUCAGAGACUCUUCCUGUGAUUAUAGCUGCUGAUCUUAACCAAACAGAAGAGGAAAAGUUGAUGCAAAUGUUGAGGGAGCAUAAAACAGCAUUGGGAUGGAGUAUUGCAGACAUAAAAGGAAUUAGUCCUCAAUUUGCAUGCAUCGGAUAUAUCUUGAGGACAAGUCAAAGCCUUCUAGAGAGGCACAGCGACGUCUAAAUCCACAUAUGCAAGAAGUGGUUCGGGCAGAAGUUCUUAAAUUACUGAAUGUCGGCAUUAUUUAUCCUAUAUCUAACAGCAAAUGGGUAAGUCCACUGCAGGUUGUACCACAGAGAUCUGGAAUUACAGUUGUCAAGAAUGAAAAUAAUGAGCUUAUACCCCAGAGGACUGUCACGGGUUGGAGAAUGUGUACAGAUUACAGAAAGAUCAAUAAUUCAACUCGAAAAUAUCAUUUUCCACUCCCUUUCCUUGAUCUCAUGCUUGAGAGACUUGCAGGCCAUAGUUAUUAUUGUUUUCUUGAUGGCUAUUCCAGAUAUAAUCAAAUUCCCAUAGCUCCGGAAGAUCAAGAAAAGACUACUUUCACAUGUCCAUUUGGAACUUUUGCCUAUCGACGAAUGCCUUUUGGGUUAUGUAAUGCUCCCGCAACAUUCCAAAGAUGCAUGAUGAGCAUUUUCUCAAACUUGGUGGAAAGGUGUAUCGAAGUGUUCGUGGAUGAUUUUUCCGUGUUUGGGUCAUCGUUUGAUCAAUGUCUUCAUCAUCUUUCAUUGGUGCUCUAACGGUGUCAAGAAACCAACUUGAUUUUAAAUUGGGAAAAAUGUCAGUUUAUGGUGAAAAGUGGUAUUGUUCUUGGUCAUGUAAUUUUAGCUGACGGAAUUGAAGUUGAUAAAGCUAAGGUGGAGCUGAUUUCGAAGCUUCCUCCUCCCACUUCUGUAAAAGAAGUUCGAUCCUUUCUCGAGCAUCCAAGUUUUUAUCGCCGAUUUAUUAAAGAUUUCUCGAAAAUCACCAAGCCACUUUGUGAUCUGCUUGCUAAAGAUUCUGUGUUUAAUUUAAAUGGUGAGUGCUUACAAGCUUUUGAGACCCUCAAGAAAGAAUUAACACAAGCCCCAAUCAUAAAAGCUCCAGAGUGGUCUCUUCCUUUUGAAAUCAUGUGUGACGCCUCUGAGUAUGCAAUAGGUGUUGUGUUAGGGCAGCGAGUUAACAAACUUCCUCAUGUUAUAUUUUAUGCUAGCCGAAUUCUCACUUAACAACUUUCAUAUCCCUUAGUUUCCAAAAUUUAAUAUACAAAUUUAGUCUCCCAAGCAUUGCUAUAUUACUUAAGUAUUGAUUAAUAGACUUAUUUCUUAUGGUGACACAUUAUUUAGUUUACAAAUUUAGUCUAUCUAACAUUACUCUUUUGACAUUGUCUUGUCCACUGAUAUAAUUCUAUUUUUCUUGUGAUCAAAACUUCAAAUGUUAGCAAGUCGCACGUAAAGUCGCUUCUGAGAGAAUGUGCUCACAUUGUAGUUGAAAGAUUAUGUGGCUAGCAACAUUACAAAUUUAAUUUGGUAUAAUUUUAAAAUAUAGAUUGAGGAAAAAAAGGAUCACAUUAACUAGAAACUGAAAAGGUUUCGGCGCAAUAUGUUCAAGCAAGAAACUCAAUUUUGAUGCUACCGAUCUUAACAGCCUGAGCGCCGUACCUGGGCACUAAAGUCACCACCACACUCUCAUCAUCUUCAGCACCCAAAUCCUCCAACAGGUCCGUUAACCCCAACCUUAAACAACUCUUGCUCUUUUCCUUCUGCUUAUGUGGCACACUCACAAAACUCCCAGCAAACUCGCUCUUGUCGGGUCCACUCGGUGCCGCAUCCUCAUCAUCCACGUCAUUCACAUACACAUCAAACUUCACAGCCACAUCUUUGUCAAGCUCAAUCCCCCGAAUCACCAAUAUCUCCUCCUCAUCCUCUUUCUCCUUCUUGCUCCUCUUCUUCGGCUUCGGCCUUGACACCACCGUAGUUAUCUUCGUCUCCAAAUUUAUUGGAAAAUCUUUACCCGCCACCACCUUCCCCGAUGACGUCGUCUCAGCGGCCUUCGCCACUCCAGCCGCCUUUGCCUUUCUCGCAAGCUUUGUCCGACGUGGCGUCGGUCUAGAGUUGAGCCAUGGAAUCUCAACAUCUUCAUACGUAUACCCUAGCUUUUUAUUAUCAAGAGUGUCCCUCACCGUGACCCUAACAAGCUCAGCAUUCUCGUCAUAAAACAAAAACCCCGUAUCCAACCAAUCCUUAUCGUUAAUAUCUUUAUUUUUAGUCCCUAUACUUUUCCAAAUAUUCCACAUUCGAUCCAGAUUCAAAUGGUGCGCAAAAAAUAUCGGAUCCCUUGCAGUGGAGUAAAAAUUCCCCAUGUCUUCAUAAUUAGGUUGCGUGUUAUCUCCGGUCCAUGUAUGAACCGGACCAUGUGGGGUCUGUUCGAUUGCACCGGCCCCUGGAUCUGGUUCAGUGCCAGCCCUGUAGGGCGAACCAAAGAACAACAGCGGUUUCUUGGAGUUGGAAACCAUCUGCCUAUACAUGAUUUUGAGGUUGGCUUCGAUUUGAGCAUCCUUGGACAUUGUUUCAUCCGUGCCGUUGAAGUCAAGAUCGAUGAGAGUUGGCGGCUGAUGGCUGGCAGCGCGGAGCUCGUCGUAAAGCGGAGAGUCAGGGUUAGCGUACAAG
This 99902-nucleotide long non-coding RNA is filed under the name Malus domestica (apple). RNAcentral describes it as "long non-coding RNA (MDOM_LNC009719)". The record is from RNAcentral. Lineage: Eukaryota; Viridiplantae; Streptophyta; Magnoliopsida; Rosales; Rosaceae.